AGCCGCUCUGUGACACUGAUAAAGAAAUGGACCUUGGGUCUAAAUCAACCUCAAAAGCUAGCUCAAGAGGGGAGGAUUGCCCAAGACCAUAUAAGGAGACCAAGGACCCUUUAAACCCACCAAUGCGGGACUCCAACACCCCCCGCAUGCCCAGGACUGGACAUUUGGAGCGUGGACAAUAUAAGGCGGGGGGCCCAACAUCGGAAACAAUGAACUGGGUGGGCCUGGCUCUGAUACCAUGAUAAUAAAAUGGACCUUGGGCCUAACUCAACCUGAAAAGCUAGCUCAAGAGGGGAGGAUUGCCCAAGACCAUAAAAGGAGACCAAGGACCCUUUAAACCCACCGAUGUAGGACUCCAACACUCCCCGCAUGCCCUAGGCUGGACAUUUGGAGUGUGGAAAAUAUAAGACAGGGCACCCUACAUCAGAAACAAUGAACUGGGUGAGCCUGGCUUUGAUACCAUGAUAAAGAAAUGGACCUUGGGCCUAACUCAACCUCAAAAGCAAGCUCAAGAGGAGAGGAUUGCCCAAGACCAUAUAAGGAAACCAAGGACCCUUUAAACCCAUUGAUAUGGGACUCCAACUGAUUAACAACACUGAUGGACCUUAGGUCUAGCUCAACCCAGAAGCUAGCUGAAGAGGAGAGGAUUGACGGAGAUCAUAUAAAGAGGCCAAAUGCUCCUUAAAGCUGAUAAAGACUAAUAAAUUACCUGACCGGCUUCAAGCAAUGUGUGACUUCCAAGGAGAUGUGAUCUCUUUCGUAUUGUAACAUAUUUUUGAGUUGAUAGAAUUUUUAGUAAUAUUACUCAGUUGGGCAUUACUAAAUUUUUGAGUUCACGAGCUCACAAUGGUUAACACGAUCACACACUCAUUUUAUUUGGUAACGUUAUUUAUUAAAUGAAUGGAGAUGUGCAUUUAUAUGGUGAUUCUCUUGUUUUAGUUUUGAAAACAAUUACUAAUAAAGAUUGAAGUUCAAGGAUUUCAUCAUAGUUCUUACUGUUGAAAUUUUAAUUACUAUGUUUUAGCAUUAUUCUCUAGCUUUCAAGGAGAUGUAAUUUAUCUAUAUUUUAAAUAAGGGGCAUCUAUUUCUCGACUGCUUCAAACUGUUUAUCUUUAGCAAAGGGUCUAUCGUUAACAUCGUCUCUACCUCUGACAUAACGAUAAGGUUUUGCGUAUACUCUAUCCAGAUCCCACUAUUUGUAUAAAGCACAACAUUUUUUUCAAAGUGCAUCUUGUUUUUUGCAGAGAUUAAGGACCAUUUAUGUUCAACAUUAUAUUAUAGGGACCUAAGUGAACCUAUUAUGUAAAGUUAAGGGACUGUUUGGGCUGAUAAAUUCUUCAGAUAUCGUUUCAGCCACUCAAAUGUUAUCUUGUUUAGGUACUGUGUAUCUUUUGUUCUUUACACAUUUGUUUAUUGUAACUCAUAAUGUUGUCAUUUCUUCUAUCCUUUUCUCAAAUAUUUCUUGCAGUGAUUUUGAAGCUGUCUGAUCUGCCAUUGAAAGGUUAGUUUCCAUUAAUUAUUCUCUCAUUUUAUUAAAGUUUUAGAGCAAAAACAAUACUUGUAGUGGCUUGUCAAUGUGUAACUUAGCUCUUUGUACUAUGUAUAGUUAUGUUGCUCGAAAUCCUCAAAAAUAACAUUGAUUACGUGUUGGAUCCUUCAAAAGUUGUGCAUUUUUGUAAGGACCUGACACGGGUGUGCCAACUUUUUAAAAGAGUUCCAGCAACGUAGAAAACAAUACCUAAGUAAGUGAAGCGGAGUUUUGAACCACAAUCUAUUUUGCGUACUGAAAGUUAAAUUAUUUUUACGCGUUAAAUGAGCUAAAGCUACUGAGUUUGGGACUUUACUCACUGUUACUGUUACCUGAUCUUAUUUAGUUUAUGCGUUCCUUUUGAUCUGCGUAUCUCGUUAUUUGUAAUACCAUUGAUCUCUUGCAACCCUGCAGCUUUCAGGUCAUAAUCACAUAGGACAAAAACGAGAAUACAGUAGAUAUGGCUCAUGCAAGUGUGGCUUCUCUUAUGCGAACAAUAGAAUCGCUCGACAUCCAAUUCGCGAUGCAAUAUCUAAUCUGUGAUCACAGAGAAGAACUUUGUGCUCUUCGUGAAAGAGUUAGUUCCCUGGAAGUAUUUCUCAAGAACUUUGAGAGAGAAUGUUUUUGGAGAAAUGAAGGAUUUUGUAGUAGAGGUAAAAGUAGUUGCAAGUGCUGUUGAAUACACAAUUCAACUGAGACUAACAGAUACUGUUCUGGGAGAAAAUAAAUGCAUCAUAGGAAUCAUUGGCUCAAGAUUUUUCAAAGGAAUCUCGAAUAUAUGGACACGCCAAAAGUUUCGUAAAAGCCUUCAACAAUCGGCAAAGGACAUUGAUCAUGUCUGAAAAGAGUCAACAAAGGUUCAAGAUAAAGGCAAACAAGUAUCAAAGGAAUCAUUGGUUCAAGAUUUUUCAAGUUCAACAAACAAUAUUCUGAAUGUUAACAAUAAUAUGGUUGGACGUGAUGAUCAAAAGGAACGCUUGUUAGAAGUCUGACUACAAACUACUCUGGUGAACCAAAAGUCAUUCCGAUUGUCGGGAUGGGAGGCAUAGGUAAAACAACCUUAACGAAAGAAGUUUACAAUCAUGGAUCAAUUAUAUGUCGUUUUGAUGUUCAUGCCUGGGCAACUGUAUCUCAACAGCACAACAGAAAGGAAGUUUUGCUGGGCCUUCUGCGAUCGACGAUCAACAUGGAUGACGCAGUUAAGACGAGAGGUGAAGCAGAGCUAGCAGACAUGCUGCAGAAAAGUUUAAAGAGAAAGAGGUACUUAAUUGUCUUGGAUGAUAUCUACAGUUGUGAAGUGUGGGAUGGUGUGAGACAAUGCUUUCCAACUGAAGACAAUGCAGGGAGUCGAAUAUUCUUGACUACACGAAUCAAUGAAGUAGCUUGUUAUGCUGGCACGGAGAAUCUUUCUUUGCAGAUGAACUUCAUGGAUCAAGAUGAGAGUUGGAACCUUUUUAGAAGUGUGGCAUUUUCAAAUGAAGCAUUGUCAUCUGAGUUUGAGACUAUUGGGAAGAAAAUUGCAGGGAAAUUUCACGGGUUAUCACUAACUAUUGCCGUGGUUGCUGGGCUUCUCAAAUCUAAAAGGGCAAUAGAAGAUUAGGGAAGUUUUGCCAAAGAUGUCACGUCAUUCAUCACAAAUGAUCCUGAUGAACAAUGUUCACAUGUGCUUGGGUUGAAUUACAAUCACUUGACUAGCAAUCUAAAAACGUGUCUUCUGCAUUUCGGAAUUUUUCCAGAAGACGGUGAGAUACCAGCGAAGAAAUUGAUGAGAACAUGGAUGGCUGAGGGGUUCCUAAAGUUGGAAAAUGAUUUGGAAGGAGAGGCUGAGAAGUGUUUGCAAGAGCUUGUCGAUAGAUGUCUAGUCCUCGUCUGCAAGAAAAGUCUAGAUGGAACAAAAAUUAGAUCAUGUAAGGUUCAUGAUCUAAUAUAUGACCUCUGCGUGAGAGAAAUUCAAAGGGAGAACAUUUGAGAACAUUUUUAUCAUGUAUGACAUUGUGCUUGACGAAUCAGAUUCAGAAUGGCGAUAUCUCAUUGUGCAUAAAAUGCAGCCCUUUAAGCACGUGACUGGUGAUGAAAUUGAUUAUUGUCCCUAUGUUCUUUAUAGGGUUCUUCUUACCCCUGUACAUCGUCAGUUGAGAGAUCAUGACAACAACGAUCUCUUGAAACGAACCCGUUCUAUUUUCUCUUUUCAUCUUAAGGAUUCAUUUUUAUCUCGUGGUCACAAAUCAGAGCUUAUUCAUUUCAAAUUACUCAAAAGUCUUGGACUUGAGACAGAAGAUUGAUAAUUUUCCUCUACAGGUACUAAGCCUCAUCUGGUUGAGGUACUUAUCAUUGUUCUGCCAUAAGAAUUUAAACAUACCUCCAGAAAUUUGCAGGUUAUGGAAUCUGCAGACAUUCAUUGUUCAAGGGCCUUGUCAAUUAGUUGAAAUAACUUUUCCUGAGGAAAUUUGGUGACUAAUGCAAUUAAGGCAUCUCAAACUGCCCAGAUUUUAUUUGCCAGAUUGCCCAAGUGGAUCUGUUGACAAAGGGAGACAACUGGAUUUUUCAAACUUACAAACUAUUUCUUACUUGUCUUCGGGUUGUUGCACGAAGGAGGUUAUUAUGGGGAUUCAGAAUGUCAAAGAAUUAGGAAUCAGUAGAUAUGAGAUUGACUCUAACGGGCUUCUCAACAAUCUUAUUUAUCUGCAGCAACUUGAAACAUUGAGUCUUACAUAUUGUUUUAGUCGAUUGUUCCCAGCAAUGCUCAAGACGCUGAAAUUGGAAAGAACUUAUCUAAGCUGGUCGUACUUGGACAUCAUAGCUGCAUUGCCUAACCUUGAGGUGCUGAAGCUGAUCGAUGAUGCUUGUGAUGGCGAAGAAUGGCAUCCUAGUGUUAGGGGAUUUAAUAAAUUGAAGCUUUUGCUAAUUGAAUUUAAUGAUCUCAAGUACUGGAAAGCCACAAAUGAUAAUUUUCAUGUCCUUGAGCGCCUCAUGAUUAGAAGUUGCCCUCAUUUGAAAGAGGUACCCAUUGAGUUUGCAGAUAUUAACACACUACAACUGAUUCAGUUAAAAUGGUGUCUUCCUGAACUUAGGAAAUCUGCUGCACGAAUUCAGAAAGAACAAGAAGUCCUCGGAAACAACCCUGUGGAUGUUUCUUUCUCCGAUCCAUGUAAGUAUAUAUUUAUCAAGGUUAUACUCUGUUUCUCAUUUCCACAAGUAAAAUCAUACACAACAGUUAUUUAGCUUUUCCCCAUAGUCUUUCCCAAAAAUAACUUUAACAUAAUUUGGUUAAAACCCUACUUAAAAUGUAAGAGAAAUUAACAAGAAUAUCUCUUAUAUUUGAGGGUAGUUCAAAAUGUCCCCUUAAAUAUAUUUUUGAUCAAUUUUGGUAAUUUAGUUUAAGCUUGCUAAAUCUGAGCACAUUUGAUCUAAUUGUUACUACCUCCAUCUAUCAAUAGUUGUCCACUAUUAACUUGACGCAUAAGUUAAGAAGUAGUAAAUGAUAGGGCUAGUUUUGCCAUAUUACCCUUUGAAUCCAAUAAAUCUAAUGCUUUGAAAAAUACAUUGGAUAAUGAAUCGUAUUUAAUGCUAAUGGUAAAAUGGGUAAUAUAUCCACUGGUUUCAAAAUGGACAAGUAUUAUUGACAUUUAUUUUUGACAUAGUGGAGUAAAUUUUACAGAAUUGUGAAAAAGAAAAUUUAAUAUGAACUCACAUUUCAAGGUGUUAUCUUGGCAUUUUUAUUUUCUUGUUUGUUGCGGAAUUUGGUGUAGCUUGUUUCGCUUCAUAACAUUGAUCUCUUUGUAAGAAUUCCUCUAACAUAUAUACCACUUGUGUUGUUUUGGAGGCUUCCUCUUUGAGUUUUAAAAGAUAUAUGUUACUUUCAAGAUUAGUGUUAGAAAUCUUGUAUAAGUACAUAAAUAAUUCAGGGAUAUCUAUGUAUAGUGGUCUUCUAGUAUCUUUUUAAAAAAUAUAUAAUGAUGUACUCAUGAUCUAAAUAUUCUUGAUAUAUCUCUACUUUAAUUGACAUGAUUUGAUCGUAAAUGGGAGAUUUUAUAUUUCUAAUUUAUGUUGCUUUGUUAUAGUAUUACACAGAAGAGUGAGAAGGCUUGAGCAGCUUUUGGAAAAAAGAAAACAAGGAGAGGACGAGCAACAAGAGCAUUUAAUAAUGGGAGUUUGAUUCGAUAAAUUUAUGUUGUAAUGUCUUUUAGCAUAUUGUGGGAACUGGAUGAUGAUUUACUUUAGACUUUAGUUUCUAGAUUUCAUAUUUAUUUUUUAUGUUUGACGGUAUACUCUUUGGGAUCAACUCAAUGAUAUUCGAUAGAAGUAAUAGAGCAGCUCGUGUUCUUGAAUUGAUUUUUGUGGUCUAUUUAUUCGAAAGAAGAAUUUAACGAAAAGGUAUAAGUUCCCUCAACCUAUGACCGAAAUUCCAAGGACACAGUUCGUUUUUGGAGGCAGAAAUAUAUAUAGUUCUCUUACUUAAUAGGUUGAUUGAAAGAGACACUUAAAAAUAAAUUUACGAACUGGAAUCUGCAAAGAUUCAUCGUUCGAGGGAGUUACCUAAAUAUCUGUAAGUGAACAUACUAUCCAAAGUUGUGUUGUCAGAUCCUUCAAAAGUUGUGCAUUUUUUUGAGGAUUAGACACGGGUGUGACAACCUUUUUAAAGAGUUCCCUCAACAUAGAUAUAUAGUACAAGUCUGUAUUUAGGAUAGAUCCAAACAUCAUCCUAAGAAAACUUUACUAAGCAAGCAAAGCGGAGCUAGGAUUUUUAGUCUAUGAGUUCUAAACCGUAAUCUUUUUUUGUGAGUUAAAUAUUUUCACACACUAUAUAAGAUAAAGCUACUGAGUUUUGCUGAAUACACUGAAUCCCUUCCUCGAGAAGGAGUGAACCUGACCACUUCAUGCCUAAGGUUAUACUGAUCUACGAACCACCCUUCUUUUUGAUUUGUCCUUCCUGAUCUCUCUUAAGCCUUUCAACAAUAGUUUAGGUAGCAUUAAGGCUGGUUCUGUCCCUGUCAGUAAGGACCAUUUAGCACUGGCAUAGCAACUGCAGAGAUACCAAACUCCCCAAGAACACAACAACACAAACACCAAAAUCAGUCCACUAGUUCAAGAACUAUGGACCCUUUUGAUGACCUGUCUCGGAUUCGCAAGAAGAACAAGAAGGGAAGUGAUAUCAAGAGUAAAACACACUAAAUCAGCAACAACACUUGAUGAACAAGAUGCAAUAACAACAAAACAUGGUUACAAGACAAGAACCGAUUACAAAAAAGUAAAGAUAGAUAGAUAGACAAAGGGAUUGUAUAAUAUUAACAAACCAAAAGCUGCUUCCACUUUUGGACCUUUAAUAUCACACACAACCUAAACCUAUCUCUUACGUGACCUCAAGGGAACCGGAAUUCCCAAGCAAUCUCCGUUUCUAAGCAAAUGAUCAACACAAGGAUUCCACCUUGUCCAAGGAUUCUACCUUGCUAAAGACUCUCAAAGAUGCUACAAAAUAUAUUCUCCAAAAAUGACCUAAUGAGGUUCUAUUUAUACCUAGGUUAACUUAUUACAAAUGACUAAAAAACCCUUGCAAAGGGUGAAUGAAUAGUGAAUGCGGAUGAACAGUGAAUAGUUUUGGAGCUUGUGGGACUUGUUCUCUACACUUCAAAGCUUAUUCCUUGGAUGGGUAGCCCCCCGAGCUCGAGUUUUGACGCAUUGGACCCCGAUCAUGAUCGUACCGGUGUCAUGCAGAAUGCAAUGCUACUCGUUAGCCGCUCUGCGAUAGUGAUUAACAAGAACUAGUAUACAUACCCAUGUUGUUGGGACCACGUGCAACUUCACCCAAACUCUGCACUAGUAUGAUAUUGUCUGCUUUGGGUCAAGCCCUCACGGAUUUGUUUUUGGACACCUCCCAAAAGGCCUCAUACUAGUGGAGUUAGGUGACACUUUAAAUAUUGGAAAUAUUCUCUCUAUUUUUUCGAUGUGGGAUUGUGUUUGCUGCUCAACAAUCCCCCCCUCAAACCAAGACCACAUCACUUGUGACCUCCCCACACCGCCACUACCAACCAGUGGGACACGCUGCUUGACCAUCACUUGUCAGACAAGAAGACUUUUGACACGAGGCAUCAACCAUAGAUCUCAACUACUAGGUCACUUCACAUGAUCUGCCAAGCAUCCUGUACCGUCGUUAUUACCCAACGGGACACGCCGCCUGGCCACCACUCCAGGAAGACUUUUGACACAAGGAACAACCUGCAGAUCUCCAGUCUUAUCAUUAAACCGAGAACUUCUCACCAACCACAGUCCACCACUCCGACACACCCGAACCUGGUCUCUGAUACCACUUGUUGGGACCGCGUGUAACUCGGCACUAGUAAGAUAUUGUCCGCUUUGGGCCAAGCCCUCAUGGAUUUAUUUUUGGAAACCUCCCAAAAGGCAUCAUACUUGCCUCCAUCAUUCAAAUCGACAAUCAAAUGGAUGUUCAGAAGUGAUGUGGUCUUGGUUUGAGGGGGAUUGUUGAGAAGCAAACACAAUCCCACAUCGAAAAAAUAGAGGGAACAUGUCCAAUAUUUAAAGUGUCACCCAACUCUACUAGUAUGAGGCCUUUUGGGAGGUGCCCAACAACAAAUCCGUGAGGGCUUGGCCCAAAGCAGACAAUAUCAUACUAGUGCGGAGUUACACACGGUCCCAACAUGUGCGAUGCAUGGAGAUUUUUAAAAAAUGUUUAAUUAUUGAACGCAUCACAUCAUUUUGAUCUUAUAAAAGUAUAAUUAUCACCUAGUGUCUAGUGGAAUGUAUUACACAGUGAGGGGUUUACCUAGUGCUCACCAGUAGGGCAGAAGCUGUGACAGAGGUUACAACGGCUGCAGAUUAUCAUGGGUUUCAAAAAACAAACUCAAAUACAUUUUGGUAAAAACACAUACUAUAAUUAUACAUUUUUUAUUAUAGUAAAAAAUACACCUAAAUAAUCCUCUCUUUUGAGUUUCACACCCAAACUAUUGAGAUUAUGAGAAAUACACCUAAUCUAUCACACUAAUUUGAGAAAUAUCUUGAAUAGUAGAUGCACUCUAUGAGGUAGUGUAACAAAUAAUAACCGUUGAAGGAGAAACAACAAAACAUGCAUGAGUGAGCAACUCUCUGUGAUAAUCUUUUAGCCCCAUUUUCUACCACUUAAAGUUGUAUUAUAACCUUUAGUCCUCCCCGUUGCCUCCCCCAAGAGAUCCUGAUUCUUAGAAAUCUUGUUAAUAGAUCUCUUUUUGAAGCCAACGUUUCUAUCAACCUUUCCGUUAUCAUCAGAGACCUCACAAAAGUGGCCUUUAGCUUUUUGUGACUUGCAUGACUUCACCCCUGCAAAAUUUAGUACUAUAUGAUAAACAUGUCCAAUAAAUAUAAUGUCCAUUCUAGUAACAUUUUAGAAACUAAUUCAGAAAAACUGAAAGACCUUAGUACACAGAAACAACUUUCUUAGAGAUAUUAAUACAAUUAAUAAUUGAUGAUGGAGGAACAACUAAAGAGACAUUAGUGAGCAACUCUCUGCACAAUUUUUGGUCUAGUUUCCUUCUUUUUGAAAUUGAAGUUGCAUUGUCACCUUCAGUGUUCUCCGUUUCCUCUCACAAGAGAUGUGUUUACCUUGAAUUAAUAGUUUUCUUUUGCGAGUCAACGUCUCCGUUAGGGAGAGGCUUCGGUGAAGAUCCCGAAUUUAUUUUGAUCAUUUUUUCCUGUUUUACUAAGUUUAUUUCCCUACUAUUGUAGGUACCUUAGGAAAAUCAUCCAUGCGUUUGCCUAAUGCUACUGGAGAUUUAUCAUGUGUCUUAUCAUCCACUUUGUUUUUUGUAACCUGGCAAAGCAAAAGUAGCAUUCAGAAGAGUUUAACUCUUUAUGUUGAGGAAAUUGAACUCUAAAUAGAGGGAAAACUUAACUCUCUCAAAUGAGGAAUGAGGAAUAAAAUUCAACUCCGUGAGGUGAGGGAAAAAUAUCAACUCAUAUACCUAACAACACUUGAGAUAUCGAACAGUUGCACAUAACUGAAAAAUCCUCUGCUUUAAUGCAUCUCCUCGUAGAAGAUGACGUUGUAAAAAAAAAAUUAAGUCAUAAUAAGCUAUGUUGCUUGGACUCAUCAAAAAUGCCAAUGAAUGCAUGUCGAAUUCGCCAAAAUUAGUGUUUUUUGAAGAAUCCUACAUGGGUGUGGCAUCAAAAUAAAGAGUCCACACAACUAAGAUAAUAAGAAAGCUUUUCAACUCUCUCAAUGCCUUCUCAAGUACCAUAUGUCGAAUUUUAGAAAUUUGCACAGGAAUAGUUUCUCAUUCAGGUGAUUGAAAAUCAAAGGCAGGCCUCUUCGUUUCAUAUUCAUCACCACCACCCCACAAUUUCCUACAACCACCGAUCAAAUCUUUUUUACUCCAAAGAUGUGACGCUUUUAAGGAAAAACAUCAGAUUCAAUCCUUAAAUUUAAAAAUGACGAUGAUAUUCUAUGCCUUUUCACUUGUGAGAAUACUUCACGAAUUUCUGAAUUUACUUGUCAUUGUUUCAUGUAAGUAUUAAAGUCAGAUGCAAAAAAUAGCACAACUGUAUCUAAAGAUACAUUAAGAUUAUCAAAAAGUAUAUCAUCUGUUAGAAGUAAUUUUUUGAAAGUGAAAAUGUUUUGAAGUAAAGCGGCUGAAAAAUACUUACACUUGUCACCCUCGUGAUCUUUCAAUUUUCAGCUUUCAACACAAUAAAUAGUGUGGCCAAAAGCUCUUGAUUAAGGGAUAAAUAGGCCAUCAUUUUCUCAAACAAACAAAAUGCUUUGUCGCACGAUGGUACUCAUUUUAGCAAAUACAACUUGAUAGAUCAAUUACAGUAAAAAUUAGUCAAGAAGCCAUAACCUUAUGCAACUUCAAAACUAAAUAAAACCAAGUCUAAUAUGAAAAAGUACGUAUGCAUGUAAUCUUGUAAUCAAAAGAGCAUUCAAGAGGUGUUGUGAAAGGUGCGCUUAAGGCUUGAAGCGAGGCACAGAACAUAUUGAGAUCUUUGUCUGUCUUGGUGAUUGAACUCCAAUUCUUAAUUGUAAUACAAAAUACUCAUAUUCAAGUGCUUAAAAUUGAAAAUUAAUAGUUAAAAAGAGCUAUCAAGGUCUAAAUAGUUGACCUAUCCAAAUAUAUUUUCAACUUUUAUCAUUUCAAUUGCAUUCACUAAUAAUAUUCAAUGUCUCUAUAUAGAUGGGAAGUAAUAGCUCCAAAAUCAGGCAUUAAUCUUGUAAAUUGGAUGAUCCAUUACAAUAUUAUCAAAGAAAAUCAUUUUCCAGAAUCAGGUUCUAUGUGUGGUCAGAUAAUUUCAAGACAAUUUUUUGACAAACAAAUCUGUGAAAUACAAAAUGCUUUAAAGAUCCUCCUAAAACAUAGACAAAAAUUAAUCAAUGCCACCUUUUAUGUUGUAUGAAUUUGUUGAACAUGUUUCAUCUUUUCUUAAAUCCAAAUAUAUUUGUAUUAAUAUAAGUGAAUUGAUAUUCAUCAAAAGUUUACUGUACUUAAAAAUGAUAUAACAUAGUUCAUAUGUUUCUUGUGGGUUUUAUUCCACUCAUUACACACACCUAGAGCGCAUUGCAUAGUAAUAAUGGCAACAUCUGCUAGCAUUGAGGGUGGAGUUGGAAGUAGAUUAAUCAACAACCCUUCAAUGGGAGCCAAUGUGCAUGACUGGACAGUAAACCAAAUUAGAGAACUUAUAUACGACCAAGAAAGCUAUAACAGUAAACAAUUACUACAAUAAUUUGAACUUGAACACUUUGAACAAACUCAAAUGAAGAUAUAACUACACUAAGAAACUAUAGCAGAUAUCCAUUUUUGAAUAUUAUUUGUGAAGCUUAUUUCCAAGAUGGUUUAUCAUACAAAGUGUCUCUUUCCUCAUUAUACAUAAUUGUAAAUUUACAUUGAUAUCUAACCAUUAAUAUCUAUAAAAUGGGACAAACACAUGAAGACCCUCGGCAUAUGCCACCACUCCACCUUUGUCUGCAGUAACAACUUGCGGUAUCAUUCAGCGCUAAAUAAUUUAGACCAUAUGAUUAAAUACAUAUGCAUAUUAUGUGAGAUUUCAGCAAUAAAAUAUGAUUCUUUGAGAAAACACUUACUCAAAGAUAGUAGACUUCAUAGUUCACUGUUUUACAACUCUAACCUUUUCAACAAUUGUUGGAAACUCAGCCUGCAAAGUACACGUAUCCUCAUAUCACUUAGUUGAGAAACCCCUAUACUUGAUGCUCUAUUUAGAGUUGUUGCUUCUAUACCGCAGGUAAAUAUUGAUAGGAUCACCUAACUUGUCACUCGUAAAAGCUAUUGUGAAGUUGGACAACAAAAACCUCUUGACUUUUAGUCAAAAGGCACUUGUAAAUAAAGAGGUAUCAAGUGUGUGAUGAAUUUCAAAGGAAUAAGUUAAAAUUUGAAGGGGUCUUCUUGGGAAGAGUGUGUUCUAAUUAAUUCUUCACCAUAUACCUUUAGUUUUUCAAAAAGAUGAACAGUUAAGCCAAAAAAAUUUCAGACUAACUCAACUUCUUCACACAAAUAGACACACAAACAAAGAAAAAAUUAGCACAAAAAAAGGAAAAGAUGGCCAAUAGAAAAGGAGAAGUCAUAUUCUUUCUUAAUUAAACCGGAUUGAGUCGAGAAGCUCAAAUAUAAGCCAUCAUUGUGAGAGUUCAUUUCCUUCCACUCCUACGCUAAAUCUGAAAGAUUUUAACAAUAGGUAAUGAUUUAUUUCAAUAGUCUACUGAAUGUAGUACCAUAUCUUCUUUGAACCCACACCAAGAAAGCUCCAUAAUUUGUUAUAAAACAUCAUUAUAAAAAAUGAAAAUAAAGCAAAAUGUUAACCAUCUAGUUACUUAAAAGUGAAAUAAAGAGAAGGCAAGAGAGAAGAAAAGUAACCACAUUUAGAAUCUUAAAAGUAUGGAACUCUAAUGUAUUACCUACAGUAGUUAUAACAUCAAAGUAAAUCGCUGCAUUAUCUUUGUGUAGAUUAUGAAACUAUUAAAUUCAGUCUAGGGUAAUAUUACAUAAGAAAACUCAAAAUAAAUAGACUCCAUACACUGUCAUUAAAAGCGUAUAAUAUAGUUAUCAACAAUGUCAGCAAACAUCAAAGAGUGUUCUAACGAAAGGUCUAUUCUAGUGAAAUUCUAUACUGUUUUGCUUAAUCUGUUUGUCAAUAGGAUAACAAAUGGUAGUAGUACAAAGUGUACUAUUUCUUGGAACAAUCUUAGGAAGAGCAUUGAAGAUGGACUAAGGCAACAACAUAGAGCUCAAACACAGGCUUAGUAAGAGACUAAAAAGAAUGUAACUAACAUCCCUAUUAUAUACCAGUAUUUUUAGUCUCAAUAUUCCAUUAACGUUAAACAAAUCAAUUUUUAAAUUUGGUAGACUUAAAAGAAUGGCAUUCAUACAACAAACUUUCAAACAAAAGAAAAAGAACAGAGGAUCCAAAACCAACUGUUGUAACUCGACAAACUGAUCUGCAUAUCAAAAGACUGUUGUUUUUUCCAGAAAACUCAUUUGUUUAGAUUAUAAUGCAACUCUAAAUGAUUAGGGCUUUACUAUUUUUUAAAUUAGAUAAGUUUUACUCUACUUGCACAUGUAAUUUCUGCACGGGGGGAUUCAAUAAAACCCCCUUCCUUAACAUUAGAUCAGCAUUUGGACACAAAUUCUCAUAAGGUAUAAGUAGGGAUUAUUAACAUACAAUUGUAGUUAAAUGGAAGAUAUUCAUUGUUGAUUGUUUCGGGUAUACAACAGAUAGACUUCAAUCCACUUUAUGUUUUACGGAUAAGAGUUUUUGUUAGCAAAAAGACAUGAGUAGAUGAGAAGGGAAAUCACAAGUAAAAAAGGUAACAUACCUCCAGUCGCCCAUCGUUUUUAAACGAUAUUUUUGUGCCAUUUAUGAGUUUUUAUAAACCUGUCUUUAUUUGGUGGAGCUAUAAUGUGAAAGAUUAGUCAUGUUUGUAAGUUAUUUGUCAAUACCUUUCAAAUGGAAAUGAAAAUUCAUUAGCUAAAAGCAAAGCAAAAAUUUUAAGUUAAUGUUGAUGAAUUGAGACAUUGGUUACGUUCCUUGACCUACUGCCCCGCGUAAUGCAAUUGUCCAUCAGAUGCUUCGUUUCAUCUAUUAUUCAAACCAUCUCUUGUGCUAAUUACAUUAACAAAUCAACACCACUGAAUACCAAAUAAAACAUAAAUGCUGCAGGCAGAUGAUCUUAUAUAGAUUAGCAUCAAAAAAUUCAAAGGAAGAAUCAGCGAACUUUUUUUCGACUUUAUGAUACAUUAGAACAAAACCGAUCACGGUCAGUCAUUUUAAAAGUACAUUCAUUAAAGACAAAGCCAUAAAGGAAACAGAACAUGGAAAAUAAUACAUAGCAGUACUAAUGAUGAAACAACUAAUAAAUAAUAUCUGGAAUAUUCAGUUCCGAAUCUCAAACCUUCUUUAACAAAGAGCUUGACCUGCAUCUGUUCGUUGCCCUACUUCCUUAAGAAAUAAAAGUUCAUCAGUUGUGUAAAAACUGACCGCAAACAUAAUGUUUUCGCCUAUUUUGCUUGGUAGUUUCAACAGUAUAGAAAUCUAUAUGUAGAAGAAUUGGAUUAAGGUAGUAAACUCCAACCUUCAAUAGUCAAAAUUGAAGUGAAAUUUCAAUGUUGAUGCCCGAAGAAUUGGAUCAAGGUAGUAAACUCCAACCUUCAAUAGUCAAAAUUGCAGUGAAAUUUCAAUGUGAUGACAGAUUUGACAGUGACUUUGACAAUGUCUGGCAGUUGGUGUUUCCACGAGAAAGAAGGCAACAAAGAUGAAAAAGCUUCAUUCUAUCAGAUAUGAGAUAGAGAGCAAAGUUAUUUAUCAGGGGAAAUGAUUGAGAAAGACGGUUUUUUUCCAACAGUUAAUAUGAGAUUUAAUCUGACUUUUGAAAUGUGCAGUUAAAAAAGAAACUGCUGAUAAUGGAUUAUUAUUGUAAUUGUGGGAUAAUUUAAAACUUACAAAUUUAUUAAGGUUUUUUUUUUUCAUCUUUGGGGUUUUGAAGAAUGACCAAUCGGCAAAUUGGACAAAUGCCAUAUAUGCCAUAUAUGGAUUAAGAAUAGGUUUUUUUUCCCUCCAUUUUAAAAUAUUUACAAUAUUUAUUAUAUUAUUAUUUUUUUGACAUUUAAUUUUUUAAUUUGAUUGUAAUUACUGACAUUUAGUUUUUUUAAUUUAAUUGUAAUAACUAAUAACAGCCAUAACUAUAUUUAUUUUACUAAGUUGCCAAAUGGCUUAUUCAUAGGAUGCCAAGUGGCUUAAUGAGGAGGCUUUAUCCUUUCCUAUUAAUAAUAAAUAGAUAUAGAUUUUAAAAGAGAUAAGCAUCCAGUAUCCCCUCGAACUAUGACCAAAGUUGCUACGACAUACUUCAACUUCAUAGGGUCCUAUUACCCCCUGAACUCUAUUUUAGUGUAAUUUUAUCACCCUUUUUUGUGUUGACGUGACACAUUUAUUACAUAAAAUGAGGCCUGCGUCAAAGGUUCCAUGUCAGCUACAAAGAUUGACAAAAGGUUCCACGUUACCUAAAAAGAAUAACAAAAAUAUGCUAAAAUUUAGUUCAGAAUUAAUAGAACCUACGUGAAAUUUGAGUAAAUCAUAGCAAAAUUGGUUGUAGUUCAGGGAGGUACUAAAUGCUUUACUUUUUCUAAAGAAUAAUAAAGGUAUAUAUCAAAGUAAUCAUCUUUUAGUAACUUAUUGUCUUAAAACUACAACUGAUGUAUUCUUCCGUUUAAAUAGAUAAAAGCACUUUCCCCACAUGCAACAAUAAUUGAAGUUCUCAUCCUAAUUUAUCAGAAGGCAAUAAAAAUUAAUACCAUUUUAGUCAUUCAGAGAGGUAUCCAUUUUUCUCUUGAUUACUUGCUAGCUAUCUUUUGUGUUUUGCACCUUUUCUUCAUCCAGUCAUAUUUGUGUUCUUUAAUGUUCUUUUUCUCAUAGUAUAUUUGUUGCAGUGAUCAGUUGCUUCUUCCCAACUCUCUACCAUUGAAAGGUUAGUUUCAGUUAAUUACUAAGUUAAUAACUGUUGGUUGAGUGAUCAUCUAAGUUUGAAAAUAAAACUGAUGAUCCAAAAGUACAUAAAUCUGUCAGCGAAUACAAAACCAGACACAAAACUAGAUAGGAUGAGGUAGGAGGUCGAAUCUAGAAGCAUAGAGCGGCCACUACCUUGGAUGUGACAAGUCUCUGCCCGAACUCAGCUGUCGUGCGGCGCACUCGUACUUAGAUCUGUACCAAAAGGGCACAGUAGGGAUGAGUAUGGUUCACUUGUACUCAGUAGGUAUCAUAGUCCGACCGAGCAAAGUAGAAAAUAAAGUAUAUAAAAUACACACUAUGGGCACGUCACUACAAUCAGAAAAGAUCCCAAAUGGUAUCCCAUACCAUCUACACUAACCGUUCUAAUAUAAUACAUAUACCAAGUACAAGUACGAAAGAGAAGCGCAGAAUAGAUAGACAUCAAAUCAAACACAAAGGUACAAUCACAAAGAGUGCAUAAUGUAUGAAAUGCAAUGAGAAUGAGGAUGAUGAUGUGAUAAGUUUGAGGUUGUCGCACAACCUCUGUAUACACCUACAAUGAAAAGAGCUUAGAAAAGAUUGAUUUUGAGCCUUGAAUCUUGUAAUCUAUGUGUUCUUGCUUCUAAGAAUAUUUGGGAGGAACAAAAUGAGGGAUUUUGAAAAUUUCUACUAGUUUAGGACAGACUUUAGGGUUAUAAAACAGGUUGGGAAAGUUACAUGGGAUGAAAGGACAAGUUUGCCCCUAAUUUAAUAAGAGAAAAACAAACUUUUACGGUGGAGAGGUAUGAUCCCCUGGCUCGAGCUCCGCCCCAUGCUGCCCAACGCGCAGCUGGGAUGCUGCCUCACUAAAAUUUUUCUAACUUUUUGCUUGGGACUCGUUUUGAUGAACGGUCGGUGCCGUUGGAAAGAAGACUCAAAAAGCUUUAAUUUGGUAGGUAGUAGGCGACCAAAAUCAUUAUAUAUUUGGAUUAAUGAACGUUGGAAGUUGACCCAAGUAAGAAGAAAAAUUUUCAACUUAACUUUGAGCUAGGAGAUUUCUAUGACCUCAAUUCAUCUACAAAGAUGUUCCAUACUAAAGAAUUGAUUCUCACACUUAAAAAAUAAAUAUAAACUAUUGGGUUCAGGUCUAUACACAUAUGAAGAAGGUUCAAACCGAAGACUAAUAAAUUACAAGAUCAAAACUAUUUUAGAAAUUGUGAAUAGCGAAGACUAAUAAAUCACCUAUUCUUAUUUAAAUUAUGAGUACCUUUUUUGCCAAUCUGAGUAUCACGUUACCUAUAAUACAAUUGACCUCUUGCAUCUUGCAGCUUGCAGGUCAUAAUCGCAAAGGCAAACGUGAAUAUGGUAGAUAUGGCUCAUGCAAGUGUGGCUUUUCUUAAGUGAACAAUAGAAUCGCUCUUGAAAUCCAAUUCGCCGAUGCAAUCUCUAAUUGUGAAUAAUGAAGAAUUUUGCACUCUUCAUGAAAAAGUUAGGUCCCUGGAAGCAUUUCUCAAGAACUUUGAGAAAAACAAUGUUUCUGGGGAAAUGACGGAUUUUGAAGUAGAGUAAAAGAAGUUGCAAAUGUUAUUGAACAAACAAUUCAACUAGGAGUAACUGAAGUUGUAUUGGCAAAUGAUGAAAAUCUGAGAGAAAAGUCACAAGAGAGGCUUUUUGAUAGCCUGCAACAAGUAGCAGAGGACGUUGAUCAUAUCUGGAAAGAGUUCAAAAAGAUUCAAGAUAAAGGCAAACAUGCAUCAAAGGAAUCAAUGGUUCAAUAGUUUCCAAGCUCGUCAAAAGAUAAUAUUGAGAACAAUAUGGUUGGACGUGAUGAUCAAAGGGAACGGUUGGUAGAGCAUCUGACUACAGGCUACUCUGGUGAACCCAAAGUCAUCCCGAUUGUCGGGAUGGGAGGCAUAGGUAAGACAACCUUAGCGAACGAAGUUUACAGCGAUACAUGCAUUCGUUCUCAUUUUGAUGUUUGUGCCUGGGCUACUAUUUCUCAACAACACAAUGUAAAGGAAAUCUUGUUGAGCCUUCUGCGUUCUACAAAGGUUGACAAAGUUUUCUCGGAAAGUGAGGCAGAGCUGGCAAACAUGCUACAAAAGAGUUUAAAGGGUAAGAGAUAUUUAAUUGUAUUGGAUGACAUCUGGAAAACUGAAGCAUGGGAUGCCGUGAGACAAUGUUUUCCUCGUGAAAACAAGGGGAGUGGAAUAUUGUUGACGACCCCUAACACUGAAGUAGCGCGCUAUGCUGGUACAAAGAAUUCAUUGCCGAUGAGGUUCAUGGAUCAAGAUGAGAGUUUGAACCUUUUCAGAAGUGUAGCAUUUUCAAGUGAAGAAUUACCAUCUGAAUUGGAGACUAUUGGGAAGCAAAUCGUAGAUGAAUGUCACGGGUUACCACUAACUAUUGUCAUGGUUGCUGGACUUCUCAAAUCAAAAAGGGCAAUAGAAGAUUGGGAAAGUGUUUCUAAAGAUGUCAAGUCAUUCGUCACGAAUGAUCCUGAUGAACGAUGUUCACGUGUGCUUGGGUUGAGUUACGAUCACUUGACAAGCGAUCUAAAGGCAUGUCUUCUGCAUUUCGGAAUUUUUUGAGAAGACAGUGAUAUUCCAGUGAAGAGAUUAGUGAUAUCAUGGAUGGCUGAGGGGUUCCUGAAGUUGGAAAAUGAUUUGGAAGGAGAGGCUGAGAAGUGUUUGCAAGAGCUUGUCGAUAGAUGUCUAGUCCUCGUCUGCAAGAAAAGUCUGGAUGGAACAAAAAUUAGAUCAUGUAAGGUUCAUGAUCUAAUAUAUGACCUGUGCUUGAGAGAAAUUCAAAGGGAGAACAUUUUUAUCAUGAACGACAUUGUGCUUGAAUUUAAUUCAGGAUGGAAAUAUCUCAGUAUGCGAAAAAUGCAGCCCUUUAAACGCGUGACUGGUGAUGAAAUUGAUUAUUGUCGCUCUGGUCUUUAUAGGGCUCUUCUUACCCCUGUACAUCUUCAGUUGAGAGAUCAUGACAACAACGAUCUUUUGAAAUGAACCCGUUCUAUUUUCUCUUCUUACCCCUGUACAUCACAUAUUUUUCGCAAAUCAGAGAUUACUCAUUUCAAAUUACUCAAAGUCUUGGAGUUGAGACGCAUAAUGAUUGAUCAAUUCCCUGUACAGAUACUAAGCCUCAUCUGGUUGAGGUACCUAUCAUUGCAAUGCGGUAAGAAAGUAGGCAUUCCUCCAGAAAUUUGUAGGUUAUGGAAUCUGCAGACAUUUAUUGUUAAAGGGCCUAGUCUACGGAAAAUAACUUUUCCUGAGGAAAUUUUGGGACUAAUGCAAUUAAGGCAUCUCAAACUGCCCGAAUUUUAUCUGCCAAAUCCCCCUAGCGUAUCUGCUGACAAAGGGAGUCACAUGGGUUUUUCAAACAUGCAAACUAUUUCUUACUUGUCUCCAUGUUGUUGCACGAAGGAGUUUAUUACGAGGAUUCAGAAUGUCAAAGAAUUAGGACUCAGUGUAUAUUGGAUUGAAGAAUUAGGACUCAGUGCAUAUUGGAUUGACUAUGAUGGGCUUCUCAACAAUCUUGUCCAUCUGCAGCAACUUGGAACAUUGAGUCUUACAUAUCGUUUUGGAGGAUUUUUGCCAGCAAGUGCAAAAGCUUUUCCGGCAACUCUCAAGAAGCUGAAGUUAAAAAGUACUUAUCUAAGUUGGUCGUACUUGGACAUCAUAGCUGAAUUGCCUAACCUUGAGGUGCUGAAGAUGAUGUAUGGUGCUUGUGAUGGCGAAGAAUGGCGUCCAAUGGUUAUGGGAUUUAAUUGAUUGAAGCUUUUGUUAAUUGAACAUAAUGAUCUCAAGUACUGGAAAGCCAAAGAUGACAAUUUUCCUGUCCUUGAGUGCCUUGUGCUUAGAUGUUGCAAUUAUUUAGAUAAGAUACCCAUCGAGUUUGCAGAAAUCCACAUACUACAACUUAUUGAGUUAAGAAAGUGUCCUCCCAAAAUUGGGGAUUCUGCAGCGAAAAUUCAACAAGAACAAGAAGAGCUCGGAAACAACCCCGAAGGCAUGAGUUCAGACAACUCGUUCCCCAAAACCGUGAUUUGUCGAUUUGGGUAUACUAUAUUACGCUGGCCUAGUGUCGUGUGGUGUAUUAGAAUAGAAACUCCAAUCCUUGAGGCACACUUGGAUUGGGGCCUUCCCAGCCGAGUCAAUGGCGGAUUCCAUAUAGCCCGUGGAAUUUUAGAAUUGUAGGGGUGUACCACCUAACUCGGAAUUAAUACGAAGAUUAGAAACUGCAUUGUCAAGAAUGAUUUAUGAUUUUACAGAAAGGUGCCCAUGUGUUUUGAAAACUAUUUUAUGUAUGAUGUUUGAUAAAUUGCUCUCCAUUAUUUUAUUUACAUAGAAGCUUUAUUUUGGAUUGCUCUGCGUACCAGUACAUCUGUAUUGACCCCCCCUCCCUCCAGGUUCUGAGGCACAGUCUAAGGGUCCUGAUAAGCAGUAGAUUUCAUCAAACAGGAGUGAAGAGUAUUAGUUGGUGAGCCUUCUAUAUUUCAGAAGGCCUAGUUUCUUUCAGACAGUUAUUAUUUAUUAUAGGUUUGGUCUACUGGGGGCCUUGUCCCAGUUUUCAGACAGUUGUUAUUUGAUCAUGUAGUAGAGAUUUCACAGACGGUUUUUAGACGGUGUUUAGUUGAUAUUGGAUUUUAUUCGUUAUUGUUAAACUAGAUUUAGAUUAUGACCAUGUUUCCGUAGAAGAUUUUAUUUCCACAUUUCCAAUUUAUGUAUGAAUAGUGAAUAUGAUUACAAGUUAGAAGGGCUCUCGGGCCUUCAUGGUUCAGGUUCCGUCAUAGACAGGACCCUGGUUUGGAUCGUAACAUCUACCUUUACAGCAGUGCUUGAAGGCUAUAGUGAUGCUACUUGGAAUUCUGAUCCGAAUGACUCUAAAUCUAUUACUGCUUGGAUUUUUACUUUGGCUGGAGCAGCAAUAUCUUGGAGAUCAAAGAAGCAGACAUGCAUUACUCACUCAACCAUCUAGUCAGAAUUUAUUGCUAUGUCUUCUGCUGGAGAAGAAGUUGAUUGGCUGCGGAGUAUGCUGAUAGAUAUUCCAUUAUGGGGUAAGCCAAUAUCACCUUUGACUAUACAUUGUGAUAAUAAAGCUGCUAUAUUUCGGGCUUAAAGUGAUUGUUACAAUGGCAAGUUAAGACAAGUUCAUCUCAAACACAGUCAUGUGAGAAUAUUAUUGGAGGAUGGCAUAAUAUCGCUUCAAUAUGUGAAGUCCAAACUCAAUUUAGCCGAUUGUUUGUCUAAAGGGUUAGGCAAGGAAUUGGUGGUACAAACCUGUAAUGGGAUCGGAAUAAAGCCUGUUGUAGGUUGAUUGUACUUUAUAGUAACCCUACCUGAUGAUGUAAUCUUAGGUUCAAAGGGAAAAAUAAGUAAAGUUACAAUAGUGAAGCACAUCAAUAAAAUUUCCUUUUUCCCUAGAGAGUGUGAGUAGAUGUGCAUAAGUUGAGAUUUAUUCUCUUGAUAAAUCUAUAAGACCGAUAUCGGUUGGAGUAAAUAAUAACUCUUGAUAGAUUUGACAGUAUUCCUACAAAAGAAAAGAAUGAGAUUAUAUUCUCUUAUUAAGUCUAUAAACCGAUUUCGGAUGGAGUGUGUAGGAACACUCUUGAUAGAUUUACUGAUACUUUAUUGUAAAGGAGAAUGAGAUUAAUUUCUCUUAAUGAAAUUCAUAGACUACUUAGUCGGAGUAUGCAAAGUUACUCUUGAUGAAUUCACCGCACUAAGUGCAAAGUGGAGGCCGCUUCAAUAAGAUUUUUACGGGGAAAUCUUAAAGCAUUUAGCUAAAAAGAUUCGGGACACAUGGCCGUAAGGUGUCAAAGGAUGUUGAUUUUCACCGGAACAUAGAAAUAUGCAUAGAGUAUUUUUCUACUUCAUUCAAUGAACCACUUAGUUCAAGAUUUGUUCACUAGGGAGUCAAUGAUUUAGAAAGUCUUCACUAGCUAAUGUUUCAAGUCCAAAAGACACCAUUAUUGAUGCAUGUUGCUAGAUUGAUGUCUGAAAUGAAUUUUGUUUUUUUUUUUAAAGAUAAAAUUUCUUGAUACAAGUGGGGGAUUGUUGAUUUUAUGUUUCCAUAAAUUUUGAAACAAAUACAACGGUUAAAGAUUUUUAAGAAUUAUGUUUCAAUUAGUUUUGAAACAAAUGCAUCACUUAAAGUUUUGAGUUACAAAGGAAAUGAAUUUGACAAAUUUAUUAUUCAUAAGUUUUGAGUUACAAAGGAAAUGUAUUUGACAAAUUCAUUAUUCAUUAAGUUUUGAGUUACAAGUUCUUGAAAGAAUGACAUUUUUUGUUUUAAAACAUACAUGAACCUAUUAACUAUUACUUAAUUAAUAUACUUCUCAUGCAUGAAACUUUCAUCCUAUAAAUUUUAAAACAUGCAUGAAGCUAUUAACUAUUACUUAAUUAAUAUACUUCUCAUGCAUGAAACUUUCAUCCUAUAAAUAUUGUUUUCUUUGGCUUGAUAAGACAAGCACUCAAAACUACUUUCCCCUUGAAAAACACUUGAGAGACAUUGAUCAAAUGGUGAAAUCACCAAUUCAAGAAUAGAAGAGCAACAUACUUGAAUUCUACAUGUUUUUUCGCUUAGUUGAAUCCCGAAGAUAAAGUUGUCACUUGUUCUUCCGUUUGCUCGUGGGAGAGACUCCAACUAUCUUCAAGAAGCGUAUUAUCGUACCUCUAAGCCAAGAAAGUUUUAUUUUGAAUUUCUUGUACAAUUAUCAUUAUUGUUCUAACAUCUCAUUUCCCUAAUGCACAUCAUACAGUGGCUCGAUCACAUCAUAAUGAUGAUGAUGAUGAAGAAGAAGAUUCAGAUGUUGAUGUUGCAAAAGAUGAUGAUGAUGAUGAUUCAGAUGUUGAUGUUGCAAAAGAUGAUGAUGAUGAUUCAGAUGUUGAUGUUGCAGAAGAUGAUGAUAAUGAAGAUUCUGAUGCUGAUGCUGCAAAACAUGAUGAUAAUUACGAUCUUAAUUGGUUGUUCGAUGUUCAGAAUAACCUGUAAUGUAAACGGAAACAAUGGAUUAACAAUUUGAUACUGUUAUAGACUACUGAUGCUAGUUCAUCACCCUACCUUUUUUCAUAAAUGUAAAUGUAUUAUGUUAUUUGGUUUUAUAGAGUCCAUGAAGCGUGUUGUGUCUAUAUCCCAUAUAGAAAUUAAUUAUUUUUUUAAAAAAUACAUAUAAUAUAGUCAAAAAGAUAUAAAAAUAAAAAGAUUCGAACAAUCAUCUUUUUGAUAUAUCUCUAUGGUCUUUAUAGGGCUCUUCUAACCCCUGUGCAUCGUCAGUUGAAAGAUCAUGACAACAACCAUCUUUUGAAACGAACCCAUUCUAAUUUUUCAUUUGGUCUUUAUGAUUCAAUUUAUUCUGUUCUCUAAUCAGAGCUUAUUCAUAUCAAAUUACUCAAAGUCUUGGAGUUGAGACACAUAGAGAUUGAUACAUCAGGCUUUUGAUUUGUAGACUUGUGUAGUUGCUUGUCAAUCACCAGAACUAAUUUCAGUUUCACUCAUAUGAAUGGAAUACAACAGUUUUCUCAAAAAAUAACUUGUUUAUCAAGGAUUUAGACAUGUAUAAAUUUGCCAGUCUUUUCCAAAUACUUUCGAAAACAGCCUCUCUAUCUCCACGAGGUAGUGAUAAAGUUUGUGUACACUCUACCUUUUCCAGACCUCACUUGUGGGAUGUCACUGGGUAUGUUGCUGUUGUUGUUGUUCCAAGUUCAAAUCAUCGGUAACUAUAUGUUUAUUCUUUGUGUAGAACUUAUACUAGGUAACUACACAACAAAAUUUUUCGACGAAGGGUGUGCUGACUACCCUUUGAUAUAGGUGGUUCCGUCCAUGCUACAGCUAAUCGAGUUACAGAACUGUAGUUCAAAACUAGUGGCUUCUGCUGGACGAAUUCAAGAAGAACAAGAAUACAAAGGAAACAAAGCUGUGGGGGUUCGUACUUACAAUGAUCCAGGUGAACACAAUCAGUAGUGUACACAGAACUUCUUGUUGUGAACCCGGCUAUCAUAGAUAAUACUAAUGGGCCAGAUAUGCGUAUCAUAUCCUUCAAAAGUGGUUCAUUUUUGAAGGAUUUGACACGGCUACGGCAUCUUUUUUGGAGAGUACAAGCAACAUAGAAAACGUCCGUUUUCAACUUUUACACCUUCAAUGAAGAUUCUAUGAGGCUGGAUAGCCCAUAGUUAAGAAUCAAGUUCUUGUUCACCAUAGACAGAAUUAAACGUGAAAAGAAACACAACUAUUCACAGAAAUUUGCAGGUUUCGACCAUCCAUGAUGUACAAGUUAACAAGGAAACAAAGCGUAAAGUUGUGCAUCAAGAGAAUAUCAAUCAGAGGAUGGCCCCGGAGAACUCGAAUGACUUCUCUGUCUCUUCCAGACAAUGGUUCUUCUCCUCUCUAGUCCAGUUCUGAGCAAAAGCAUCAAUGAAAAUGGAUCAUGUAAAGUCGUUAAUAACAACUUAGGUGAAAGAAUACGAUAAUAGUUUUAAACAGUCGAAAAAUUGUAAAGAGGGGAUGAAGGAUUAUACUUCUGCAACUUUGUUCAGCUUAUCUAUAACAUUCUGCAGCAGCAGAGAAAGUUCGCCGUCCCAUUUGUAGAAUUCCAGCUCUUUCUUGUCUAGUAUCUUUUCAGCUACCUAUAAAGCAAGAAGAAGCAAGAUUGUGGACAGUAAAUGGUUACCUUUUUUCCUUUAAUGUUCGUAGGUCUACGAAGGAAAAGAAACAAUGCAAUAGGGCCUCUACGACAGCACUAGUUUAACGAAGGAAUUUGUAUUGGCAGUUUAGGAGUACUCCAUGUUACAUUUCUUCUAAUCUGAAUUUAUCGUCUGCCGGACAUUUUUAACACUGAUGAAUACUGAAAUUUUCAUUUUUACAAUGUUGUUUAGUUUGCUUGCUACUGUUAUCAUAAUUUCAACAAACUAAGUGAUCAUAAUGACAUGAACUAGUAAUAUUUCAACUACCAUCAAAGUUGAAGUACUAACGAGUAAAAGGGGUCGAACGGCAAUAUGGUAAGAAGGUGAAAAAUGUAAUUCAGAAAAUUCUAAGACCUAUGAACUAAGUUGUUUGUGACAGAAGCGUAAUGUUGUGGUAUGAACUAAACUAUACACCCUCACAUCCAUGUGAAACUAUGGCGUAACAAUUGAGUUUACUGAACCAUGUUCUCCACAUGAAGUUGCCUAGGAUACCCUUCAAAAAGAAAAAGAUUUACGAUGGUGGUACGGAGUCUAGCUUGUGCUCACUUUGGCUAUUCCACUGAGUAUCUGCUAACUCUCACCAGCACAGAUAUGGGGUAACUCUACCUAGCAACGCUUAGGUAAACGGAAUGAACGGCCUAGUGUUUUUUAUUUUUUUGCCACUGCUCGGAUUUAAACCUCAUCAUAUUUCUCCUCCCACUACAUUGACUACUAAACCACACCCUUGGGUGUCCUCAGAUACCCUUCAAAUUAUGACUUAAAAAUAACUUCGAAUUUCGCUCAUUCCAUAUUUCUAUGAUGAAAAUCUAGCUUUAUAUAUCACAGUAUCAGAAGUAAAAUGUAGAAUAAUACUAAAAAAUUCAAAGACGACAUUACUAACCUUUCUGCCUAUCAUGCGACCUCCAGCUGAAUGUGCAAAGUAGGUGUUGUAAAAAUGAAAAAUAAAUGCUUGAGGAUCCUUUUCUGAUAGCUCCUCUAAGUAACGAGCAUAGCUUAUGCCAGGAGUUGAUGGUUCUGGGUAUUAGAGUGGGUAAAAAGUCCCACAUUGGUUGGGGAAUGGACUAGUAGUUUGCUUAUAUAGACUUGGGUAAUCCUCACCUCUUGAGCUAGCUUUUGAGGUUGAGUUAGGCCCAAGAAUGUUCUUGACAUGGUAUCAGAGCCAGGUCCAUCUCCGUUUUGGGCUCCCGGUCCACGCGCCAAUGCCAGGUGGGCCUGGGCGUGGGGGGUGUGAGUGGGUAAAAAGUCAAACAUUGGUAGGGGAAUGGACUGAUAGUUUGCUGAAUAUAAACCAAUAAUUGAGUAUUGCGGCGGUACAGAGAUUGGUGGCUCCUUCGUCUCUGGGUCAAUGUUGCAGCCCCAGUCUUUAGCCGCUUUCAGCACCCCAGUCAUGGGGAUGAAUAUCUUUGUCUGAUGGGAAGAGCUAGCUUUUGGAAUUGAGUUAGGCCAGUUGGGCCUGGGCGUGAGGAGGGUGUUAAAGUGGGUAAAAAGUCCCACAUUGGUUAGGGAAUGGACUGGUAGUUUGCUUAUAUAAACUUGGGUAAUCCUCACCUCUGGGGAAAGACCCGGACAUUGAGAGGCGGACAAGGAGGUUAUAUCGCUCUAAAAUAGGUACUGAUAACGAACCACAAGCCCUGAGCUAGCUUUUUAGUUUGAGUUAGGCCCAAGGUCCAUUCUUGACACCGGCAUGGCAUGACCAUGUUGCCUAAACCAUUCCAAAUCCUUUGCUAAGACCUCUGACCUUUCUAAUCCUGUGUGACUGAACUCAGCUGCCUAAACCAUUCCAAAUCCUUUGCUAAGACCUCUGACCUUUCAAAUUCUGUGUGACUGAACUCAACAUAUGCAGUCAAACGAAUGAGCGCUAAGAUUGCGUUUUUCUACCAAGGCAUUUAUUUAUACGUCUCUGUGGAGAAUGUUUUCUUGAAAAUUGGAAGGCACAAAUGUCUUUGCUGUAUGUCAAAAUUAAUCACUUUGUGGUGUUAAUUACAUUAGUGUAAAGCCUUACUAAACAUAAAGGGAUACACCUUUCCGAUGAAUCAUUGCUUCCUUUUGUAAGAGGUACUUGAUGGCUAUAAAUACCUGCAUUUUUUGAGAAUUAGACACAGGUGUGACAACCUUUUUAAAGAGUUCCAGCAACUUAGAUAUAUAGUACAAGUCUGUAUGAUCCAAAUAUCAUCCUAAGAAAACAUUACUAAGUAAGCAAAGCGGAGCCAGGAUUUUUAGUCUAUGGUUCUGAACCGUAAUCGUUUUAUGGGAGUUAAAUAUUUUCACAUACUAAAUACGAAAAAGCUACUGAUUUUUGCCGAAUACAUCAAAUGCCUUCCUCGAGUAGGAGUGAACCCGAUGUUAAAUCUCUUCAAUGCAAGAGGUUAACUGGCAAAUAACGAGCUCAAACUGAAGAAAAUAUUUUCUGAUCAUAAGAUGCAGAGUAGAUUGAAUACAGAGGAGGAGAUCAAUAACUGCUACUACCUAAUCCUCUAUAUAUAGACAAGAGCUCUUCUAGAAUCUUCCUAAAAGUUGAUGAAUUAAGUUAGCUUAACUAACUGCUCCUAACUAACCGCUGUGUACGGCUCAUCACUUAGUGUACUGCUGUACACUUCACUAAUUGCUCAACACCCGACCACUUCACGCUGAAGGUUAUACUGAUCUACGAACCACUCUUCUCUUUGAUUUGUCCUCCCUGACCUCUCUUAAGCCUUUCAACGAUCGUUUAGGUAGCAUUAAGUCAGGCUUUGUCCCUGUCAGUAAGGACCAUUUAGCAACGGCAUAGCAACGUGGAAUGCAGUGCGACUCGUUAGCUGCUCUGUGACACUGAUUAACAACACUGAUGGACCUUAGGUCUAACUCAACCCAAAAGCUAGCUGAAGAGGUGAGGAUUGAUGGAGAUCAUAUAAAGAGGCCAAAUGCUCCUUAAACAUGAUAAAGACUAAUAAAUUACCUGAUCGGCUUCAAGCAAUGUGUGACUUCCAAGGAGAUGUGACCUCUUUCGUAUUGUAACAUAUUUUUGAGUUGAUAGAAUUUUUAGUAAUAUUACUCAGUUGGGCAUUACUAAAUUUUUGAGUUCACGAGCUCACAAUGGUUAACACGCACUCAUUUUAUUUGGUAACGUUAUUUAUUAAAUGAAUGGAGAUGUGCAUUUAUAUGGUGAUUCUCUUGUUUUAGUUUUAAAAGCAAUUACUAAUAAAGAUUGAAGUUCAAAGAUUUCAUCAUAGUUCUUACUGUUUAAAUUUUAAUUACUAUGUUUUAGCAUUAUUCUUUAGCUUUCAAGGAGAUGUAAUUUCUCUAUAUCUUAAAUAAGGGGCAUCUAUUUCUCGACUGCUUCGAACUGUUUAUCUUUAGGAAAGGGUCUAUCGGAAACAUCGUCUCUACCUCUGACAUAACGAUAAGGUUUUGCGUAUAUUCUACCCUCUCCAGAUCCCACUAUGUGUAUAAAGCACAACAUUUUUUCCAAAGUGCAUCUUUUUUUUUUUUGGCAGAGAUAAAGGACCAUUUAUGUUCAACAUUAUAUUAUAGGGACCUAAGUGAACCUACUAUGUAAAGUUAAGGGACUGUUUGGGCUGAUAAAUUCUGCGGAUAUCAUUUCAGCCACUCAAAUUUUAUCUUGGUUAGGUACUCUUAUCUUUUGUUUUUUACACAUUUGAUUACUGUUACUCAUAAUAUUGUCAUUUCUUUUAUCCUUUUCUCAAAUAUGUCUUUCAGUGAUUUUGAAGCUGUAUGAUCUGCCAUUGAAAGGUUAAUUUCCCUUAAUUAUUCUCUCAUUUAAUUAAAGUUUUAAAGCUAAAAGGUUAGUGGCUCUUUGUACUAUGUAUAUAGUUAUGUUGCUCGAGCUCCUCAAAAAUAACGUUGAUUACGUGUUGUAUCCUUCAAAAGUUGUGCAUUUUUCUAAGGAUCUGACACGGUUGUGGCAACUUUUUUAAAGAGUCGUCCCAGCAACAUAGAAAACACUGCCUAAGUAAGCGAAGCGGAGUUUUGAACCACAAUCUUUUUUGCUUACUGGGAAUUAAAUUAUUUUUACGCAUUAAAUGAGCUAAAGCUACUGAGUUUGGUACUGAACUCACUGUUACCCUGUAAUAGCUAUGAUUAAGGCAAAUGCAUUACCUGAUCUUAUUUAGUUUAUGCAUGCCUUUUCUGCAAAUUUGUGUAUCUCGUUAUUUGUAAUACCAUUGACCUCUUGCAAGCCGCAGCUUUCAGGUCAUAACCACAAAGGAAACAAGUGAGAAUACAGUAGAUAUGGCUCAUGCAGGUGUGGCUUCUCUUAUGAGAACAAUAGAAUCGCUCUUGACAUCCAAUUCGCCGAUGCAAUCUGUAAUCUGUGAUCACAGAGAAGAACUUUGCGCUCUUCGUGAAAAAGUUAGUUCCCUGGAAGUAUUUGUCAAGAACUUUGAGAAAAACAAAGUUUUCGGAGAAAUGACGGAUUUUGAAGUAGAGGUAAAAGAAGUUGCAAGUGCUGUUGAAUACAGAAUUCAACUGAGACUAACAGAAACUGUACUGGGAGUAAAUAAAAGACAGAAAAAAAAGGUGUGUCGAAAGUUUCGUGAAAGCCUGCAAAAAGUAGCAAAGGACAUGGAUCGUAUCUGGAAUGAGUCGACAGAGCUUCAGGAUAAAGGGAAACAAAUAUCAAAGGAAUCAUUGGUUCAUGAAUUUUCAAGUUCAACAAACGAUAUUCUGAAUGUUAGCAAUAAUAUGGUUGGACGUGAUGAUCAAAAGGAACGCUUGUUAGAAGAUCUGACUGUAAGCUACUCUGGCGAACCCAAAGUCAUCCCGAUUGUCGGGAUGGGAGGCAUAGGUAAAACAACCUUAGCGAAAGAAGUUUACAAUCAUGAAUCAAUUCUAUGCCGUUUUGAUGUUCGUGCCUGGGCUACUGUAUCUCAACAGCACAACAGAAAGGAAAUUUUGCUGGGCCUUUUGCGAUCGACGAUCAAAAUAGAUGACACGAGGGGUGAAGCAGAGCUAGCAAACAUACUGCAGAAAAGUUUAAAGAGAAAGAGGUACUUAAUUGUCUUGGAUGAUAUCUGGAGUUGUGAAGUGUGGGAUGGCGUGAGAUGAUGCUUUCCAACUGAAGACAAUGCAGGGAGUCGAAUACUGUUGACUACCCGUAAUGAUGAAGUAGCUUGUUAUGCUAGUUUAGAGAAUCUUUCUUUGCGUAUGAGCUUUAUGGAUCAAGAUGAGAGUUGGAUUCUUUUCAAAACUGCAGCAUUUUCCGGUGAAGCAUUACCAUAUGAGUUCGAGACUGUUGGGAAGCAAAUCGCAGAUGAAUGUCACGGGUUACCACUAACUAUUGUCGUGGUUGCUGGACUUCUCAAAUCUAAAAGGGCAAUAGAAGAUUGGGAAAGUGUAGCUAAAGAUGUCAAGUCAUUUCUCACAAAUGAUCUUGACGAACAAUGUUCACGUAUGAUUGGGUUGAGUUACAAUCACUUGACUAGCUAUCAAAAGACUUGUCUACUGCAUUUUGGAAUUUUUCGAGAAGACAGUGAGAUACCAGCGAAGAAUUUGAUGAGAUCAUGGAUAGCUGAGGGGUUCCUAAAGUUGGAAAAUGAUUUGGAAGGAGAGGCUGAGAAGUAUUUGGAAGAGCUUGUCGAUAGAUGUCUAGUCCUCGUCUGCAAGAAAAGUUUAGAUGGAACAAAAAUUAGAUCAUGUAGGGUUCAUGAUCUAAUAUAUGACCUGUGCGCGAGAGAAAUUCAAAGGGAGAACAUUUUUAUCAUGAACGACAUUGUGCUUGACCAAUCAGUUUCAGAAUGGGGACCUCUCAGUAUGCAAAAAAUGCAGCCCUUUAAACGCGUGAAUGGUGAUAAAAUUGAUUAUUGUCCCAAUGGUCUUUAUAGGGCUCUUCUUACCCCUGUACAUCGUCAGUUGAGAGAUGAUAACAACAACGAUCUCUUGAAACGAACCAGUUCUAUUUUCUCUUCUCGUCUUAAGAAUUCCUAUUUUCCUCUCAAAUCAAAUCUUAUUCAUUUCAAAUUACUCAAAGUCUUGGAGUUGAGAAACAUAGAGAUUGAUAAUUUCCCUGUACAGAUACUAAGCCUCAUCUGGUUGAGAUACCUAUCAUUGCUCUGCCCUGUGGAUUUUGACAUACCUCCAGAAAUUUGUAGGUUAUGGAAUCUGCAGACAUUCAUUGUUCAAGCGCCACAGAAAUUCAUUGGUCGAUCAGUUUUAAUAACUUUUCCUGAGGAAAUUUGGGGACUAAUGCAAUUAAGGCAUCUUAAACUGCCCUGAUUUUAUUUGCCAGAUUGCCCAAGUGGAUCUGCUGACAAAUGGAGUCACAUGGGUUUUUCAAACAUACAAACUAUUUCUUACUUGUCUCCACGUUGUUGCACGAAGGAGGUUAUAAUGGGGAUUCAGAAUGUCAAAAAAUUAGGAAUCAGGGGACGUGGAUGUGUGAGAAUUCUGGACUCUGGGCUUCUCAACAAUCUUUUCCAUCUGUAGCGACUUGAAACAUUGAGCUUUCACCAUUUGCCAGCAAGUGCAAAAGCUUUUCCAGCAACGCUCAAGAAGCUGAAGUUAAGACUUACUGCAUUAAGUUGGUCGUACUUGGACAUCAUAGCUGAGUUGCCUAACCUUGAAGUGUUGAAGCUGAUGCCGUAUGCUUGUCUUGGCAAUGAAUGGUAUCCAAAUGUUAAGGGAUUUACUCGAUUGAAACUUUUAUUAAUGAAAGAUAAUUAUCUCAAGUAUUGGAAAGCCACAAAUGACAAUUUUCCUGUUCUUGAGCGCCUUGUGCUUAAAGAAUGCCAUAAUUUGAAAGAGAUACCCAUUGAGUUUGCAGAAAUCCAUACACUACAGCUGAUUGAGUUUACAAGUUGUCUUCCCGAAAUUGGCGACUCUGCUGCACGAAUUCAACAAGAACAAGAAGACCUCGGAAACAACCCGGUGGAUGUUCGUAUCUCCAAUCCAAGUAAGUAUAUCUAUAGUAUUUAUCAAGGUCACACUCUGUUUCUCAUUUCCACAGGUCAAGUCAUACACAAAAGUUAUUUAGCUUUACCCCAUAUUCUUUCACAGAUCUAUGUAAGUAUAUCUAUAGUUUUACCAGAUUAGCUUUUGAAUCUAAUAAAUUUGGCCAUGAAAACUAAAAUUUUUUGGAGUUUGAGUUGAUUUGAUUGUAAAUGGGAGAUUUUAUAUUUCUAAUUUAUUUUGUUAUAGUAAUACCUGAGUAAGAAGACUUGAGCUCGUCCUAAGUAUCGUGGAUUCUUCGAGCAGCUUUUGGAAAAAAGAAGACAAGGAAAGGACAAGCAACAAGAGCAUUCAAUCAGUUUCUAUUCAAUAUGGGGAGUUUGAUUCGAUAAAUUUAUGUUGGAACGUCUUCUAGCUUGUUAAUUCUUAUUGUGCUGUACUUUUUCUCCUACAUGGAACAAUUUAUAUUGUGAGAACUGGAUGAUGAUUUCGUUUGAUUGGUUUAAUAAUUAUUGUAUAUGUUUAUAUCACAUAUAUCCCUGUAUGAUACUCUCAAGAUGCUUAAGUAGAGUCAGAUUCAGAAUGUUUGUCACACUUUUAUAUGAUUUUCAUAUAUCUGUGUUUGUUCACAUGAAGUUAAAGUUGAAAGAAGUGACUUCGGUUGAGCACACUCUAAAUCUGCAUCUGAAUAAUGUGACUCGUCGAACUUCUACUGACCCUUUUGGGAUUUCAUUUCAGUCAAGCAAUGUGUGGCUUCCAAGGAGAUGUGAUUUCUCUAAAUUGUAAUAAUGUGGCUGGAUUUGUAUUGUAACAUAUUUUUGAGUUAAUAGAAUUGUUAGUAAUACUACCCAUGGUUCUCUACUUUUUCCUCUUUGGUGGCUUGAACUGACAAUCUUUUAAUUGAAUAUCUCGUCAAUUAAGUCAACGCCUCUGUCGCUUUUUACCUGUGGCAGUAGCUAUGUGGUAAAAUACAAGGGAAGAAAGAGGUUAAAAAACAGAUGGCUAUAAUAUUAUAUUUUCAUUGAUAGACACAAAUCCCAAGGUCAAUUUGUUGUUGUCAUCCCAUUUCUUUAAAGUCAACUUUUUUUUUUUCAUAUAUACAACUUAUUUUGUGUAACUUGAUAGCAGACACAAUUUCACUUUUCUUUUAUGCUUCAUCAAUUUGUUGUUUGAAACUCAUAUUCAUGUGUCUUUAGUGUAUUUUUCUCCUUGAAAGUAUUUAUCGUAGUACCGUUGGUAUUUAUCAAUGCACUUCUUUUAUAACCUAUGUUGCUCGGAUCCUUUAAAAAUAUGCAGUACCUAUUAAUGUCGACAGCUCCAAAUGUAACAUCCUGGUCUCUCACGUCAGUCUAAGUCCAUCGAAGUAACAUUGGAACCCACUCGAGGGUUUUGCCCGGUGGUCAAUGAAGUGAGUCGAGAACCUAAGGUCUAGUUUUAAAUCCCAUUGAAAGGCAAAAAACACUAGGCGAUUUCUUCCUAUAUGUCAAAGCCUUUGGGGACAGAGUUAUCCGGUACCUGUGUUGGUGGGAGGUUGCAAGUACUUAGUGGAACUAGUCGAGGUGUGUGCAAGCUUAUGCAAUCUAUCCACUCAUAGAACGCCAGGAGUUCUCCGCAACUUUGACCACUUCUGUGACUCUUUUUUAGCCAGCUAUCGUUUAACCAACUCCUUGUCGUAUUGACUCUCGCAACUAGAACCUAUGAACAUCAUACAGCUCCCCUUCCACCCUCUGUGCAACGUUUUCUUGAACCGAUGAAGUUGAUUCUUCAUAUUUCUGAAGUGUCAAAUCAAGUGUAGUAAAGUAGGUGAUACUGACAUGAAUAUGAAGUAGACAUUACGUCUGUAGCAGAUACGAUAGUGAAUAGUGCAGAUUGAAGUUGCCUGAUUUCAUAAUUUUUACCUCACCGCCUUUGCAACUUUGUGAAUCGCGUUAUUUUAACACUAUCGUCCUCCUACAACUUGCAGCUUUCAAGUCGUAGUUGCAUUUUGCAAGCCGGAGAAUAGAUAUGGCGUAUGCGAGUAAAGCAUCUCUUAUAAGAACAAUGGAACUGCUAUUGUCAUCUGAUUUGCCAAAGCUGAAGCUGAAACAAAAUGAUCAGAUAUUGCCUUCAUUUGGAAGAGAUCCCUGUUGAGUUCACAGAUAUUUACUCACUACAACUAAUUGAGUUACAGAACUGUAGUGCAAAACUCGUGGCUUCUGCUAGACGAGUUCAAGAAGAGCUAGAAUCCUUGGGAAGCAAAGUUGUGGAUGUUCUUUCUUACAACGAUCCAGGUGUGUACAAUAAUUGCCUUUGAAAUUUCAAACAAUUUCGAAGUUUAUAGUUGACUCUUUAUGUUCGUUUUGCUACAGCUGAACGUGAACUUAGUCGAAGUGAUUUUGAUUCCGACAGAUGUUUACUAAGGAUUGAAGACUUCAGAUGUUAUGAACUGAGUUCUGGGAUUUGUUGACCACGCAAGUAUUUACACAGUGAACGAUGGACUUUGGCCUGAGGUGAAGUUACAACCCAACAAUAGUGUGGAUUUCCACUGGGAUCCGGGUUAAGCAAGCACGUUAAAUGGAGGCAGUCGCUUAUUGAAGGGGUUAUGCAAUUAUGUUGAAGCUUUGGCUUAGUCUGUUAUCCUCUCAUCUCCUUCUAGUUACGUUCUUCCUUGUAUUAUUCACUAUUAUCUUGUAUUCUCCGUUAGAAUUGUGUUGAGAAAUUCGAGUUGUUACAUCAGACUUUUGACUUGCAGACUUUUGUAGUUGUUUGUCAAUCAUCAGAACUAAUUUCAGCUUCACUCAUAUGAAUGCAAUACAACAUUUUUCUGAAAAAAUAUCAGGGAUUUAGACAUGUACAAAUUUUCUAGUUUUUUCCAAAUACUUUCGAAAACAGCCUCUCUACCUCCACGAGGUAGUGAUGAGGCCUGUGUACACUCUACCAUUUCCAGACCUCACUUGCUGGAUUUCACUGGAUAUUUUGUUGUUGUUUUUCCAAAUACCAUGGUAGAAGUUCCAAGUUCAAAUCAUAGGAACUAUAUUUUUGUUCUUCAACUUCCUAAGUGAAAAUUCUAGAUCUGCCAUUGUCGUCAACCGAUUUUAUAAAGUUCUUAAACUCUUUUUGUUUUCUUUCUUUCCUUCUUUGUAUAGAACUUAUACCUACACAACACAACACAAUUUUUCAACGAAGGGUGUGCUGACUACCCUUUGAAAUAGGUGGCUCCGUCCAUGCUACAACUAAUUGAGCUACAGAUUUGUAGUGCAAAACUCGUGGCUUCAGCAAGACGAAUUCAAGAAGAGUUUUCUAUGAAGGGUGUGCUGACUACCCUUUGAUAUAGGUGGCUCCGUCCAUGCUACAACCAAUCGAGUUACACAACUGUAGUGCAAAACUCGUAUACUGACUACUCUUUGAUAUAGGUGGCUCCAUCCAUGCUACAACUAAUCGAUUUACAGAACUGGAGUGCAAAACUCAUGGCUUCUGCAGGACAAAUUCAAGAAAAGCAAGAAUACCUAGGAAACAAAGUUGUGGAGGUUUUUUCUUGCUAUGAUCGAGGUGAACACAUGUCACGACCUGAACCGGGGCCCUGGCGGUGAUGAGCAUCCUGAACCAUGAAGGCCCGAGCGCGCUUCUCUAUCUGGCAAUCAUACACACUUUUAUAUAAUAUGAAGGAAAAAUGCGGGAAUAUAAAAUGAUACGGAAUCAUGGUCAUGCUCUGAAUUAUAUUUAUCAAUACGAAAUAAGACCCAUCAACAUCUAAACAACAUCUGUUUCUGUCUAAGAAAUCUCUAAUACAUACAAAAUAAACAAAACUGUCUUAAUCUGGGACAAGGCCCCCAGUGGACCUAAACCAAAAUAAAUAUCAAAAUUUUGAACGAAAUAGGCCUUCCGGAAUAAAGAAGGCUCACCAACUGCACGCUUCACUUCUGUCUGAAUACUCUACCGCUUAGCAGGACCUUUAGACUGAGCCUCAGACCCUGGAAGGUAGGGGGCCAAUACAUUUGUAUUGGUACGCAGAGCAAAUCCAAAAUAAUAAUUUAUAUUCAACAUAUAUGAGAGCAAUUUAAAAACAGUUCAUAAAUAUGUAAUAUGGUAAGAAUCACAUGGGCAAUUUUUUAUAAGACUCUGUAAAAUCAUCUGAACUCUGUGACACUCUUUGUUUUACUUCUGCGCUAGGUGGUAUACCCUACAACUUUGAAAUUCCAUGGGCCAUAAGGAAUCUGUCAUUAACUCGGCAGCCAAGCCCCCAACCCAAGUUUACCGCAAGGGUCGGAGUCUCUGAAUCUCUACUAUACCACAGGUCCGUCACCAGCGUACAACAGUAACAUAUCCAUAUCAGCAAAACACGAUUUUAGUCUAUGAGUCGAUUGACUCGUUCCCUCUUCGGGUAACCAUCUAACCCUCUGUAAGCCCAUUGUUAAUUCUUUACAACAUGCAAUCUUUGAAAUCAAACUCUGAAGACUCUACUUCUGUUAUGGCAUAAAUUUAUAUGGUAUCGUCAUACCAUUGACUUGCAAGUCACAUUCCCUAAGCCAUUUAUAGCAAAUUAUAUCUCUUUUCUCAAAAUAUGGAAUUUAUGAACCCCCAUAUCAACAAUUCUUUUCAAGAAACUCAUUCUUUAUAACUCACGUAACCACAUGCAAGAAAACUCUCAUUUUCAACAUUCCAAACACACAAGGGGUCAUGUCAAAGAUAUCAAUCACAUGCAAUUCUUUCUCUUUAACACGAGAGCAAAAUCAUAUCAAGAAACUCCCUCUCAUCAUCAUCAAAAUCAUGCUAAUUACUUUAAUAUUGAAAUGAUCACUUUCAAACCAUUAAACAUGCAUCUCAAAUCAUUCUCAACAGUUUCAUAAAUUCUAAAUCAUCAAAGAGAGGUAUUUUAAUGAUAAUGCUCUCAAUCAAAUCUUCAAUAUCAUACAUAUACAUAUAGAUGUAAAUAAAGUUAAGGGGGAAAGGCCUAAAGGCCAAAACAAUAAUAUUAUCAAAACAUCCAUAAUGCGAAAUUUAAAAACCCCUUAAAAUUCAUGCUUGAUAAUCUUUAAAUCAUGUUCUAGUCCUUACAAGCCCAUAUAGUUUUUAGGAUAAACUCCACGUACCUUAGAUUAUGAGAUUAGAAAAAUGAAGCCUAGAUCAUGAUAGAUGGAACCUGGAUUUUUGAUCUUUUUCAUGGAAUCCUUGAUCUUGGGGAUGAGUUCUUGACCUUAGAUUACUUAGGUUGAAGUAUGGAAUCCAGAUCUGAUUUCGUUUCUUGUGACCUUGGAAUGAAAGAGUUGAAUUCCUUGGAUUCUUGGAGAAAAGGAUUUUGGAUUUCGUUCUUGGGGAAGGGAGUAUUUUUGGUGAGUUGGUGUUGAAGAAGAUGGGCAAAUAUCGCCCUUUUUGGUGAUAUAAAUCGUCCUUUGAACGUUUGGGGUUAAGGGGAAAGGACCAAAAUGUCGUUUGACCCUUAUGGAACUGAAAUAACAUGAGAAUUGCCAUCCCCUUUUGGGUCAAGUAGACCCCGCGUUGCGGGGCUAUGGCGACCCCUCACUGCUUUGCAUGGCAUAACUUUUCACUCGAUUAUUGGAUUUUGGAAAAAUUAGUAUUGUUAGAAAUCUAAUUCGAAGAUCUUUCAUUUGAUAUAUAGUAAGACGUCUAAUUCGUUAUAUAUUGGUAGUUAUGAUCGAUUGAAGUUGACCCAAGUUUCGACACUCACUAAAACUCGAAUGAUAGGAAAGAUUUCAACUCGUCCUUGAGUUAGGUGACCUCUAUGAUCUAAACUCAUGAUCAAAUAGAAUCCACACUAUAAUUGAUUCACACGCUAAAUUUACAUAGCAUUUAUGGCUUUUGAAACAUCUACGCCUAGAAAUGACGGUUUUCGUUCUAUCCCGAAAUGCGGGGUGAUGCAUUAUCUCCCCCUUGGGAUCAUUCAUCCCAAAAUGAUGGGUGGGGACUUUUUGAAGUUAUAAAAGUGUAGAAUAUGAAACAAAACCUCGCAUUGAACAUGUUUCCUUAACAAAAUAUGUAAAGACGUCAAACAAGCUUCUUGAUAACCCCUAACGAAACGAGUAAGCAUGAAACAUGAGGCAAUGAGACUUUACAUAGGUAUGAUCUUGCACAUAAGUUCUAUGAAUUAUUAUUAUCAUCACAUGUGGUAGGGGUUUAUUUGAUGAUCAUAGACCUGAUUUAUAUUGGUACUAAUCAUGAAUAAUAUUUCGCGGAAGAUAGGAUUAAAAGCGUUCUCUACCUUACAAAGUACUACGAAUAGACUUAAACUUAUCUAAACCUCAAACAUCAAUCUACAUACUUCAUCAUUUCCAACAUGCAAUUCUCCCAUAACACAUCUAAUGUAACACCCCGCAUUUUUUUUGGGUUAAAAAUCGAAGCAUCGUUCAUACGCGUAUAGACCUAAAGUAGAUGAUUCCUUGUUAAUAUAUUUGUGGUGAUCAAUCCUAUAGUGUAAGAAUACCUUUGAAUAUGAAUUGAGGUCAAAAAAAUCGCCUAACUCCAAGACGAGUUGGAAACAUUUAUACUGAUUAAGUUUUAGUGGAUGUUAAAACUUAGGUCAACUUCCAUUGAUCAUAACUCCUGGUAUAUGAUGAAUUAGAGGGCCUACUAUAUAUCGAACAAAAAGUUAUGGUUAUUUUUGUGAGUGAGGCAGUGAGGUCAUACGAUAAGCGUGCGACGCACACUCCAUCACAUGCACCAAAUUUUCAGGUUCGGUUUCUGCGUUUUUAAGGGCAAAAUGGAUAUUUCCACCCCUCUUAUUCAGCUUAAACAUGAAAUUUUUAUCCCAAAUGACCUCAUUAUUGAUAUUUUCAUCAAAAACCAUCAAGAACACUCCUUAGGGUUUCAAACAAGAAAACCCAAACAACUCAAGAUUCAACCGUAAGUUUUAGAAAUUGAUUGAAUAUUUGGAAUUCCCAAGCCGUGAGCGUCAAGAAUCAUCCUUUAUUUUUCUAAAUAGAGGUACGUGGGGUUUAUCCUAAAAACUACAUGGUCUUGAAAAUAUUAAAGUAUGAUUCAAAGGUUUUGACGCAUGUAUUUUAAAGCGGUUUUGAAAACUAUAUUUUUGAUUAUGUAUUUCAAAUGUUUCAAUGUUAUUAUUACUUUUUCCUUGUGGUCUUUCCCCCCUAAAUUGAUUUACAUGUAUACGUAUAUGUAUGGAAUUGAGAUUGCAGAUUGUUUGAGAGCAUAAAUUAUGGACUCCCUCUCUUGUGAGAAAUUGAAGAUUUUGAUUUUGCUGGAAAAGAGUUGAAAUACAUGUUUUGUGAAUUGAAAGAUGUAUUCUCAAUGUCAUAGUAUUUGAACAUUGAUUUAGAAUUGUUGAGAGGAUAUUUCUUGAUAUAACUAUGUUUUGUGUUAAAGAGAAGAAUUGCAUGAGAUAGAGACUUUUGACAUGACCACCAUUGUUUGUUGAAUUGUUGAUAAAGAGAAUUGCUUAUUUGGUUUUGCAUGACUUUAAAGAAUGAGUUUCUUGAAAUGAUUUAUUGAUAUGGUGGUCCUGAAUUUAUGUUUUGAAAACAAAAAUUGUAAUAUGCUAAUAAUGGCUCAGAGAUGUGAAUUACAAGUCAAUGGUAUGACGAUACCAUAAGUAUGUAUGCCAUAACAGAGUAUGUUUUAAGAAUAUAUUUUUAGAGAAUGUGUCAAGACCCAAACUAGGGUCUGGCCAUGACGGACAUCCCGAACAUGAAGGCCCGAAACGCCCUUCCCUAUCUGGUAAUCAUGCACAAUAUUUCAAUAAUAAAAGAAGAUGCGAAAACAUAAACUGCUACGGAAACAUGGUCAGUUCUGAAUUCAACAUAAGUAUGGAAACUAUAAAUCAACUACAUCUAAAUAACAUCUGACUCAGUCUGCAAAAUCUCUACUACAUGAAAAUCUGACAACUUUCUGAAACUGGGACAAAGGACCCCAGUAGACCAAAACGGUAAUAAGUGACAUAAUCUGAAAAGACAGGCCUUCUGGAAUAGAGAAGUAUCAGUUGUCUGAAUUAUCUACUGCUUAUCUGGACCCCUAGAUUGAACCUAAGAACCUGGAGGGAGGAGCGAAGGUCAAUACAAAUUCACUGGUACGCAAAGUAAUCCAAAAUAAAGCUUUUAUCUAGAUAAAAUAGUUGGUGAGCAAUUUGUCAAAAUAUCAUGCAUGAAAUAGUUCAAAAACACGUGGGCACUUUUCUGUAAAAUCAUAAAUCAUUCUAGAAAAUGCAGUUCUGUUCUUCGCAUUAAUUCUGAGCUAGGUUGUACACCCCUACAAUUCUAAAAUCCCACGGGAUGUAUGGAAUACGCCAUUGACUCGGCAGGGAAUCCCCCAACCAAAGUGUGCUGCAAGGGUCGGAGUUUCUAUUCUAAUACGCCACACGGCACUAGGCCAACGUAAUAUAAUAUACCCGGAUCGGAAAAUCAUGGUUUAGGUCAAUAAGUUGUCUGAACUCAUGCCUUCUUCGGUGAACCACCUAAGCUCUGUUUAUGCCCAAUUUUAUCCUGUUCUGAAUCAUGCAUUUUUUUCUAGUUUCAACAUCUGAAAAGUCUGACUUCAAACAAUCAUUCUAUUCUGUUCUAAUUAUCAUGGCAUAAUCUGAAUUUGUGUCAUCACACCACGACUUGCAAGUUCUAUUUCUAAGCCAUAAUGCAUCAUGCAUAAUUCUUUCAUUAAAACACAUUUCAGACCACCCAAACAUGCAACAGUAUAAAAGAUUUCAUGUUCCAAAAACAUAGAUCAAAACUAUACUGAGAUUAUUCAAACAUGUGGUGGUCAUGUACUUUUGGCAAAAACCAUGCACUCGUUCAUUACAUAUAAUUUCAACAUUUAUCAAUACAAACACCCCUCUCUUUUGAAUUCAAGAUUCAUAACCAAAUCAUUCAUAAAUCAAGGCUUUUCGUAACAAGCUUUUCAAGAUGCAUUUACACUACUAGAAAUUACCCCUAUUGCAACGAACUUUUUUGCUACGGUUAACAAAGCGUUGCAAUAGGUGGUCUAUUGCAACGGUUGCAAGCGUUGUCAAAAAUUAUUAUUCUGUUAGCUCUAAUUUAACAUUAUAACCAUUGAUUUUGACCAUAAGCGUUGCAAUACCUAAAUAAAAUAAGAUCUGGCAACGCUUAAUUUAUUCCCUCCAUUUUCACAAAAACUUUUCAUUCAGUCCACCAAAAGAAAGCUUUCCUACAUCUUAAACCUCAUUCAUUUUACAAUCAAUGAUUAGGGCUUAAACAUUCUCUCUUAUUUCUCUUGCUACAAUCGAUGAUGGAAUUUCUCUUUUAGCUUAAACCUACAGCUUCUCAUUGCUACAAUCGAAUCGAUGAUGCGAUUACUCUCUUAGCUUAAACGUAUAGCUUCUCAUAGCUACAAUCGAAGAUUAGGGCUACAAAAUCACUAAAAUGCUAAUGACAGUCGGUACAAUUGGUACAAACCAUUCAAUCUUGUGGAGAUGGUCUGGUAGUGAGCUGCCGAUGGUGAGAUCUGUGGGUGUUACUGGUGCCGCUUCAAAAAUCAAUUUGUGUUGGAAAGUUUGACCAAAUUUGCACUUCAAUUUCUCUCAAAUUUGCACUUCAAUUGCUUCAAUUUGGGAAUUUUAAGGUUAGUGUAUUCUUCUAUCACUUUGACCUAAUUUUUUGGGAUUUUGGUUUUUUCUUAGGUUCAUUUGAUUGCGUGAAAAUUUUUUAUUUCUCCUUUUAAUUCUAAUAAUUAUGGUCAUUAUGUGAGGGAAGAUGUCGAAAUGCGUUAUAUUGACAACUAGAAGUUGAGUAAGAUGAGUAACACUUGUUAGAGUUUUAAUUAUUGUAGUCUUAAUUGUUGAUUUAAUUUGUAUAUAAUGUAGUUUCUAUGUUUAGAUUAUUAUUCUUGUUCAUGUGUGUUUUCAAAUUAACGAGAAAUGAUGUCAGUGGAAAGGAUGAUCCUUAGCUUGUUACUUAGAAAAUGCUACAUAAUUAUUGCCUAGUGAUUGCAGUCAGAUUGAGGAAACUGAUUGUGUUGAUUUGCUUAUUCGAUAGAUAUCUACAACACAAUAGUAGGAAGUAUAUCCAAUUUGUGUCUCCUGAACAUCAGGAGUCAUGAAAAUCCAACUAAAAUGUUUUAUUUUGGGGGAGGAAAUGUGGUGUGGCAGUUAGCUUAAGUGGUUAAAAAGGGAGAGCAGUCUCUCAGUUGAGACAUGUGGAGUAAUAUUCUGGCACGAGUGUUAUUUAUUUCUGUCCAGACUGAUUUUUUUGUAUAAUUGGCAUAAUGUUGAUGAUUUACUGAAAUAAUAACAAUAGAAGUGGCUUUAAAAAGCUAUUUGCACUCGUAAAACCAGUCACGAAUUGCAGCUAUAAGUUACUGGAAUUGACACCAAUACUAAUUAGAUGGUGUCAUUUCCACUGUUUAAUACCGUAGAGAAGAGAUAUUAAAAUAAUUCUAAACUUGUGUGACGAAUUUACUUUAGAUGUUUAACUUCACGGACAUUGGCGGAGCCACCUUGUGGUUCGGGGUUCAUCCGAACCCCCUCCAAUGAAACAGCUACAUAGCCAAAUUUAAAAUUUCAAAAAAUCAUUAAUAACUUAGUUAAAUAACUCUGAUAUGCUCCACUAACUCUACUAUAGAAUAAAUGGCAUGUCAAUGGAUAUUUUCACCUCUGAUAAGGAGGACCUGUAUAAUAUUGCAUCUAAAUGGGUGGUUUAGUUAUUCUAGAGGUUCUUUUGGGUGAAUACCUAAAUAGAGAUGGUAUAGGAAGUUCUCCAGUGUUGUUGUGUAAACCUGCCCCUAUACUAUCAUCAAUAUAUCAGGAUCAGGUGAUGUGAUGUACAACAGAUAGUGUAACAAGUAGGUCAUUCACUCUUAAAUAGUAGAUGCCUAGGCUUUUUCCUCUUUUCUUUUUUGGGUCAUGUGCAAGCAUAACUUUUGCUCCUUGCUGGUUCAGACAGGUCAAUGUGAUGAACACUCUGAGCAAGCUUAGUCAUGAUUUAGACUUCAAAGUAGCUAUGGUAUGUUUGAAGAACAGCAGAAAGUAGAUAAUUUUGUUUCUAUAAAAAAAUUCUCAAAUAUGAACUGCUUAUCUAAAUGUUGUAUGCAAGCUGCUAUCGUUUCUUUGGGAUUGAUAGGUGCAAGAAAAAACAAUGCCAGAAUAGCUGGCAUGCUGUAUAUUCUGUCCAGUUAUUACUACAAAUAAGCUAACCUUUGUUUUGUGUAAGAAUUAAUUUUCCUUGUUCUCUUAUGUCAACUCUGUAAUAUAAGUAUCCAAUCCACUCUGAUUUUUGGAAUUAUUACUGCUGCAGGUGUGGAUUGCCCAAGGUCUUGUUCAUUUGGGAAAGGGAUUGUUAACUCUCCCACCAUAUCAUUCUGAACAUUUUCUGUAAAGGUACUGGAGCAGUUUGAAUCUUCAGUUGUGCAUGACGAAACUCUAAAUCUACUAUAAAAUUCAAUGUUUCAUCACAAGAAGGGGUUUCUUCAUUGGAUCCAAAAACUUGGAUCUGCACAUCAAAAUGCUUCGUCAAAGACUAAGUCCAUCUCAUGAGUUCCUGGAUUAUCUAGCUUUGAUAACUUCACCAAGUCCUGCUGUAAUUAAAGAGGUUUCUAUUCCGUUCCGUUAUGUUUUUCUGCCUCACCAUUAUACUAAAUGCGUGAUUAAGUUGUAGUUGUGAAUCGAGGUGAAAUGGUCUGUAAUUUUUACAUGACAGAUAACAUUGAACACGAUCACCGAUUUUGAGCGUGAUUGCAAAUUGCCUGUCUAUGGCCUGGAGUAACAUGACUGAAUAAAGCUCUCCUUUUCCCCUUUCUAAUAUUGUAUUUAUGUCAUAUUUCAAUGCUUUUUUUGUUGAAAAACUUAGCUUUAGAAUUCCGAUGGGUCAGCGAAUUAGUGUUAGUAUUGUUAACAUUCUAUUUCAAUGAUGUCGUUGUAUAAGUCAUCGGCAGCACACUUCUGAUUAGAUACACUCUCUUACUGAUAAAAAUAGAGUUCUUUACUUUGUAUUUCUAACUUCUCUUAAAAAUUUUCUUUUUACCUCCACCUAUGGUGGUUUGUGGUACUUCUGGGCUAUAUCUUUAAUCCCAGAAUGUGACAAGUUGACAUCGAGAUUGCAAACGACUUGGUCAAGAAAGAGUAUUGGUAAUCGUCCGACUUCAACAUGCUUGAGUGAGAACCGUUCUACACUGGUUUGUUCUCUUUCUUCUUUUUGUCUUAGUUUUUCCUUCUCCGAAAGUAGUUUUGUUUCUUAAUUAUCUAUGCUAGAAUAAGCUACCGAAUGAACACUUAAACCUCCCCCCUAUAUAAUGAAAUCAUACAAAAAUUUGACAAUAGCCCUAUACUUCAAAAAUGUGUUGUUAAAAGCAUUCACAGUGAGGCGGGGAUCUGGCGUUUCAUAUGGCUGAGGUGACUUGAGGUGGAAGAAGUGACUUAGGAGUAUUUUCAGGCAUGUAUAAUAUUUCACUGCUCGGAGCGACUUUCUUCAGGUCGAAGGUUUGUUAUUUUCUGGUUCUCUUUUUCAUCCAAGCUCCAGGUAUGUUUCUUCUUCUUGGAAUAUGCUGAACUGUUUUAAGUUGCUGGCUAUGUACUACGCCGCCAAAUUUCUAUGCUUUGUUAAAGUUAAGCUCUACAUGUAUCCCUUUUGUUGAAUCUUGUUUACAGUAUGUCUGUACGCUUUUGUACUUAUUUGCCGGAUCUAGUAUUAACUGAAAGGUAAAAACAGGUGCCUCGUUAGACAUUACUCAUCUAAUAAAUUUGACCGUCUUAGAGAAGCUGAUUAUCAGAAAUAUAAUUGCCAGUAAUAAAGUUUGGAAUUUAUAGAUAUCGUAGUGAUUUAAAUGAUUUUGAUAUGCAUACAGAGGAUUCAUAUUGUUGACCAUGACUAGUUUGGAUUUUUGGCCUACAUUUAUUUAUGGCAAUAAACAGUUCUCUGAUAUGGUUGUUAUCGUACGUAGGAGCUAGAGUCUUUCAACAUAGGAAAACCUAUAGUCUGACUGAGUUUUUUCCUUUACCGAUACCUAUUCUUGCGUCUUACUUUUGGAAACUUAUGAGAUGCUAUUUUUCCCGGGGAGUCCGACUCUUCAAUCAAAAAAAAGACAGUCGUGUGCAAGUCGACUGAGAAAACACAAGCUUAACAUGUCUUUCUUUACCUUUUUCAUAUCUGAAUGUCUUUGUUGAGUUGGUUGGCAUCAUUAUCUUCUUUCUGUCUUUUCAUUGUCCGCCUCCGCCCAAACAGAUAUGCACUAACCUACCUGAAAUAAGGUAAAAGCCUUCUUUCCAACCCUUUGUACGAGACUCCUUUCUUCGUACAAAUGCUCGUAGGCGAAAGAGACCUUCCUUUGCUCCUGUCGCGGGAUCAGCUAGAUUCUCACAAGUUUGAUAUAGUCUUCCACUUCAUUACAACAACGACAACAACAUAUCCAGUGUCGUCGUGUCAUCCCACAAGUGGACUCUGGAGGGUAGAGCGUAACAGCCACCGUUUAACACUAUAACCUUAACUGCCACCAUUUAACUUUAUAACCUUAACGGCCACCGUCUAACCUUAUAACCUUAACGGCCACCGUUUAACCUUAUAACCUUAUAAGGCUAACAGCCACCGUUUAACCUUAUAACCAUAACGGCCACCAUUUAACCUUAUAACUUUAACGGCCACCGUUUAACCUUAUAACCUUAUAACCUUAACGGCCAUCGUUUAACCUUCAAAAACAUAAAUCGGAUAAACCUCUAAUAAAUAUAUGCAAAGGACGUGAAAAUAUCCCCAUUGCAGAUUCAUGCAAAAUCUGAAAAUCGUGAUUUUCUCAGGUUCACUAUAUGCUUCGAUAAAAGUUGCUUCUAUCAUCUAUUCAUCAGUAACACAUCCUUUGAAAAUAGAUUAUAUAGUUCCCUGUUUGAUAUAUUCUUUGUUAAUAUGAAUGGCUAAUAAUCUUGGAAUUCUAUUGAAUGGAGGGUGUUAUCUCUUCUGGAGUAGUCACUCUCUCCUGAUUAUUUGUUGUUUACGAAUGAAUGUAUAUUUUCAGGGUACUGCAUCUAUCAAAAAAGAUGUGGAAGCCCAAAUUCCAAACUAUCCAAACCUUCCAUCAAAGUUAAUUUGUCUUCUGCACAAUGUCACCCUGCAUGUACGUGAAGUUCCUGAUUGACUUGUCUUGAUAAAAACUGUAAUUUAUAUGUUGUUCUACGUUAAUAUAUUGUCUUUUGCAUUAUUUAGGCUAAUCCCGAAACAGAUGAAGUGUAUGCUCAAAUGACACUACAACCAGUUCCUUCUGUGUGACUCUCUCUUUUUGGUUUCAUUUUGGUGUUUCUUUUCUCCUUUUUUUGUGGGAUAAGCAUGGCCCUCUAUCAAGUAUAUCCUGUUCUAAUCAAAUUUAAAACGUAGGUAAUAUGAACGUCUUUGUGUGCAGUUUGACAAGGAGGCAUUAUUGAGGUCAGAUUUGUCUAUGAAAGAAAAUAAACCACAACCAGAAUUUUUUUGCGAAACCUUGACAGCAAGUGAUACAAGCACUCAUGGAAUUUUCUCUAUGCCUCGGCGUGCUGCCGAGGUACUCGAUGUAAAAUAGUCGAGGUGAGUUUUGUUCGAAUGCUAUGGUUUUAUUUGAAGAACAAAGUGUAAUGGGCAAACAAUAAUUUCUUCAUCAAGAAUUUCUAGAUAUUUUGACAUUGGUAAUUAGGUGGACUUUGGUGUCCUUUGUUUGGCAAUAUAAUUUUUUUUUAUGGAUGAUGCAUCAAAGGUUUAAACAAAGGAACCAAACCCCUAUCACCAAAUACUUUUGGUCCUGGGAUAAGUAAAAACUGAAGGUCAUUAACCCACUCGUGUCUGAAUUGUUCCUCUAUUAGCUUCUUUAUCAGUGGAGAUCAUACAGAAAAGUUCAAAUAAUAAUUGAGAUCGGAAAUUAUCUGGUUUAUUUGGAUUUUUAUCAGUUGGUUCAUAUAAAAAUUUGUUGUGGAAUAGUCCUUUUUAUGUUGUCAUUUAAGUGCUAAUUUAUAUUAUUUGUUCUCUAUUUAUCGGUGUAUGAAGAAAGAGAUGAAGAAAAUGAUGAAGACAUUGACCAUACUUGAGAAGAUUUUUUGGUUGUGGAUAAAUGCACUUAGUUUUGUGUUGAAUUUUUCUAAACUUAUCGCGACUUGAACUUGCUAGUAUGUAAAAACUUAACUAAUCAUUUGGAUUACAUUUUACUUUUGGGUUUAAAUUACUAGCUUGUUGCAUAUUUUGAAUAAUGAGAUUAUUAAUUAAUGAUUUUGUUGUGUGAUGUGUAUAUAUUGUGUUAUAAUUUAUUAUGUAUAUAAAUAAAAAUUUACGUUAACACAACUAUGUAUAUAAAUCAUUUUAAUAUAAUAACAAAAGCAUCGUAAUAGAUGCUAUUGCAACGGUUUAUGUCGUUGCAAUAGAAUCUAUUGCAACGGUUCAUAACCAUUGCAAUAUAUUAAAAUAGGCGUCCCAACAAGUGAUGAAAUAGUUGUAAUACAUAGUCAAAAAGCGUUGCAACAAAAUAGCAAAGGUGUCACAAUAACAUCUAUUUCGACAGUUCAUAACCAUUGCAAUAGCAUCUAUUGCAACGGUUCGUAACCAUUGCAAUAGAUGAAAAUAGGCGUCUCAAUAAGUCAAAAAAUAACCGUCGCAAUAGGCCUAACUAUGGCAACGGUUAUACGAAACCGUCACUAUAGCUCUAUCUAUGGCGACGGUUUAUACAACCGUCGCAAAAACCAUUGCCAUAGACCUAUUGCAACGCCCACCUAUGGGACAGUUGUUGAACCGUUUCGAUCGGCCUUUUGCAAUAUUUUUUUUUGGCCUAUUGCAACAGUUUUGCAACCAUCACCAUAGACCUAAUUUCCGGUACAAAACAAUUCAUAACAUGUAAGACAUGGAAACAAUCACAUCAAGAGAGGGAUUUGAUGUGAGUCAUUCUCUCAAUUUCAAAUAUCAACUCAAAUCACAUACAUAUAUGUAUAUAAAUUUUCAAAUCACUUCGGGGAAAGGCCCAAAGACCAAAGCAGUGUCAUUAAAGCUUCUAAAACAUGAUUAUAUUCAUAAUCCGAAACCCUUUUCUUAAAAGCAUGAUUUCUAUGCCCAUGAGAUUUUGAGAAAAAACCCACGUACCUUGAUUACGGAGAAAAGUGGAUGAUUCUUGAAGCCUUUGGUGUGGGGAGUCCAAAUCUUUAAUCACUUUCGAAAACCAUGGUUGAAUCUUGAUUUAUUUGGGUUUUUAGUUUGAAACCCUAGAGAGUGUUCUUGGAGUAAUUUGAUGAAAAUAUCAAUAAUGAGGUCAUUUGGGAAUAAAAUUUAUAUUUAAGUUGAAGAAGGGGGGCUGAAAAUACCCAUUUUGCCCUUAAAAUGCGGAAACAGAAUUGAAAAUUUGAAGCGUGCGAUAGGGCGUGCGUCGCACACUUAUCGCAUCUGUCUCAAUCACUAAAAUGGCCAUAACUUUUCACUCGGGUAUCAAAUUUAGGCAAAAUUUUUAUCGUUGGAAAGCUUAUUCGAAGACCUUUCAUUUAAUAUAUAAUAUUCCCUAUAAUUCAUCAUAUACUAGGAGUUAUGAUCGAUGGAAUUUGACCAAAGUUUAACCAUCCACUAAAACUUAUUUGGUAAAAAUGUUUUCAGCUCGUCUUAGAGUUAGGGAAUUUUUGUGAACUCAAUUCAUAUUCAAAGGUAUUAUUACACUAUAGUAUUGAUCAGCACACAUAUAUUAGCAAGGAAUCAUCUAGUUCGGGUCUAUACGCGUAAGGACGACGGCCUUGAUUCUAGCCCGAAAGUACGAGGUGUUACAAAAUGCAUGUUUUAAAGGAUUAAAAAUGGGCUUAAAGAGGGUUAGGUGGUUACUCGAAGAGGGCUUGAUUUCAAAUAACUCUUAGCCUAAAACCAUAUUUUCGGUACGGGUAUAUUAUUAUUGUACGCUGGCGACGGUCAUGUGGCAUAGUAGAUACAGAGACUCCGACCCUUGCGGCACACUUGGGUUGGGGGCUUGGCUGCUGAGUUAAUGGAAGAUACCAUAUAGCCUGUGGGAUUACAGAUUGUAGGGUAUACCAUAUAGCGCAAAAGUAACAUAAAGAGUGUCACAGAGUUUAGAUGAUUUCAUAGUCUUUUAGAAUACCUAUGUGAUUUCUUACUAUAUGAUAUGUUUAUGCACUGUUUUAAAUUGCUCUUAUGUAUGUUAAAUAUAAAUUAUUAUUUUGAAUUUGCUCUGCGUACCAGUACAUCUGUAUUGAUCCCCUACCUCCCAGGUACUAAGACUUAAUAUAGGGGUCCAGCUAAGCAGUAGAGUGUUCAUAGAGAAGUGAUUCGUGCAGUGGUGAGCCUUCUGUAAGACCCCGCAAAUUCAUGUGUCAAAUUCAGCUCGUAAAGCCCCAUGAAAGAUCCCAAGAUUAGAAAUUUUUGCUAAAUGUUCAAGAUUCAACACUUAGUCUCAUUUUAGACCUUCGAACUUCGAGGAUUUAUUUGACGACCUUCCCGACCUUCGUUUUUGGAUUUUCAAGUUGCGUUAUGAUGGGGCAAGGUUGCAGUACAUCUCGGGUAAGUUUCGGAAUUUUUCGGAUAGCGUAAGGGCAUGUUUGGAUUUGCAAAACAGUAGCACCAGGCGAUAGACCCGUUUCACCCGUCCUAGAGAACUGCUCUUAGCCAGGCGUCGCCUGAUCUACAGCAGUGGACUAGGGUAGGCGUCGUCUGCUAAGUUCGAUGCUUGCCCAAUUUUCUGCACUCAACCCCCGUGUCCCUAAGGUAAUUUUGGUCCUUUUGCCACCCUAUUUAUACUCUUUUACACGGGAUUUGAGCUCCAUAACACCAAAAUACAUCCCUUUUGCUGGUUUUCUCUCAAGAACAACCAAUAACUCAAGUUAGGGUUUUCAUAGAAGCUCUAAGAAUCAAGAGAUUUCACCGUAGAAUUUCAAGGAAACUUCUAACUAAGGUAUGCAUGUGUUGAUUUAUAGAUUCCUUUCAUCCAUAAAGCUCAAGAAUCAUCUUUCAAAUUUUGUAUUAUGAUGUUUAUGUUGUUGAUGGUUGAUGAUCAUGUUGUUGGAGUUUGAUGAUGCCCAGGAUGGGAUUUUUGUAUGUUUAUGUGAAGCUAUGGCGGUAUAUGAUGUAUAAAUAUAUGAAAUUUAUGGUCGAAUACUUGUAAUCUUGAUGAAUCUACCUAUGCCUAAGAUGUGCAUGUAAGGUGUUUGUGAAAAUACCUAAGAGACUAGAAAUCAUGCUUUUAUGACAUAAUAGGUCCUAAAUGACUAUUCCAUGUUCUACGUUUAAGUUCAACGUGAUUUCCAUGCUUUUCUUGAAUUGAAGAUGUUGUAUGAGAUGCUCAUGAUAUUGUUGUGAUAUGAAAUUACCAUGAUAUUGGAGCCAUGCAAGUAUAUACAUGUUUUAUUCAUUCCCGUCCAAGUGAUAGAUUGUUGAGAACCAUGCUUAGUAUGAAAUCCCUACUUAUAAUAUUGUGAAUUGUGGACUCUACUCUUAUGAUCAAGUCAGUCAUGUGUGUCAGUUUCCUUCCAUCGAGUCCUGGGGGUACAGUACCCGAAAAAUAUAGUUGUGCGCGUAGAUCCAUGUCAAGUUAUCACGAUACUCUCAGUCAAGUCAUGAUCUAUAGAAUUCAGUCAGUCAUGUGAUUCAGGAAACCUCAGAAAUCUUAGUAAUCUCAGUACUCAGUAAUCUCAGUGAUCUUAGUACCAGCAGUAUUCCUAGUGAUCUCAGUAGUUUCAGUACUCUCAGUCAGUACUCGGAACUCAGUAAGUUCUUUCAGUCAAGGGAACCAGUAAACUUAGUUUAACUCGGCUAAAUAAUACCGCUAGUAUCAGUUCAGUUAACUCAGCCCAGUCUAGUUCAGCUAAUCAGUUCAGUUUAGUCAAUCAGUUCAGCUCAGUUAAUCUGUUUAGAGUCUUUCAGUUGGGAGAUGGAACUAUCACCGAGCGAGUAUGGGGAUGGCGGCUUCCCCACUAUAGAGGCGGAGUCGUUAACAGCAAUCCCUAUACUCUAGAACUGCGUAGCUAGUACAGGACCAGGAGUCACCAUUAGAUUAGGCUUAACUACUUCCCCGGAUUCACCCGCCAUAUUAGGCUUGGCUCCCACCAGGUGUCACCCGUCAUAUUAGGCAUGGCAUCCUGGGUUCAGUUAGCAGUGUCUUUACCCAUGGCAAGACAUUGACACCCUUCUAAUCAGGGCAAGUAUUAGAUCCCACCAGUUUAGUAUCGGGGCAUGUCGGUUAGGUGACUACCUCCAAUAGUUACAAUUUCAGUAUCAGUCUUCAGAGUAGAAAUCAAAAAUCAAGACUGUCAGAUACAGUCAUCGAUCUCAGUAAGGAACUCAGAUAGUUCCACAGACUUAAAGACCACCGGUCAUAUGGGCUUGGUAUCUCAUUAAGUUAUUCAAUAUCAGUACUUAUAGAGGUCACCCGGCAGAUAGGCUUGAUCUCAAUCUCAGAUUUCAGUUGAGUAUUCUUAUUAUCAGUUCUAGAGAUCACCCGUUAUUUAGGCCUGAUCUCAAGCUUAGUCACUCUUAACCAUUAUUAGGAGAUUUAGACUAUCAGAUAUAGUCACUCAGUAUCAGUUACAUCGGUUAGGCCAAUCAUCAUAGUUAUAUCAGUUAUAUCAGUCAUCAUAGCUUACGUUAUCAGUAUUCAGUUUUUAGGACUGUUAGACACAGUCAAUCAGACCAGUUCUUCAUAAUUCGAACUGUCAGAAAUAUUCAUUCAUCUAUUCAGUAUCUCAGUAUCAGUAAAGUCAUGAUGUCAUUAUUCAGACUCAGUAGUCAGUAUCUCCACGAGUUCAGUAGAAGUUAUGUAUGUAUGUAUUCUCACACUCAUAGUAGUCAGCAUGUUCAUGCAUAUAAACCCAUGCAUUUAGCCUACCCCCACGUAUACUCAGUAUUUUAGUUGUGCUGACGCAUUCGCGCUAUGGUGCUUUCUUUUUAUGUUACACCAUAGGUUCUGAGGCGCAGGCUCCAGAUCAGCAGUAGCAGUUCAGUUAGCAGUGAGUCCUCAUCUUUCGAGGACAUGAUCAUUACAUUUAUCAUUCCAGUAUUUAAGUUUAUUUUCAGUUUAGGGAGUUAGUUGGAGACAUGUUUCUUCAACUCCUUAUUCAGACAGUUUAGAGGCUUUCAGACGAUUACAAAUUUUUCAGAUUCAGACUUUAGUAUUUUUUUCAGUUUUGUUUUGGUACUGUGAUACCACCUUAUUCAGACGUUUUAUUGUUCAAGAUUGAACCUUACGGCCUUUUAGUUCAUGUUUCCGCAUUUUUAUACAUAUAUUUUGCAGUUACAGGUACAGAUAUCAAUCUUGGGUAAGCUUGUGGUCCUUCGGGGUCAUUAGCAUCGUGUAAUGUUCCGAUUCAGAAAAUCGGGGGUUACACCUUCCUUGUUCCAAAAGGCCUGUGUAUUUUUAGAUUAUGUUAUUCUUUUUGUUUUGGUCUACUGGGGUCUUGUCCCAGUUUCAGACAGUUGUUAUGUUCGCAGACUAUUCCAGAUGUUGUUUAGUUGAUUUUGGAUUUCAUUCCUUAUUGUUAAACUUAAUCCAGAGUAUGACCAUGUUUCCAUAUUAGAUUAUAUUUUUGCAUCUUCUUUUAUUAUAUGAAUGUUGUGCAUGACUACCAGAUAAAGUAGGACGUUCGGGCUUCAUGAUUUGGGAUGCCCGUCACAGCUAGGCCCUAGUUUGGGUCGUGACAUCUAACCACAACAGUUUUUUGUCCUGUAGUAUAAUAAUUCUAUGCUGAAGCCCAACUCAGAGAAAAAAGGUGUUAAUUUAAACUAUGGGACCCGGUACUCUACAUCACAUUGAGAAAUCACCUCACCUCAUCACUAUAAUUCCACAACCUCAGGUCUUAAUUCAAGGAAUACUAACAACAUGUCACAUUGGUUUAUUUAUUCACCAAAAACAAAAUUCAAGCCUAUCAUCAUGGACCUCUCUACUAAGACCAGCAAAUUCAAUCAUUCUCGCAAAGAUUCUCUCCAUAUACUUCCCUUCUAACUAUAUACUUCCCUUCUAACUAUUUCACAUAACGAGAAUUUCUCUUUUCUACCCACUUCUCUUUUAACCGCAGCUCAAGAUAUCACCUCAAGAUUUUCACCUUUAAGAACAUCUAAUCCCUUGCCUACACAUUACUAUGCUUCCACAACCACCAUCACAUUAAUGUACGGAGGGUCAUUGAGGGACCCAAGCAAAAACAUCAUGAAUGAAAGUAACAUUUAUCAAUCCACUUAUUGCACUUCUCAAGGAGGCACAGGAGGUGAAGAUACAAUAAAAUAGACAUAACACAACACAACACAACACAACAUGGUUUCUUUAGGACAGACCAAAAUGAGGAACAUGGAUGCACAUAUCAUGAGUUAUAUGGCAUAAAGUUGAGAUUUAUGUCGUUAACAACUAAGAUAAGGAUUUCACUUAAAGUGAUUGCUCCUCAUUUAAAGAUCUGAACAUUUCCAUGAGUUAGCAUAAACUUUAUCACCUUGGGUAAUUUCGGCAUAAAAUGAUUCUGCAACAUAUAGAAACAUAUUUUCUUAGGACCAAACAUGUUGUGAGACAUAGGUUUGGAUCAUGAGCAACAUAACAUAUGGCUUGGAUAUUUGGAAUAUUGGAUCACUGAGGGACAUUAUUUCUCUUUGUUUGGAUAUCGAAACAUGACAUGAUUUACAUUAAGAGUUCAAACUUUAGGCAUAGGUAAUACAUGAAUGUAUGACAUAAGACAUUAUCAAGAUACUCUUCUAAAUUGAAGUUGGAGGAUUAUGCUUGAGUAGAAUUAAGUUCAUCAUGACUCCUUCCCGCAACUUGCCGCGUUGGGAAAAAUUCGGGAACUAACUUAAUUCCCCAUCUCCCCCUUAGAUCAAAGUCAUAAUCCUAGACUGACAGAUAUAUCCCAUUACCAAUUCUAUAGCCACAACUCUCAACAUAAAAGAGACAUCACCAUAUACUUAAACUCUAACUCUCCCUAAUGAUCUAUACCCCGAAGACCUUGCUUUUCUAUAAAUAUUACUCUUAAAUUUCGCCAACCAUUAUAGCCAUUACUCUACAACCCCCACUUCCAUGAGUGUACGCAUCACACUUCUUAUCACCAAGGGAUAUCAAUAUAUACAUGAAUACAACUCCUCUCAUUUAUUUCUAAUAUAAAGACACUAAAUUCUUUCUGGGACCUCCGUUCAGGAACACUAAUCAUAACUUCUUCUAACCCCAAAAUCACCACUUAUGGCUAACAUUAAUAUGGGUAUGGGCAUCUAUGCUUCAAAUCACUCAACACUUCUUCUUCAAAUCCUUAGAAUAAUAGCUUUACACCUCUAAUCACAUAACUUAGCACUUAACAAAAUUUGUAAAAUUAUACCCAAGGCUCAUAUUACCUACCAGUAUUUCCUCAGUUCAACUCUAACGAACACCGAACAACAACUCACCAGGCUUAUCUAUACUACAAUUUUAAGGACACAAACUAGGCACGCAAAACAUGUAUACUCAAAAAUACUAAAUUUUCCCUUCUUAAUAAUACUCUAAAGGCAUUGCUUUCCAAGAACGCUACUCUUAGUUUUUGUUACGAUCCUCUAUUUUCAUCAACCUACAACUUGCAGUCUCAUGAGCAUGCACAUCCUUACUCCUUAUCACAUACAAAAAAAUCUACUCCCCACUACUUAACCUUCUAACAUCAGACCAUUAAUUGCAUAAUUUAUAUGAAAGUGUGUAUGAUUGCCAAAUAAAGAAGGAUGCUCAAGCCUUCAUGAUUUGGGAUGCUCGUCAUGACCAGGGCCCUAGUUCGGGUCAUGACAAACUUGGUAUCAAAGCCGCUCCUGUGUCAUCCUUGUCGAUGUGGGCCAGAGUUCAAACUAAGUGUAGGCAAAUCUCGAUAAGGUAGGGAAAACCUCAGUCCUGAGUGUAGGCAAAUCCCAUUCGGUGGGGCAAACCUCAGCGAGGACGCUGAGUCUAUAAGGGGGUGUAUAUAACACCUCAACUUAGAAAGGAUUCCCACAUGGUAAAACACAGGAGGGAUGUUGGGUAUAUAAGUAAGAAAGUCUUACUCCCUAAUGAUGUGUUUUAAAGCUGUGCGGGCCUUGGCCCAAAGCAGACAAUAUCACUAGUGGGUUAGGCAGAGAAAGGGAUCUCUUGGGCCUUGAUGGUUUGGGAUGCCCGUCGUGACUAGGGCCCCGGAAGGGUGAUUCUCUCUCUUUUAUGGUGGUUGGAUAAUAUUGUGGCAAGAUUUGUAAAUUGUAUGGUUGUAUGUAAAGGAAGUGGCUGGCUAUGAUUAUUAUCUAUUUGAAUUAGGAAAGGAUCCUAGAGUGAAAAGCUAUGGUGGUUACAGAAAUUCCUUAUAGGCUAUGAAUGAAAAAGGUUAGAUUAACCAAUAAGUUACAAGUAUAGACUCAUUUUAGUAUGUGGUAUUUGAAGGUUGUCUAAAUGUAUGCUUGGGGUAAGUAAGUAUGAUGUGAGAAAGUAGAAUAUGUAGAUAAGAUUGUAUAGGAUUAUAAUAUAAGAUUAAGGUUGACCAUGUCUAUUAUGUGACUUUACCCCCUUGACCUUCUUUUCUUCAGUAGUUGUAAACUAGUACUACUUGUGAGAAAGUAUGUAGUAGAUUUAGAGGUGUAGUAGUAAUGUUAUGGAGGUGAUCUGGUUGAAGGUAGUAUCUAGGUGACAUGAGGUAUUUGAGUUGAUUUCCCUAUUUGUUGGACUAGUACAUUAUGUUGCAUUCUUCAUUGGUGAUUGAUGAUUGAUGCUAGACUAUAGGCUUGAAUUUUAGAUGUAGAAUGUGGUGGUAAGAAUAGUAGCUUAAGAUUAAUGAGGUAUGUUUUAUGGCAAUGAAUUGGUAGGCUUGAUGUGAUUUGUGAAAGAGCCUAAGUUGAUAGUUUAUGAAAAGUUUAAGUGGUAAGUGUGAGGUAUAUGUGUAUAUGAGGACUAGUAUUAAAGUAAUGAAUUUUGGGUGAAUCAUUAAGUGGAUAGAGUGUAAGUAUAUAAGAAUAAGUUGCACCCCUAGUAGUAUGGCAUUAGGUAAGAUUUUAUGAUAUUAUGAAGGAAAAAUACGAAAAUAUAAAAUGAUACAAAAUCAUGGUCAUGCUCUGAAUUAAGUUUAUCAAUAAAAAAUAAGACCCAUUAACAUCUAAACAGCAUCUGUUUCUGUCUACGAAAUCUAUAAUACAUAGGAAAUAAACAAAAUGUCUAAAUCUGGGACAAGGCCCCCAGUGGACCUAAACCAAAAUAAAUAUCAAAAGUUUGAAUGAAGGCUUUCCGGAAUAAAGAAGGCUCACCACUGCACGCUUCACUUCUGUCUAAAUACUCUACGGCUUAGCAGGACCUCUAGACUGAGCCUCAGACCCUGGAAGGUCGGGGGUUAAUACAUUUGUACUAGUACGCAGAUCAAAUACAAAAUAAUAAUUUAUAUUCAAUAUAUAUAUGAGAGCUAUUUAAAAACAGUUCAUAAAUAUGUCAUAUGGUAAGAAUCACAUGGGCAAUUUCUUAUAAGACUCUAUAAAAGCAUCUGAACUCUGUGACACUCUUUGUUUUACUUCUGCGCUAGGUGGUAUAUACCCUAUAACUCUGAAAUUCCAUGGGCCAUAUGGAAUCUGCCAUUAACUCGGCAGCCAAGCCCCAACCCAAGUUUUUUGCAAGGGUCGGAGUCUCUGAAUCUCUACAACGCCACAAGGUCGUCGCCGGCGUACAAUAGUAACAUACCCGUAUCGGCAAAACACGAUUUUGGUGUAUGAGUCGAUCGACUCGUGCCCUCUUCGGGUAACCGCCUAACCCUCUUUAAUCUCAUUUUUAAUUCUUUAUAAUAUGCAAUCCUUGAAAUCAAACUAUGAAGACUCUAGUUCUGUUAUGGCAUAAAUUUAUAUGGUAUCGUCAUACCAUUAACUUGCAAGUCACAUUCCCUGAGCCAUUUAUGGCAAAUUAUAUCUCUGUUCUCAAAAUAUGGAAUUUACGGACCCUAUAUCAACAAUUCUUUUCAAGAAACUCAUUCUUUAAAACUCACGUAACCACAUGCAAGAAAACUCUCAUUUUCAACAUUCCAAACACACAAGGUGGUCAUGUCAAAGAUAUUAAUCACAUGCAAUUCUUUCUCUUUAAUACAAGAACGAAAUAAUAUCAAGAAACUCUCUCAUCAUCAUCAAAAUCAUGUUAAUUACUUUAAUAUUGAAAAGAUCAUUUUCAAACCAUUAAACAUGCAUCUCAAAUCAUUCUCAACAGUUUCAUAAACUCUAAAUCAUCAAAGAGAGGAAUUUUAAUGAUAAUUCUCUCAAUCAAAUCUUCAAUCUCAUUCAUAUACAUAUAGAUGUAAAUCAAGUUAAGGGGGAAAGGCCUAAAGGCCAAAACAAUAAUAUUAUCAAAACAUCCAUAAUGCGAAAUUUAAAGCAUAAGUUCCAAAACACCUUUACAAUUCAUGCUUGAUAAUCUUUAAAUCAUGUUCUAGUGUUUACAAGCCCAUAUAGUUUUUAGGAUAAACCCUACGUACCUUAGAUUACGAGAUUUGAAAGAUGAAACCUAGAUCAUGAUAGAUGGAACCCGGAUUUUUGAUCUUUUUCAUGGAAUUCUUGAUCUUGGGGAUGAGUUCUUGACCUUAGAUUACUUAGGUUGAAGUAUGGAAUCCAGAUUUGAUUUCGUUUCUUGUGAUCUUGGAAUGAAAGAGUUGAAUUCCUUGGAUUCUUGGAGAAAAGGAUUUUGGAUUUCGUUCUUGGGGAAGGGAGUAUUUUGGGUGAGUUGGUGUUGAAGAAGAUGGGCAAAUAUCGCCCUUUUUGGUGAUAUAAAUCAUCCUUUGGACGUUUGGGGUUGAGGGGAAAGGAUCAAAGUGUCCUUUGAUCCUUAUGGAACUGAAAUAACAUGGGAAUUUCCAUCGCAUCGCGACCCCUAGUCGGGUUAAGUAGCCCUCGCGACGCGACCCCCUUUUGGGUCAAGCAGACCCCGCGUCGCGGGGCUAUUGUGAACCCUCACUGCUUUGCAUGGCAUAACUUUUCACUCGAUUAUCGGAUUUUGAAAAAAUUAGUAUUGUUAGAAAGCUAAUUUGAAGAUCUUUCAUUUGAUAUAUAGUAAGACCUCUAAUUCUUUAUAUAUUGGUAGUUAUGAUCAAUUGAAGUUGACCCAAGUUUCGACAAUCACUAAAACUCGAACGAUAGGAAAGCUUUCAACUCGUCCUUGAGUUAGGGGACCUCUAUGAUCUCAAUUAAUGAUCAAAUAGAUUCCACACUACAUAAUUGAUUCACGCGCUAAAUUUUCAUAGGAUUUAUGGCUUUUGGAACAUCUACGCUUAGAAAUGACGGUUUUCGUUCUAGUCCGAAAUGCGGGGUAUUACAACACAAUCAGUGGCUUACACUGAAGUUCAAUUUUCUAUGAGGCUGGACAGCCCAUAGUAUCAGCAACAUUGAGAAUUGAGUAAUGAUGUAACUCUUUAAUUAUAAUCAAGUUCUUAUACACCAUAGACAGAAUUAAACGCGAAAAGAAACACAACUAUUCAAAGAUAUUUGCAGGUUUCGACCAUCCAUAGCUCCCUAUCCAUUCAGCUAUGGAUGAGCUCUUUUUACUUUCAGAGGGCUAGUCAGUAGUUCAGUUUUGUUAAUAAGUUUAGAUCUUGGGUCUUGUCCUGAUAAACAUUAUUCAGUAUGUCAUAGAGGCUUGGUAGACACAUCUAAACUAUCACUUAUUAAUUUGAGAAACACAUGUAAAAACUGACUACACUAAAUAUUCAUUUACAAACUCAUUUAGGUGUUUCUAGCCAUUAAAAAUCAGUCCACGUGGCAUAUCUUUAUUAUUUUUUGCUAACUCUUUUUUUUUUUUAAUUUUAAUUGAUUUUUAUUAAUUUUAAGGUGUGUUUCUUAAACUAAUGAGUGAUAAUUUAGAUGUACUUAUCACACCCACAAUAAUUUUAGUAUGAAACUAAAAAAAAAAAAGAAGGGAUAAUUUUAGCAAAUUAAUACUUUUUGCAAAUUAAAGUAGUCUUGAUAAUUGAGUCAUAUUCACUUUAUGAGUCAAAAAUAUUUCCUUUCAUUUUUUCUAAAUAAUUAUUUGUUGCACUUUUCCGCACCAAAAAAAGAAAAUUAAAAAAAAAAAUAAUAGCAGCGAUAACAUAUUGAGCCAAACUUCUAAUAGAGGACAAAGUUGGACCUUUUUGCAAAAUACAAGAGGUCUUUAUCGACCUUCUCGCGAAUUAUACAUUUCUAUUUUAUUAUUACUAACAUAUUACUUAUUAAGUUGUUAUAUAUCCCACUGAAUAAAAAAUUAAAAAACUUUUAAGUAUAGUAUGUAAAACACACUUUAAAUAUCACCUUUUUUGAGUCUCACACCUAAACUAUUGGAAAUGUAAGAAAUACAUCUAAAUAAUUAUUUAUUAGUUUGAGAAACACACCUAAAAACUGACUAGAUUAAAUAUUCGUUUACAAACGCAUUUAGGCAUAUCUAGCCAUUAAAAAUCAGUCCACAUGGCAUUUUUUUUUUUUUUUUGGCUAAUACAUUAACUUUUCAUUUUUUAUAAUUUUUUAUUAAUUUAAAGGUGUGUUCCUUAAAAUGAUGAGUGAUAGUUUAGGUGUGUUUCUCACACCCCCAAUAAUUCUAAUAUGAAACUCCAAAAAAGGGAAGAAUAAAAACUACCAUUGAUGUGGUCUACCACUUAAAUAGAUAAAAGCAAAUUUUAGUUUUUUAAACAAAUUUUAAAUUGUCAAACACUUAAAAAGUUAAAAAUAAUUUAAAAGCUAUUUUUAACUUAAAAUAACCUCAUCCAAACACCCAAAUAAUCCCACCCACUUGCCCUUAGCCAACAGAGCCAUAGCCUUAAAAUGACGAUUUUAUCCUCACCUUUGACGGCCUUCAUUGGACUAGCAGCAUUACUUUUAGCAAUUUAAUUUACUUCGAUUCUGGAGUUUGUUUUUACCUUUUGUUUUUUUAGAAAAAAAAAAUAUUUAUUUCUUUUUUUACUUGUCGUUUUUAUGGAGUAAUGUUUUGUAAUUGGGAAUAGUGCAUCAUAAAAAUAGUGUUAAAUACUUCCUUCAUCUCAUUUUACCUGUUCCAAAUUUUCUAAUUUAUGUCCUAUUUUACUUUUUUUUUUUUUACUUGUUAAGAUUAGACAAUUUAUUUUUUCAUAUUUUAUCCUUUGUAUUAAUUUUUUUUUAAAAAUUAAAAUGUAAACAUCAUUUAAUUGAGGUACUAUAAUAAAUUAGACAUGUUAUUUAUUAUUUUUUUUAAUAUCUGUGUCAUCCUAAUUUGGGACGAGUAAAAUAGAACGGAGGGAGUAUAUAUUAGCGGGAAGUUUUAACGUUGCCUUCAUUUAAUAGUUUUAUGCUUUGUUAGUGGGGAAAAAUUAUGGUUGUUUCUAAAAAUGUUUUCUCACUAAAUGAAAUUUACUUGCACUUUCACAUUUUUAUGACGUUUUUGAAAUGUACCUUGUACCCAAAAAUAAACAAAUAAUUAUAGUUCAUGAUUUAAUAGGUUUUAUUUUUCUUUCUGAGUUCUUGAUUUGCAAAAAUAAAAAACAGAAGGAUAGUUUGGUACUCUAAUGUAUUCCAUAGUCAUCGCUAUUAUAUUUUUUAUCAACAUUUUAUAAAUAUUUGUUGUAUUUUCAAAGUUCUAGCUAGCGUUUAAUUAUAGAUUUUAGAAUUAGUUUUAAAAAGUUAUCUAUAAAUGUCUGUUUGACCAUGAAAUUUGAUCAGAUUUGAAAAUCCAUGCGGAAUUUUUCACUCACAAUUUCUUUUCUUCUUUUUUUAAAGUGAAAGAAAGUUUAAAUAUGACUUCCAAAUUUAAAAAUUACUAUGGCAAAAGCUCAAAUAUUCCGUUUUAACUUUAAAAUCUAAGAUCAAACGAAAAUUUAGGUUGCUACACUCUCUUUGUACAUUUUUAUGGAAUAAUACCCACGAAAAUAUCUGAACUUUGACCGAAUUACCAGUUGAGCAUACUGAAUUUUAGCGGAGGUCCUAUUACCCCCUAGACUUAUUUUUCGUAUUUUAAUGGCAUAUAUCUACCACUUGAAUAAUUGUGUGUUAGACACGCACAUUGAGUGAGUGAAGGAGUUAAAAAACGUUACAAACACAUUUUUUUUGGCCAAACGGCCCCUAACUUUUCUAAUUAUUGAAAGUUUUAUAUAUAUUUUUUUAUUCUUUCUCUUCUCUCUUCUUUCUUUUUUCUCUUCAACAAUAAAGUCUUCACCAAUGAUUGCUCCAUUGUAGAAUUAAAAUUGAACACAAUUACAUCACACACCUACACACUCAAAUGAGUCGUCUUCAACACACCCAAAUUUAAUUUAAUACUUUGAAUAAUUUCAAAUUCAAAUUCGAUUUCAUAUUGAACUCAAAUUUGAAAGCUUGGAAGCAAACGUAUGUACUUGCUAUAUACUUUUAGUGGCUCAUGAAUGAUUUUGCAUUACUACUAGCACUAAUUUAUACCAUUGAAUGUUUCUAGUUUUUUCUUCGAUUUCAACAUGACUUAAGUGGGAGCUAGAAUAAUUUGUUCCCACAUUGUGAACAUAUCUUUGCUUCUUGGAGCUGUGCUCUCUUGGGGUAUCAUGUGGCAUCUAAUUAUUGAACGCAAAGAAGCUUGGUUCCCUUCAAGUUUACCACAGAGCAGCAUGAAGAGUCUAACCCUGCAAAUCAGUUUCUAGUUUCCUGUUUUUUCAUUUUCAGUUUCCAUUUUGAAUUUCCAAAUUUGAAGAUUCCAUUAAUGAAAGUUUUCAAUUUGAAUUUGAAAUUUGAGUUGGAAUGCACUGAAAUCAUUUGAAAUUUGAUUUGUAAGAGGAAUUUGAGUUGUGGAAUCUUUAAGAGUUAUAAUGGUGAAAAAAUGUUGAAAAGUGAUAAAAUGGAAAAGAAACAACACGUGUACCACACUUUCCGAUGUCAAAACUAGGUAUAACUUUGCGAGGACAAUUAGUUCCACUUUAAAAAGUUCGGGUGAAUUAAUUCCACUUUAAAAAGUAUAGGUGUGUGUUCAAUAUGCUCAACUGAAAAUGUGGUUAAAGUUCAGAUAUUUUCGUGGAUAUUAUCCCUUUUUAUAUAUAUAUCCGAUUUAUUAAAUUAGAUGUCUAGUUUUUCUAGUUCAAUUUGGCAAACCAAGAUAUAAUUUACCAAUGAGUGUGUAUUUCACCUUUGUUGUUAAAGCAUAUACAAUUUUCUAACAUUUAUAAAUUACUUAUGAGCAAUAUAGAAAAUUAUCCUUUUAUUUAUUGUGACUUAAAAAGUGCAUCAAAUCAAACACGAACAAGUAAAAACGGAAGGAGAAAAUACUAUCUAAUGUAAAGGUUUUAAUGGCAUUGUGAUCUACAACACCAUGGCCUGCAAAUAUGCAAUGAAUACAAUCAAAUCAUAACGUUGCACAGUUGCAGGCAGAAAAGAAAAAGAAAUUUUAAUUCGAUUAUUAAAUCAAACUCAAUAUUGUUUCAAAGCUUAUAAAUCUCCUUUCUAAUAUGAGUAAUCGAAAUUCAUAACACUCAAUAUUAAUAUGCAGCCUUUGUUUCAAUUUGUGUGUUUUCCUUUUCUUUUUAUUUUGUUGAGAAAAUACUCAAUUAUCACUUUGAACUAUACGCGAAAAGGUUGAGACACAUCCGAACUUUAGGAGGGUCCUAUUACCUCCUGUACUAAUUAGACAUAUAUUUCACAACAUACUGAAGUGUCCACGUAGGCACACGUGUGUACCACGUAGGCACUAAGAUUGUCAAAUAUAUGAUUUUAAUCAGUCCAGGAAUAAUAGAACCCUUCUAAAGUUUAAGUGUGUAUCAGCCUUUUCACGUAUAGUUCAAGGUGGUAAUAAAAUAUUUUUCCUAUUUUGUUUAAAAAAUAAUCAUACUUUGUAUAUUAAAUAUAAUUCAUUAAUUUCAAUAUCUGAUGACAACAAGGGUGUAACUUUAAUGUACACCUUUUUUAAACACAAUGGAGAAUAAGACAAGUUUCAAAAUAAAAUAAACACUUUUUUUACACCUUAUACGAGAACAAGGUCAGAAAACAUUGACUGAAUGUGCACUAUUAUCUAUGGUUGAAAAGUUGAACCAAACUGUGUUGGACACUUUGCCCGGCCACUAGCCAUUACUUAUACGAGAACGUCUUGUUGUGGUAGGGGGAAUAUGUCUGACAUUCUAAUACUUUAUAUAUUUUUAAAUACAAUAAAGAAGUUCUCUCAUUCUAAAAGUUAUAAUUAAAAUUGGAUAUUCUUUAAUUUUAAAUAAACAUAUUUAAAAGUACAUUUGUCCUAGACAAAGGCGUUUUUGGCUAGAGCAGCAAUCGAAAAUCUUUACUUUAUAAGGUCUGAAUCAUACUUCUUUUUAUAAUUUAGUACAGAAAAUAAAAUUUAAUUUAAAGUUAUUGAAUUUGUUGAAUUUAUAAUUAGUAUAAUGACUUUGCUUCUGCCUUUGGGUAUAUAGAUGUUACAACAAAAAUAUAAUCGGUAUAAUUUCGCAAGUGAGUAUCUAUGAAAAGAGAGUUUGUAUGUAACUUUAUUUCUAUCUUGUGAAGUUAAAAAGUUAUUUUUGAUAGACAUUCAGAAUAAGUAAAGCAUAAAAUCACCUAUAAAAAAGAUAAUAUAAUAGGAAAAUACUUAUGUUCAACUGAAAAAAGAGAAACGAUUGCAACAACACAUAGUUGGAAGCAAAGAAAAUAUGUAAUAAUAGAAUCGAAGUACAGAUUAAUAACAUGUGAAUAGUUAUAACAAAACUGAUAAAGAAAAAGUAAACAACAUUCAACUACCUAUUAAUUUUCUAUCAUAAUCUCAACCUUCAUAUUUGCAAGUAUAUCAUGUCAGGUCUACUUAUCUCUUUCUAUACUUCUUCCAUGUAACUCUACUUCUCCUCAUACCCUUACCAUAGCCAAUAUCUCUCACCUCCUUGCUAAACAUCUGUGCAUUGGCAUAUCGAAAGUUAAAAUAUUUAAUUUCAAUGUAAACCUGUAUAUUAAUGUUACUCUCAACUUUUAAUACUAAAAUAUCAUUUUAUUUUGUAGUUUUAAAUGUAUCACGUGAAAAGUUAGAAUAGUAUUAUUAAAAAAUAUUUUUUUAAAUAGAUUAAAAAUAAAAAAAAAGAUCAAUUUUUUUUAAAUGAAGAAAGUACUUGUUAAAUUGUUAUAUGUUUCAUUUAAUAAAAAAUAAAAAUAUUUAUAUUUUUUCAAAUUAAAGAUAGUCUUGAAAAUUGAGUCAUAGCUCAUUGUAUGAGUUAAAAAAUUUGUUUCUUUUAUGAGAAAAAAUACUCCACUAUUUGGCUCCUUAAGUCCUAAGCUGGAGAUUUAUUAUUUAUUUAUUGAUUAGCCUAUAAAGUAUUAGUAUUAAAAUAUGUUUUUUUCAAAUUAAAGAUAAUCUUCAUAAUUGAGUGAUAGCACACAGUCAAAAAGUUUACUUUUUUUUAAGAAAAAAGAUACUCCACUAUUUGUCUUUGAGUCCUAAGCUAAGCUGGAGAUUUAUUGUUUCUUUAUUGAUUAGUCCAUAAAGUAUUAGUAUUAAAAUAGUUAUUUUUUUAAAAAUUAAAAAUAGUCUUCAUAAGUGAUAGCUCGCAGUCAAAAAGUUUACCUUUUCAAGAAAAAAGAUACUCCACUAUUUGGCUCCUUAGUCGGAGAUUUAUUAUUUCUUUAUUGAUUAGCCCAUAAAAUAUUAGUGGCAGACAACUAAUCUAAAUAAAAAAUUUGUGAUUGGUAGAGUAAAUUGGCCAAGUUCUUCUUUAAUAUAUUAAUGAGGGAUAUCUUUAAAUAAUUAAGGUAGAUCUGAAAAGGGUUAAGUAUACAUACAUAUUCUCCCUAUCUCAUAAAUAUAAAGAGAUUAUUUUUGAAGAAUCGUCAUUUAAAUAGAGCAAAUCAAAUUAGUUAUUAAAAUAGAAAAAACAUGACUGCUAAUAAAGAAAUCAGAACAUAACAUGUAUUAACAAAAUAAAAAAAACUUUUAAAUCUUGUGCUCCUAAAUUAAAGUUAUAUCAUAUGUAUUAAAAUAUUUUUUAAUCUUGUGGCCUUAAACACAUCAUGUAUAUAGUUGGAAUAGUGUUGCCAAAAAAGAAUAUAAUCAAUUUUUUAAACAAGCUAAAAUUAAAAGCAGAUCAGGUUUUUUGAAAUGGAGCACAUUAAGUUGUUAUAUGUUCCAUUGAAUAAAAAAUUAAAUUAUUUUUGUUUUGCAAAUUAAUGGUAAUCUUGAUAAUUGAAUUAUGUUCGAAAAGAUUAUCUAUCUUUUUUUUAAAAUAAUAAUUUUGCUCCUAAAAUUGAAGAUUUGUUUUGGUCAUCCAACCAUCUCUUAUUAUUUCUUUAUUGACUUAUUAAGUAAUAUAAUAUAAGUGGCAGCUAAUAUGUAUAAAAAAAUUGGUGAUUGGUAUAAUUGUCCAAGGUCUUUUUUUACUAUAUCAAUGAGCUAGGUAAAUCUUUACAUAAUUGCAUCAGUGACAUCUGGAAAGGGUUAAUGCAGAAUUUGUAUUAAGGUAGAGAGCUUAUUUUUUAUGGAUCCUAAUUUUAUUUUAAAAUAUAAUAAAGGUAUAUAUCUACAUAAUCAUCUCUUCAGAAUUUUUUCUCUCUUAAAACUACAACUGAUGUAUUCUUCCAUUUAAAUAGAUAAAAGCACUUUCCCCACAUGCAACAAUAAUUGACGUUCUCAUCCCAAUUUUAUCACAAGGCAAACAUACACUUUACUAGACACUCAGAGAGGUAUGCCAUUUUUCUCUUGAUUUUAAUCUUGAUUACUUGCUACUAUAUCUUUGUGUUUAUAUAUACUCAUAUUUGUGUUUUUUAUUGUAUUUUGUUGCAGUGAUCAGUUGUUUCUUCCCAACUUUCUUCCUGUAUUCACAAAUAAUCAUUAAAAGGUUAGUUUCCCUUAAUUACUCGUUUUCUGAGUUAAUAACUAUUGGUUGAGUAACCAUCUGCAAAGUAAGCUCAACAACUUAGCAUACCUACUGCCAUCCUGUUAUUUUUUGUUAAGCAUGGUUCUGAAGAAAAAGAUUACUCCCUUCAUUUAAAAAAGACUGAUGAAAAACUCAUUCCUAUAAAACGGAUUAAAAGGAAAAGUAGAUCAUUCUUUUAAACAAAGAAAAUUUUGUUUCAAUAGAAACCCAGGUCCAUUUCAAUUUGUUUGUUUGAAUUUGACUUGACACAAACCUAAAGAAAGUAAAAGGGACUUUUAAAUCUUAUGGUCUUAGACUAAAAUGUCGUUUAAUUUCAUUGUCUGACUUCCUACCAAAGUUAGAAAAUCCCACAAGUGGGGUAUCAGGAAGGUGGGGUGAGUGAGGUGUACACAAACCUUACCCCUACCUUUGCAAUUGAGAGGGGUAGAGAGAUUGUUUAUGAUAAACCCACGGUACAAGAAAACCUUUUUUGUAAACUAACAUUAAAAGAGAAGGGAAGAAGGGAAUUAAUUAGUACAACAUGUCCUGUGUAAGUCUCAUAGACCAUCACCUAAUGACCAUGGAAACAUGUGUAUUAUACCAUCACCUACUUAUGUUCCACCGCUUAGGACUUGAAACUGCAAGUUGUAGGAGGCCAAUAGUGUUAAAAUAACACCAUUCGAAAAGUUACAAAACAAACAGCAACAUACCUAUGUAAUCAUAUUAAGUGGGGUCUGGUGAGAAAGACUGUUUCCGACAGAUAAAGUUGCAAAAGAGUGAGUUAAAAACUAAGAAAUCAGGCAACUUCAGUCUGCACCAAUUUUAUGCCAAUGCUAUUCUGUACAUGCUAGAUCAUGAAAUAGUAACUUGCCACAACGAGAAAAAUUCGGAAACUACCUUAAGCCACCAUCUCCCCCUUAGAUCAAAGUCAAAAGUCCUAAACUUGAGAACAUAAUCUCUCAUCAAUCUAUAACCACAAUUCUCAAUACAGUAGGGGGUAUCGAUAUACACGAACAGAAACUUCUCUCAAUAAUUUAACAUAAAGACACAAUUCUUUCUAGGACAUACCCCUUCAGGGAUACUAAUCAUAACUUAUUCUAACCCCAGAGUCAUCAAAUUAUGACUAACAUUAUUAUGGGGAUAGGCAUUUAUGCUUCUAAUCACUCAACACUUCUUCAUCAACUCCUUAGAAUACUAGCAUUUAACCUCUUAACCACUUAACUUUCAAACUCAACAGCAUUCGUAAAACUAUACCAAAGGAGUACAUUGCCUACAUAUAUUUCCUCAAUUUAACUCUAAUGAACACUGUAGAACAACUCACCAGACUUCUCCAUACUACUAUAUCAAGAACACAAACUAGGUACGCAAAACACUUAUAAACAUUAUUACUAAACUUUCCCUUUUAAGUAUACUCUAAGGCAUUGCUUUCUAAGAACGCUACUCUUAAUUUUUCACUAUCCUCUAUCGUCAUCAACCUACAAUUUGCAGUCUCAUGAGCAUACACAUCCUCACUCCUUAUCACAUAAAAAUCCAAUCUCCACUACUUAACCUUCUAACAUUAGAUCGUUAACCAUAUAACUAAUAUCAAAAAAUCUUACCAAACGCCAUACUACCAGGGGUUGAAACUCAUUAUUAUAUACUUAAGCCCUUAUCCAUUUAAUGGCUCACCCACAAUUCAUAAUUUCAACAUUAGUCCUCAUAUACACAUAUACCUUACAAUUACCACUUAACUUUUCAUAAAUUAUCAACCGAGGCUCUUUCACAAAUCUCAUCAAGCCUACAAAUUCAUUCCCACAAAACAUACAUCAUUAAUCUUAAGCUACUACUCUUACGACCACAUUAUACAUCUAAAAUCCAAGCCUAUAAUCUAGCAUCAAUCAUCUACCACCAAUGAAGCAUGCAACAUAAUAUACUAGUCUAUCAAAUUAGGAAAAUUAACUCCAGAUACCUCAUUUCAUUUAUUUACUACCUACAAUCACAACCUCUCCAUGACUUCACUAUUACAACUCAAAAUCCACUACAUACCUUUUCAAAGGAAGUACUAGUUUACAACUACAAAAAUAAAGACAAUCAAAAGGGGGGGGGGGGGGGGGGGGAUAAAGUCACAUAAUAGACAUGGUCAACCUUAAUCUUAUAUUAUAAUACAAUACGAUCCUAUCUACAAAUUCUACUUUUUCACAUAAUACUUACCCAAGCAUAUAUUUAGACUACCUUCAAAUUCCAAAAACAACAAUGAGUCUAUAAUUAUAACUUAUUAUCUAAUCUAACCAUUUCCAUUCACAACUAAUAUGGGAUUUCUAUAACCACCAUAACUAUCCACUCUAGGCUUCUUCCCUAUUUUUUUGAAUAGAUAAUAAUCACAGCCCAACACUUCUUCUGUCGAAUGCCUUACAAUCUACAAAUAUCACUACCACGUUAGUCUAUCAAUAUAAAAUGAUAAAUCAUCCCUCAAUCGAUGGUUACACAACGAAAAAAUAUUUAUUUACACAAGAUAAAAGUUCCCCCCACUCUGACUUCUAAUCUUGUGACUUCAUAUCACCAACUUCCUAGCCCAAUCUCACUAGCAAUAGGUCAUGACACUUUAACAUACACAACUUGGGUGGAAAUACAGUUCUAACAUUCUUCUACACAUUAUGCCCAUUAUGCAUGACAUCUGCAACAAGAAUUUUUUAGAAAAGAGAAUGGAUACACUCUAUACAUCAAGCUCAAAUGUACGACUGUUGUAGAUAGGGGUAUAAAUUGAAAUCGAAACACUUUACAGUACUUAUGGACUUCUCUCAAGUUCUUGUACAAUUUCACAACCAUUUAUGACUAAAUAAAAAAAUAUCGUAUCAUUUAGAUUCUACGCUUCUACACUUGAAUCAUCUCAACAAUGAGACAUGCCUAAGAACAUCAGACUAAGGAGCGAAUUGGGAUAACUUUACUUUCAUAUGGAAGACACCACAGAACGAACUAAAGUAUGAAAGAGGAACAUUGUGACUCCAUAGCAUAAACUAGAACAUGAAGAAAAAGAAAUAUUCCUACACGUCUUGUAGCCUCCUACUUAUAAGUGUGGAGCGCUACACACCUCUAAACAGGACUCUACCCGACGCAAUUUCACAGACACCCUGGGACCAUGAACCGUGCUCUGAUACUAAGUUUGUCACGGCCCGAACCAGGGCCCUGACCAUGACAGACAUCCCGAACCAUGAAGGUCCGAAAGUCCUUUUAACUUGUAAUCAUAUACACCAUUCAUAUACAAAGAGGAAAUACAUAACAAAAUAAAAUCAUGGUCAACGAAUAGAAUUCAAAGGAACAAUUUAAAAUGGAGUUCCAUAACUUCUAAUAGCAUCUAAUAACAGUCUGCAAAAUCUCUAAUACAUAAGAGCCAAUAUCUUGUCUAGAACUGGGAAAAGGCCCCGAGUGUAGACCAUAAUCAAAGAAAACAACCAAAUAUGAAAAUCAGGACUUUCAAAAUAAAGAAGGCUCACCAACUGCAACUUCUGACACACUCGAUUCUAUUUCUGAAUGGGACCCCGGGACUGUGCCUCAGAUCCUGAAAUAUAGGAGGUCAAUACUAAUGUACUGGUACACAGAGCGAACAAAAUAUGACGACCCGAACUUGGGCCCUGUCUAUGACGGACAUUCCGAACCAUGAAGGCCCGAGAGCCCUUCUAACUUGUAAUCAUAUACACCAUUCAUAUAUAAAUAGAAAAUACGGAAAUAAAAUCUGCUACGGAAACAUGGUCAUAAUCUAAAUUUAGUAAAUGAGUAAUAAAAUCCAAUAUCAACUAAAUACCAUCUGAAAAUCGUUUGCGAAAUCUCUACUACAUGAUCAAAUAUCAACUGUCUGAAAACUGGGACAAGGCCCCCAGUACACCAAAAUCAUAAUAAAUAAUAACUGUCUGAAAGAAACUAGACCCUUCUAAAAUAUACAAGGCUUACCAACUGGUACUCUUCACUCCUGUCGGAUGAAAUCUACUGCUUAUCAGGACUCCUAGAUUGUGCCUCAGAACUUGGAGAGAGGGGGGUCAAUACAGAUGUACUGGUACGCAAAGCAAUCCAAAAUAAAGCUUGUAUAUAUAUAUAUAUAUAUAAAAUAGUUGAGAGCAAUUUUGUCACAUCAUACAUAAAGUGAUUUUCAAAACACAUGGGCACUUUCUAAAAAUCAUAAAUCAUUCUUAUCAAUACAAUGUCGGAUCUUUGUAUUACUUUUGAGUUAGAUAACACUCCCUUACAAGUCUUAUAUUUCACGGGCUAUAUGGAAUCCUCCAUUGACUCGGCGGGAAAGCCCCCAACCCAAGUGUGCCGCAAGGGUUGGAGUUCCUGAAUCUGAUACGCCAAAGGGCUCUAGGCUAGCGUAAUAAAUAAACCCGAAUCGACAAAUCACGAUUUUGGACAAUGAGUUGUCUAAACUCACUCCUUCUUCGGAGAACCACCUAAACUCUCUUUAAGCGCAAUUUUAUCCUAUUUUGAAUCAUGUAUUUUUCUAGUUUCAACAUCUGAAAAGUCUGAUUUCAAACAUGCAUUCUAUUCUGUUCUGAAUUAUCAUGGCAUAAUCUGAAUUGGUGUCGUCACACCAAGACUGCAAGUCCUAUUUCUGAGCCAUAAUGUAUCAUGCAUAAUUCUUUCGUGAAAAUACAGUUCAGACCACCCAAACAUGCAAACAGUAUAAAAGAUUUCAUGUUCCGAAAACACAAGUCAAUACUAUGCAAGAAUACUUCAAACAUAUGGUGGUCAUGUACUUUUGAAAAAAUUCAUGAACUCUUUCAUUAUAUGUAUUUUCAACAUUUUUAAAUACAAACAACCCUCUCUUUUGAAUUCAAGAUUCAUAACCAAAUCAUUCAUAAAUCAAGACACUUCGUAACAUGCUUUUCAAGAUGCAUUUCAAAACAAAUCAUAGCAUAUCAUGAGUAAAGGAAAAAUCAUAACAAGAGAGAGAUUUUUCAUGAGUCCUGCUCUCAAUUCAAUCAUCAAUCUUUAAAACACAUUCUUAAAUAUAUAUACAAUUUCAAAUCAAUUUGGGAGAAGGUCAAAAGACCAAAACAAUACCGUCAAGAUUUCUAAAACAUGAUUGUAUUCAUAAAUCUGAAAACCCCUUUCUUAAAAUCAUGAUUUUUAUGCCCAUGAGAUUUUAGGAAAAUCCCGCAUACCUUAAAUUAGAAGCUUUUGAAUGAACUCUAGAUUUUGAGGUGCUAUACGUACGAUUGAUGGGUGCCUCUUGUAGCCCUCGCAAUGGGGAUUCCGAAUCUUGAAGAAUUAGGGAAAACCCCACGGUUGAAUCUUGAGUUAUCUAGGUUUUUAGUUUAAAACCCUAGAGAGUGUUCUUAGGUAAUUUGGGUGAAUAAAGUCAUAUUUUUGUGUUUUAGGAGUUUAAUUCCAUGUUAUAGCUGGAUAAGGGAUGGAAGAUACCCAUUUUCCCCUUAAAAACGCGGAAACAAUAUCUGAAAAUUUGGAGCGUGUGAUAGGGUGUGCGUCGCAUGCUUAUCGUAUGUUGUUACUGUCUCAGUCACUAAAAUGGCCAUAACUUUUCAUUCGGGUAUCAGAUUUAGGAGAAAUCGAUAUCGUUGGAAAGCUUAUUCCAAGAACUUUCAUUUGAUAUAUAGUAGGCCUUCUAAUUUAUCAUAUACCAUGAGUUAUAGUUGAUGAAAGUUGACCCAAGUUUAAACAUCCACUAAAACUUAUUUGAUUGAAAUGUUUUCAACUCGUCUUAGAGUUAGGGGAUUUUUGUGAACUCAAUUCAUAUUCAAAGGUAUUCUUACACUAUAGGAUUGAUCACCACACAUAUAUUAAUAAGGAAUCAUCUAGUUUAGGUCUAUAACUUAAGGACGAUGGUCUUGAUUCUAGCCUGAAAGUACGGGGUGUUACAUUAUCUCCCCUUUGGGAUCAUUCAUCCCCGAAUGAUGGGUAGAGGCUUUUUGGAGCUCUAAAAGUGUAGAAUAAAGAACUUAAUAUAGAGUUAAGUAUUUUUCCUCAACAAAAUAUGUGAAGGCAGCGAACAAGCUUCAUGUAACCCCUAGUGAAACGUGAAAGCAUGAAACAUGAGAUAACAAAACAUAACAUUGACAUUAUCUUUGCAUGUGUUUUAUGGCACUUGAUCAAAGCAUUGUAAGAUAUGAAUUUUUCCUAAGAAUCCUCGCCUUGAUUAAGAUUGGUACAAUUCAUGAGAUGUAAAUCUCGCGGGACAUAAGAAUAUUAUCCUUCUCCAUCUUACAAGAUGCAAUAAAAAUACUUAAGCUUGGAGACAUUAUUUGCCUACGCCCCAAACAAUAAAUUACAUGCCUCAUCAUUCCCAACUUACAAUUUUUCCCAUACACGUCUAACCACACAAAUUUGAUUUCCAUUGUAAUACACUUCUAUGUUGAAGCUUUCUUUGAUUCUAGAUCAAAGAUUAAUUUCUAUCUAGAUUAUAUAUAUAUAUAUAUAUAUAUAUAUGUAUGUAUGUAUAUAUAUAUAUAUGUAUAUAUCAAGUAGAUUGUUGAUUUCGAUGUAUAUCUAUCAGAUCGUGGCUUUAUGUAACAAAUAUUUUAAUAUCGUUGCAUCCAGUAUUUUUGUUUCGGAGGAAAAAUGUGCUAACUUAAACUAAGGGACCCUGUACUCUACAUCAUCCAUAAAUCAUCUCACCUCAUCACUAUAAUCCAACAACUCCAGUCUUAAUUCAAGGAAUACUAACCACAUGGCACAUUGUUUUAUUUCUUCACCCCACACAAAAUUUAAGCCUGUCAUUACUACACCCACUACAUGGAUCUCUCCCCACUAAAACCAACAAUUUCAAUCACUCUCACAAAUAGUUUCACCAUAAUUUUCUCUUCUUUGCUAUUUCGUACAACAAAAGUUCAUCUCCUUCCUUUUCCUUUCACCUAUAACCUCAGCUCGAGAAUCACAUCAAAUUUCUCACCUUCAAGAACAUAUACUCCCAUACCUAACACACUAGUACGCUUCCACAACAACCAUCAUACUAACAUAUGGAGGGCCAUUAAGGGACCCGAGCAUAAACAUCAUGAAUGAAAGUAACAUUAUCAGACCAUCACGCAUACUUAUUGCACUUAUUCGAGGAGGUACAUGAAAUGAAGAUACGAUAGAAUACACACGGAGUACUUCUGAUAUCAAGUGUCUAGAUCAUCAGAGGGUUGUUCGGCACGAACACAACACAUUGUGGUUUCCUUAGGAUAGACCAAAAUGAGAAACAUGGAUGCACAUAUCAUAAGCUAUAUGGAAUAAAUCCGAAAUUUAUGUCGUUAACAACUAAGGUAAGGAUUUCACUUAAAGCGAUUGCUCCUCAUUCAAGUGCUGAUUUUUUUUCAGCAUAAAAUGAUUCCGCAACAUAUAGAAAUAUAUUUUUCUUAUGGCCAAGCAUGUUGUGAGACAUAGGUUUGGAUCAUGAGCAGCAUAACAUAUGGCUCGGAUACUUUGAGUAUUAGGUCGCUGAGCGGCAUUACUGCUUCUUGUCUGGACAUCAGAACAUGACAUGACUUACAUAGAGAACUCAAACCUUAGACAUCGGCAAGGAUUGAAUACAUGCGACCUUGGUAGAAUGAACUCUUAAACUGACGUAGGAGGAACAUGCUUGAAUAGGAGUAGGUUCAUCAUGACUCUUCUCUACUUGCCAAAAUGAGAAAAUUCAAAAACUACCUUAACUCACCAUCUUACUCUUAGAUCAAAGUCAUAAUCCUAGACUUGAGAACAUAACUGCUUAUCAAUCUAUAACCACAAUUCUCUAUACAAUAGGGGAUAUCGGUAUACACAUGAACGCAAACUUCCUUCAAUAAUUUAACACAAAGACACUAAAUUCCUUCAGGGACAUCCCCUUUCGGGAAUACCAAUCAUAACUUCCUCUUACCCCAAAAUCAUCCACUCAUGAUUAACAUCAUUAUAGGCAUAGAUAUCCAUGCCUCUAAACACUUAAGAGUUAAGACUUCUGUUCUUGGAAGGGAAGGAUGGUUUCAAUUUGGGAAGAAUGUUAAUUUAGGGCUAAAGUGCUAUUUCGCUACUCAAAUUUGUGUUUAGGCCGAAUUAAUGUGGGUGAAAAUGAACCAAAUGCACUUAAUGAGAUGGAGUUUAAAUGCUGAAAUUUUCAGGUACGUGCAGCAGAGCAUGCGUCACAUGCUGCAUCACACAGCACUAGACCAUGCGACGCAUGCAUAUCGCAUGAUGCCACUGUUUUGGGCAUCCAAACAUGCCCUAAACGACGCCCAAAAAUUCCAAAACUCAAUCAAGACAUACCCUUGACUUCCCCGAUCAUGGAUUAAUAAGAAAAUCUAAAAUCGGAGUUCGAGAAGGUCAAAAAUAAAAUCAUCAAAGAUUGGGAGCUUAAAAUGUAACUAAGUUAUUUUCUUUAACACUUAGAAAAAGGGAAUCAUUUAAGUUGUUAGCCAUCUAAGCCUGUUACUAAGUAACAUCAAAUCGAGAAAACUAUGGGGCGUUAUGACUACUUAAUGCAUACUCUAAAAGCAUUGCUUUCCAGAAUGCUACUCUUAAAUUUUGCUAUUCUCAAUCAUCAUCAACCUAAAACUCGCAUUCUCAUGAGCAUACAUACACAUCCUCCCUUUUUAUCACAUCAAAGUCCACUCUACACUUAACCUUCUAACAUUACACCUUUAAUCGCAUAACUUAUAUCAUAGAAGAAACCUUACCUAGCAACUCAACGGUACUACUAUGUCUACUAGCCACACGCAAUAUGUAAUAGUCUUAGAAAAUGCCACAACUCCAGAUCACCUUGGGCAUACUUCUACCUCAUACAUACAACAUCAUACUUUUUUACGAAUCAAAUAAACUUAAUCUAUGGUGUAUAAUCUAUUGCAUACACCAUUCAAGCCUAUUAGAUCACUUUCAUAUAACUAGUAUCAUUAACCAAGAAAUCACCACAUCCACCUCUAUGGACAUCAACUGUUCAAACUUAAUGUCUAGUGCUAAGCAUGAUUUACAACCCAACCUGACACAUAAUUCUCAUAAAACAUUCAUCAUUAAUCUUAAGCCACUAUUCUUACAUCCACAUCCUACAUUAAAUUCAAGCCACUAGUCUAGCAUCAAUCAUCUACCACCAAUGAAGAAGACAACAUUAUAUACUAGUCCGUCAAAUUGGGACAUUCUAUCCAAAUACCUCAAAAAUCUACUACAUACCUUCUCACAAGUAGUACUAGUUUACAACUACCAAUGGAAAGAUGGUUAAGGUGGGUAAAGUCACCUAAUACACAUGGUCAACCUUAAUCUUAUAUUAUAACCCCAUACAAUCUUAUCUACUUAUACAACUUUCUCACAUCACACUUACUUACCCAAGCAUACAUUUAAACUACCUUCAAGUUCCACAAGCAACCAUGAGUCGAUAAUUAUUACUGACUGGCUCAUCUAGCCAUUUUCAUACUUCAAGCAGACAACAAUUCACCUUAACUAAUAACUCCUUCUCUACCUUCUACUAAACUAACACACAUGCACGUAUCACAUCAUUACCAACUCAAUCUCAUGCAAAAAGAUUUGACUAUACAAAUAUUUAACCAACACAAGAACAACAAGUUGCUAGUGAAUCGAAAUAGGCCUCACACGGCUUCACUAGAUUUUGAUUUUUGUGUUUUGAACAAUAAAAUGAAAUGAAUAACAAAGCAACUAUGCUAGUGAAUCGAAAGAUCCCAACACGACUUCACUAGACUUUGAUUUUUUUUUCCAAAAACACUAUGAUAACAAGAUUAUAUAUUACAAGGAUAGAAAAUUGAUACACAAUAUUUAAUGAUCUAAGGAUACACAUCUUAUUCUGUAUAAAUAAAAAUCUGAGUCAAACACUUCCUCCACGGACUAUCAUGCAAUCCGCAGAUGGUACUACCACAUUAGUCUACCACAAGAAAAUGGUAAAUCAUUCUCAAUAAAUGAUUAUUCGGCAAUAAAUAUUUACUUACACAAAGGUCACCCUCAAUCUACCUCUAACCUUUUGACUUAAUAUCACUAACUUCUUGGUCUAAUUUCACUACCAAUAGGUCAUGACACCGACACUUUAACUUAUACUACUACUCGGGCUGAAAUACAGUUCCAACAAACACAAUUUUAAACUUGAGGGACUUAUGACACAUUAGGGAGAUCCUCUCAAGCCCCUUUGUGCGACCUCUGAAAUUUUUGCUAGUAAAUCGUAGAGCAUUAUCUAUGAACACCAAAGUAAGGAAAAGAAUUAGGAUAACUUUUCUUUCGUAUGGGCGACAUCAUAGCAUGAAUUGGAGUAUGAAGGAGGAACAUUCUGACUCUAUAGCACGAACUAGAACAUGAAGAAAGAGAGAUAUUCAUAAACGCCUAGUAGCCUCCUGCUUAUAAGUGUGGCGCGCUACACACCCAAAAACAAGACUAUACCUGAUACGAUUUCAUAGACACCCUGGGACCAUGAACCGUGCUCUGAUACCAAGUUUGUCACGACCCGAACCUGGGCCCUGGCCGUGACGGACAUCCCAAAUCAUGAAGGCCCAAGAGCCCUUCUAACCUGUAAUCAUAUACACCAUUCAUAUAUAAAUAGGAAAUGCGAAAAUAAAAUCUUCUACGAAAACAUAGUCAUAAUCUAAAUUUAAUUUUAAAAUGAGGAAUAAAAUCCAAUAUCAACUAAACACCAUUUGAAAACCAUCUGCAAAAUCUCUACUACAUGAUCAAAUAUCAAUUGUCUGAAAAUUGGGACAAGGCCCCCAGUAGACCAAAAUCAUAAUUAAUAAUAACUGUCUGAAAAAAACUAGACCCUUCUGAAAUAUAGAAGGCUCACCAACUGGUACUUUUCACUCCCGUCGGAUGAAAUCUACUGCUUAUCAGGACCCCUAAAUUGUGCCUCAGAACCUGGAGAGGGGGGGUCAAUACAGAUGUACUGGUACAUAGAGCAAUCCAAAAUAAUGCUUUUAUAUAAAUAAAAUAGUUGAGAGCUAGUCAUAAACAUCAUGAAAGAUAUAAUGUUCAAAACACAUGGGCAUUCUUGAGAAAACAUAAUAAACCUUUCUGUCAAAAGCAGUUUCUGAUCUUUGUAUUACUUCUGAGUUAGGUGGCACUCCCCUACAAGUCUGAUAUUCCACGAGUCAUAUGGAAUCCACCAUUGACUUGGUGGGGAAGCCCCCAACACAAGUGUGCUGCAAAGGUUGGAGUGUUUGAGUCUGAUACGCCACAAGGCAUUAGGCCAGCUUAUAAUAAUAUACUCGGAUCAGCAAAUCAUGAUUUUGGGCAAUAAGUUGUCUGAACUUAUGCCUUCUUCGGGGAACCACUUAAGCUCUCUUUAUGCCCAAUUUUAUUUUGUUCUGAAUCAUGCAUUAUUCUAGUUUCAAUAUCUGAAAAAUCUGACUUCAAAUUUGCAUUCUAUUCUGUUCUGAAUUACCAUGGCAUUAUCUAAAUUGGUGUCGUCACACCAAGACUUGCAAGUCCUAUUUCUGAGCCAUAAUGCAUUAUUCUUGAUUAUUUCAUUAAAACAUAGUUCAUACCACCCAAACAUGUAAUUUAACAGAGGGAAUUCAUGUUCCAAAAACAUAAGUCAAAACUAUGCAAAAUUCUCAUUCUUUCAAUAAACAAGUGGUGGUCAUGUAAUCUUUAACAAAACAUAAUCCAAAUAUAACAAUAUUCAAGAUAUUUCAUAACAUGUUUCUUAAGAUGCAUUCAAACGAUUUCAUAGUAUACCAUUAGUAAAUGAAAAUCAUCACAAGAGAGGGAUUUUUCAUGAAUCAUGCUCUCAAUUCAAUCAUCAACCUUAAAACACAUGCUUAAAAUAUAUAUAUAUAUCUUGUAUAUAUAUAUAUAUAUAUAAAAUAGUUGAGAGCAAUUUUGUCACAACAUCAUACAUAAAGUGAUUUUCAAAACACAUGGGCACUUUCUAAAAAUCAUAAAUCAUUCUUAUCAAUGCAAUGUCUGAUCUUUGUAUUACUUCUGAGUUAGGUGACACUCUCCUACAAGUCUGAUAUUCCAUGGACUAUAUAGAAUCCGCCAUUGACUCGGCGGGGAAGCCCCCAACCCAAGUUGCCACAAGGGUUGGAGUUCCUGAAUUUGAUACGACACAGGGCUCUAGGCCAGCGUAAUAAAUAAAUCCGGAUCAACAAAUCACAGUUUUGGGCAAUGAGUUGUCUGAACUCACGCCUUCUUCGGGGAACCACCUAAACUCUCUUAAAUCCCAAUUUUAUCCUGUUUUGAAUCAUGUAUUUUUCUAGUUUCAACAUCUGAAAAUUCUAAUUUCAAAUAUGCAUUCUAUUCUGUUCUGAAUUAUCAUGGCAUAAUUUGAAUUGGUGUCGUCACACCAAGACUUGCAAGUCCUAUUUCUGAGCCAUAAUGUAUCAUGCAUAAUUCUUUCAUGAAAAUACAAUUCAGACCACUCAAAUAUGCAAACAGUAUAAAAGAUUUCAUGUUCCAAAAACACAAGUCAAUACUAUGCAAGAAUACUUCAAACAUGUGGUGGUCAUGUACUUUUGGCAAAAUCCAUGCACUCUUUCAUUAUAUAUAUUUUCAACAUUUUUCGAUACAAACAACCCUCUCUUUUGAAUUCAAGAUUCAUAACCAAAUCAUUCAUAAAUCAAGACACUUCGUAACAUGCUUUUCAAGAUGCAUUUCAAAACAAAUCAUAGCAUAUCAUGAGUAAAGGAAAAAUCAUAACAAGAGAGGGAUUUUCCAUGAGUCCUGCUCUCAAUUCAAUCAUCAAUCUUUAAAACACAUCCUUACAUAUAUAUACAAUUUCAAAUCAAUUUGGGGGAAGGUCAAAAGAUCAAAACAAUACCGUCCAGAUUUCUAAAACAUGAUUGUAUUCAUAAAUCUGAAAACCCCUUUCUUAAAAUCAUGAUUUCUAUGCCCAUGAGAUUUUAGGAAAACUCCGCGUACCUUAAAUUAGAAGCUUUUGAAUGAACUCUAGCUUUUGAGAUGCUAUACGUACGAUUGAUGGGUGCCUCUUGUAGCCCUCGCAAUGGGGAUUCCGAAUCUUGAAGAAUUAGGGAAAACCCCACGGUUGAAUCUUGAGUUAUCUAGGUUUUUAGAUUGAAACCCUAGAGAGUGUUCUUGGGUAAUUUGGGUGAAUAAAAUCAUAUUUUGGUGUUUUGGGAGUUUAAUCCCGUGUUAUACCUGGAUAAGGGGAGGAAGAUACCCAUUUUUCCCUUAAAAACGCGGAAACAGUAUCUUAAAAUUUGGAGCAUGCGAUAGGGCGUGCGUCGCACGCUUAUCGCAUGCUGCUACUAUCUCAGUCACUAAAACGGCCAUAACUUUUCGCUCGGGUAUCGGAUUUGGACGAAAUUGGUAUCGUUGGAAAGAUUAUUCCAAGACCUUUCAUUUGAUAUAUAGUAGGAUUUCUAAUUCAUCAUAUACCAUGAGUUAUAGUUGAUGGAAGUUGACCCAAGUUUAAACAUCCACUAAAACUUAUUCAAUUGAAAUGUUUUCAACUCAUCUUAGAGUUAGGGGAUUUUUGUGAACUCAAUUCAUAUUCAAAGGUAUUCUUACACUAUAUGAUUGAUCACCACACAUAUAUUAAUGAGGAAACAUCUAGUUCAGUUCUAUACGCGUAAGGACGAUAGUCUUAAUUCUAGCCCGAAAUUACAAACUUAGUUAAUGAACUAGGACAAGAGAUAGAAGAUUUAGAUUUAAACAACCUAGUAAUCAAUAAUUUAAUGAAUGUUACUCAAGAAUGUGUACAUGAAUUCCAAAGAAACAAAGGCCUAGACAGCAAUAGAUGUCGUAUAUGUAAUUGGUAUCCCAGCAAAGACAAUAGAGCUAAAUGGAAAAAAUGUUACCUAGAAGCAUGUAUAAAUUGUAUAGAAAAUACUCUAAAAAUAAAAGUAGAAUCAGAGAUAAAUAACGGACAAAAAUAUACGAACAAUCAAAUCCUAAACCUAAGGGUGUCUACUUUAGAAACCCGAUUAAAUGAUCUAGAACAAAGAUUAACUAUUCUAGAAAAAGGAAAAACAAAAAUCACCAUAGAAGAAACGGAUACCCAAGAAGCGGUACAUUUAGAAAAAUUAGAAGCAGAACUUAUGAAUUUAGAAGAUAAUAACACUAGUCUAAUAUGCAACGAAGAUAAAGAAUUCUCUACCAUAAAAGUCUUAGUAAAAAUCAAAAUAAAAGACGUAGAAAUAGAAACUCUAGCAUUAAUAGAUCCAGGAUGUACUAGCUGUUUAAUCAAUAAAGAAAUAGUACCCAAACACUUAUUAAAAAUACUUGAAAGACCUAUAAUGGCCACUCAAAUGGAUGGAUCAUAAAAUAUUUAUCGGUAUUACAUAGAAAAAGCGCAGAUAAGUUUUCUAAAUAAUUGUAAUAAAUUUUAUAACCCAGUUUAUAACGUUAAUAGGAUAAUAACAAGAGAUUUAAAUAUAGGAUCAGAUUUUGUUAUAGGACUAAAAUUUUGUGUACAGAAUAAGGGAGGAUGUCUCUUAACAAGAGAUGGAAUAAUGCUCUUUAAAAAUUUGACUUAUACACCAGUACAAACAAUAACAUUGCCUACAGUAUUUAGAAAACUAAAUACAAGUAAAAAGAAAUCGCUUCCAGAACCAUGUUGCAAAGAUUGCCAAAAUAAUCAAUACAGCAACCCGUUAAAAGAAAAUCUGGAAGAAGUUAGAAACUAUUCUCUGCUUAAUGCAGAAGGACAAGAAUGCUUAACUAAUAUAGAAAAGGAAUAUACACUAAUAAGUAUAGAAACUCAGUUUUAUAAUUUUAGAAAAGGAAUAGAUAAAAUAGGAAUAAUAAACAGUCCAAAAGAUUUAGAAAAUAUAAUAUCUAUAUUAGACAAAAUGGAGAUAAUAGGAGAAAGGCCAUUAGCCCACUGGGACGCCAAUGAAAUAAUGUGUAAAUUAGAUAUAAUUAACUCAGAGUAUACAUAAAAACAGCACCUGUAGAAGCAAAUAAUGAAGAUACUAAAGAAUUUGAUAUACAGAUAAAAGAACUCUUACAAUUAGGAGUAAUAAGAAGAUCCACCUCUAGACAUAGAUCAGCGGCAUUUAUGGUAAGAAAUCAUAGUGAACAAAUAAGGGGUAAAGCUCGUAUGGUAAUUAACUACAAAAGAUUAAAUGAUAACACCAGAACAGAUGCUUACAAACUACCAGAUAAAAGUGAGUUAAUUAAUAGAAUUCAAAAUAAAAAGGUUUAUAGUAGAUUUGACUGUAAGUCAGGUUACUGGCAAGUCAAAAUGCACCCAGAUAGCAUAGAAUGGACAUGGACAGCAUUCACAUGUCCAAGCGGACAUUUUGAAUGGUUAGUUAUGCCGUUUGGAUUAAAAACAGCUCCGCCCAUUUUUCAACGAAAAAUGGAUAACAUAUUUGGAGAAUAUAAACAUUUUAUCUUAGUAUACGUAGAUGAUAUUUUAGUAUUUAGUCAAACCAUGCAAGAACAUUUAGGACACUUACAAGUAAUUUUUAGACUAUUUGUUAAACAUGGUAUAAUAAUAAGUAAAAAGAAGAUGGAGUUAUGCAAAACUUAUAUUAAUUUUCUAGGAAUAACUCUAGGAAAUGGAAAAGUAAAACUACAACCACACAUAGCAAAGAAGGUACUAGAAAUGCCAGAUAAAUUAGAAACAACAAAAGAUUUACAAAAAUUCUUAGGAUUAGUAAAUUAUGCACAAAAUUUUAUUCAAGAUUUAGGAAAAAUAGCAGGACCAUUAUAUGCAAAAACAGGUAGUAAAGGGCAGAAAAAUUUCAAUAUAGAAGAUGUUAAAUUAGUCCAAAAAAUAAAAGAAAAAUAAAAAAUAUCUCAGACCUAAAAAUUCCAUUAGAAUCAGACUAUUUAAUUAUUCAAACAGAUGGAAGUGACUUAGGAUGGGGAGCUAUCUUAAAAGCAACACCUAAUAAAUAUAGUAAUAAAAAUGAAGAACAAAUAUGUGGAUACCAGAGUGAGGCAUAUAAAGAAAAAGNNNNNNNNNNNNNNNNNNNNNNNNNNNNNNNNNNNNNNNNNNNNNNNNNNNNNNNNNNNNNNNNNNNNNNNNNNNNNNNNNNNNNNNNNNNNNNNNNNNNNNNNNNNNNNNNNNNNNNNNNNNNNNNNNNNNNNNNNNNNNNNNNNNNNNNNNNNNNNNNNNNNNNNNNNNNNNNNNNNNNNNNNNNNNNNNNNNNNNNNNNNNNNNNNNNNNNNNNNNNNNNNNNNNNNNNNNNNNNNNNNNNNNNNNNNNNNNNNNNNNNNNNNNNNNNNNNNNNNNNNNNNNNNNNNNNNNNNNNNNNNNNNNNNNNNNNNNNNNNNNNNNNNNNNNNNNNNNNNNNNNNNNNNNNNNNNNNNNNNNNNNNNNNNNNNNNNNNNNNNNNNNNNNNNNNNNNNNNNNNNNNNAUUCAUUUCGGACCAUUUAAUUUAAUUGCAUACCCUGAGAGCAACAUAUCCUUUAAAGUAAGACCAGAUUACGUUUUAGACAGACCCCAAAGGUGUUUAGUAGAUAACCUCUGGAUCUCUUAUAAUAGACAAAACCGUAAUCAUUUCAUGGCAUCUAUGAACUCUUUAUGCCAUUACAUGGCAGAAAAAAGUAGGCCUCGUUUUAAAUACUAUGUAGUCAUUCAUGGAAAAACUAACGGAAUUUUCCAAACAUGGUUAGAAGUAUUAGACUCCAUACAAGGUUUUAAAGCCCCUCUUUUUAAAGGUUUUAAUGAUUUUACCGAAGCCACCAAUCAUGCUAGAGGAUAUUUAGGGCCAAAUUAUUAUAUAUCUCCUUCCCUUAGACAAAAUCCAGACCAAAUACCCCAGUAUAAUUUGCAAAAAGAGACUGGAAAGAUUAUUUUUUGCAACCAUUGUUCUUCAAUGACGGAGAAUUUCAAAAAGCUAAAUGCUCAAAAAGAAUCACUCCUCAUGAAAAACACUAGAUUGAUCAAACAACUACAAAUGUUAGAAACAAGACUCAGCCAGCAGAAUCUAGCUAGCAAAACAGAUGCACAAACUCAGACUCCAGCUCAGAGUUCCCCAUCUCCUCAAAAAAUGGAUGAGAAGGGUGUGCAUUUCCCACUAAAUGCUAAGAAAUCCACUGUACCGGAUGUUGGUACAGCUAGUCCGGUUCAAAAGGUGAUUGGUAAAGACAAAUCAAAUCCGUUAAUGGCUGUCACUUUGCCAAAAAGUGAGGAUGAAGGGUGUUCUUCAUCAAACGCUAAAUUAACAAGAUCUGGAAAUAGGAUUUUAAAGAAGACUUUAAUAUCUAAAAGAAAAAAUGAAACAAUAGAGACAAUAAUUAAACAGACGUUAGACAGAUAGACACAAGAUAAAUACAUAAAUGGAUAGCCAGACGAACAGCCCACUAAUCUAGACAGAGUUGUGCCAGAGAUAAAAAAUACAGAUAAUAAUUCAGCAAGAUCAGACGAAGAAGAUAGUAUUGCACAAUUCCAGGAUGCCCAGGAUCCAUAUGAAGACAACGACUCAGGCAUGAGCUUCGACUCCAUUGCCCUGCACAACUUGGACACAUAAAGAUAAUCUACAGUUUCCACAGUUUGUAUUAUUAGCUAGCAUAGUCAAGUGGGGAUGCCUACUUUAUGUCUUGUAAUAAUCAGAGUCAGAGUGCUUCCUUUAUCACUACUUUCCAAAAGAAAGAAAAACUGUUGAAGCAUGCGUCAAAGUAAGUCUGAAAGAAAAUUAAUAACGCAUGUGACGAUGGGGCCCAAAGAGUACCCGACUUGCAUUAUUAAAGUUUCUUUCUUAUCCCUUAUCAAAAAGUGUCGGCCAACUGUGUUGAGGCCACGUAGUAGCCCUUAGAACCUCUCCUUUAUGUAAAUUUUGCCUAUAAAAGGGGUACAUUUUGUAGAGAGAAGAUAGAGUGAAAUCAACCAACUUCACUACCUACUGAAAAUGUGCAAACCUUUCCUCCAAAAAAAACUCGAAGCCAGUCUUUCUUGUAUAAAUUUUGUAUCAGUCAGCUUGCUUUAAAUAAAAGUUCCAACUUUUUUAUUUGAUCUCAAGGGGGUUCCCGAAAGGGAAACCUCUCUCCUAAGUUACUUCAUGUAAGUUCUUAUUUACGUAUUUUCCCCACAAAAAUAUUUAUCUUUAUGUUUUUUAUGUUUUUAUAUCGAUGAUUAAAGUUAUUCUACAUAUCUCUGUACAUCCUGUAAAUUAGUUCUCUUUAUAAAAUCUUACCCUUAGUAUAUGGUUAGCCUUUUAAUUUCUUAAUAACAACGAUGGAUUAACCUAUAAAUUCCUAGGAAUUCUGGCCUUAAUAGUCCACCAGGUCUGCAAAAUAGACACAGGACGAGUGUUAGUUGCUAGAUAAAAAUAUUCCGGGGUGUGGUUAAAGAAGUAAAGUGUUAAGAACAUAGAUUAAGCGGAAGAGAUGAACAGGGUAAGUUAAAAAAAAAAACUCUGGGGAAAAUAUAACCUGUAAGAACGAUAAAAAUGAAGAAGCUAUGAGAGAGAGGGAGUACUGAGUAGGUUUUACACAAAACUGACAAAUUUCCAUCACUAUUCACUAAAAAAUAUAUCUUUUUGCUAAAAUAUAUUUAUAUAUAUAUUCAACAUUUAUCAACAUGUAAAACUCCGUCUCAUCAAUUUGAAAAUCAAUCUUAAAUCAUUCAACAAUAGUCAAGAACAUUGAUACCAUAUUUUCUAAAUAACAUUCUUCAACUCAUAACAUUCUAAAUCAAGAGGUGUUGCAACAUGUGGGGGAGCGUAAUUAGUCAUGCUCUCAAUUCAAUUAUCAACUUUAACACACAUAUACAUACAUAUAUAAGAUUACAAAUCAAUUUGGGGGAAAGGCCUCAAGACCAAAACUUCAUCAUCAAUAAGGUUUCAUAAUAAAUAAAAAAUUGUAGAUCCAAAAUCCCUUUUUGUAAGAUCAUGAUUUCCAAACACUUAUUCAUCAUUAAAAUUAUUUCACCAUGCCCAUCUAGUUUUAGGAAAAUUCCACGUACCUUAGAUUAUCAUAUUAGAAAUAUGGAACCCGAGUAUUGAUCUAUUUCCUUGAAAUCUUGGCUGAAGAGUUAGGGAUUUUUCUUGUUCUUGGGAAAUAGAGGAUGAUUUCAAUUGUAGAGAAUGUGAAUUUGGGGUUGAAGGGGCUGUUUUAGGACUGAAAUUAUGUGGUUUGGAUGAUUGGGGUCAAGGGAAAAAGACUAAAAUACCCCUAAGGAAACAAAAAAGUCGCAACAGUCCCUCACUUGACAGACUGACAUACUGAAGUAAAUUGGGCAUUACUUCUUACUCCGAUGCUGAAUUUGGAAGAAAUAAGUUAAGCUGUAGAGAGGACUCAUCUUUUCAUUUGAUAUAUAGUAUGCUUCCCAAUUCUUUAUAUACAGAAAGUUAUGGUCGAUGAAAGUUGACCCUAAUCUGUGGCCAAACUAUGCCCAGUCUGCUCCCCAUCUGCUGAAGCAGAUGCAAGGCAGAUUAAACCAGUGUGUUCUGCCCCUGAACAACGCCCAAUCUGCUCCCCAUCUGCUGAAGUAGAUGCAAAGUAUAGUAAACCAGUGUGUUCUACCCCUGAACUGCGCCCAAUCUACUCCCAAUCUACUGAAGAAGAUGCAGAGCAGAUUAAACCAGAUUGGAUGGAAAAUACUCCACUUUGCAGAGUCAUAACUUUUAGCUCGGGUAUCGAAUUUAGGCGAAAUUGGUACCGUUAGCAAGAUACUUCUAAGACCUUUCAGUCUAUAUAUAGUAGGCCUUCUAUUUCGUUGUAUACAAGAAGUUAUGGUCGACAAAAUUUGACCCAAGUUGGAGUGUCCACUAAAACUUAAUCGAUGAAAUAGUUUUUGAACUCGUCCGAGGAUUUUUGUGACCUCAAUUCAUAUUCAAAGGUAUUCACACAUUAUAGGAUUGAUCAUCACACAUGUAUUAACAAAUAAUCAUUGGGUUCGGGCCUUUACGCAUAGGAACGAUGGUUAAAACUUUAGCCCAAAAGUAUGGGGUGUUACAGAUAAGUUUAUCAUCGGACAUCGAAGAGUUAUCUACUUUAUUUGGGUUCUUCUUAGUUAAUACAUAAGAAAUGUUGAGAAGACUAAGUACAAUAAAAGCAACUUUACCCUUCCACCUCUUGAAGUGAGUAUUGUUGAACUGGAAUGGCUUGUUAAGAACAUCCGCAGAUUUUUCAGUUGUUUCCAUUGAAUCCUCAUAAAAUUAUUGUUGAAAUUACAAUAAAAUUGCAACUAAAAAAACAAGUGAAGAAAAUAAAAUAUGUAGUAAUUCGCAUAUACUGCCAUUAGAGGAAAAAUGUGCUCGUUUUUUUUUUUUGGAGCUGUAUAGUGUGAUCAACAAAUACAUUCGCUAAACUCUAAAUUAAUAAUCAUGAUUAAAGAUACACUUUAAUAUAAAUAGAUAUUAAUAUGCUCUUAAUCCAUCAAAAUACUUGUUAAGUUGUUAGAUUUCCUAUUGAAUAAAAACUUAAAGUACUUUUGCGUGAAGUAUGUAAAACAUACUUAAAAUAUCACUUUUUUUUAGUCUCACGCCUAAACUAUGGGAAGUGUAAGAAACACGUCUAAACUAGCACUUAUUCUUUUGAGAAACACAUGUAAAAGAUGACUAGACCAAAUAUUUGCUUACAAACUUAUUUAGGUGUGUCUAGCCAUUAAAAAUUAAUUCAUGUGGCAUAUUUUUAUUCUUUUUUGUUAACACAUUAUUUUUUCACUUUUAAUUAUUUUUUUGUUAAUUUUGAUGUGUGUUUCUCAAAUUAAAAAAUGAUAAUUUAGUUGUGUUUUUUACACUUCAUACUUUUAGCAAAUUAAUACUUUUUGCAAAUUAAAGGUAGUCCCGAUAAUGGAGUGAUAUUCACUUUAUGAGUAAAAAAGUUUUCCUUUCUUUUUUUAAAAUAACUAUUUAUCUCCUUAGCUUAGCUGGAGAUUUGCUUUGAUACUCCUUAUUAUAUAUUAUUGUUUCUUUAUUGACUUAUUAGUCCACUAAAUAUUAGUGGCAGGAAGCUAAUAUAGCACAAAAGUUGUGAUUGGUACAACAAGUUGGCUAAGAAUUUUUUUUAAUAUAUCAAUGAGGUAUAUUUUUAAAGCCAUUAUCAAUCAGGAAUCAAUUUUUUCUUACAAUUGCUUUGGUGCAUAUUUCAAACCAUGGUAUUUCAUAAAUUUACACACUUUAAUUUCUUGGCCAGCGUCAACAGCUCGGAUUGUUCCAUAUAAAUCUCCUCAUUUAGAUCUCCGUUUAAAAAAGCAGUUUUUACAUUCAUUUGAUGAAUUUGUAAAUAAAAAAUUGUUGCAAUAGAAAUUAAAAGUCUAAUGGAUGUAAUUCUAGUUACCGGAGAAAAAGUGUCAAAAAAUUCUAGGCGUUCUAGUUAUUUAAUAACUUUAGCCAGUAGCUAGUUUGUAUUUAUCAACAGAUCCAUUCGGUUUCAACUUUUUACGUAAGACUUAUUUACAUCCAAUUGCUUUACAAUGCAGUGGUAAAUUAACUAGCUUCCAAGUUUUAUUGGAAAUUAGUGAUUCAAUUUCAUCAUUUACAGCCUUUUCCCAAAAAAUAGCAUCAUGCAAAGAUAAAACUUCUUUUAAAGUUAGUGAGUCAUCUCCAACAUUAAAAACAUAACAAUCAGGACCAAAAUUUUGUUUCUACUCUAGCUCGUUUACUUCUUCUUAACUCAAUCAUAAUUUUUUUUAUUUUUCAAAGUAAAAGUAGAAGAACUAGGUAGUGAUAAAAUAUUUUUUUUUUGUCUCAUGACCCCCAUUAUUUUAGAAUCAAAAAGUGCACAAGACUCAAUUAACAUGACAUUAGUCAAUUCAACCAAAGUUCUAUUCUCCCUUUUCGCUAUCGUUAGAUGCAGGAUAACAACGAGGAGUAGUUUCAUGAAUUAUACCCAGCGAUCUAAUAAAAGAAUGAACUCAUUUGACUCAUAUUCAUUGUCUCUAACACUUCUUAUUCUUUUUAUUUUUCUACCAAACUGAUUUUCAAUUUCAUGGAGAAAAAUUUAAAGUUCUCAAAAGCAUUACUUUUAUUUUUUAUUAUGUAAACUUAGUAAAAUCAUCAAUGAAAGUAGUAGAAUAUCAGUUUCCUCCACAAGUUAAAAUUCCUUCAAGUUCACAAAUAUCAAUAUGAACUAAUUCUGAUAAAUCAAUUUUUAUUUCAACUUGAAAAUGAUUUUUUUUUUUUUUGUGAUUUUGGCUUUAAUACAAGCCUAACAUUUUUUAAAAUUCUUUUUGAUCACUGGAAUUAAUCCUAUACUACUAAUGAUUCCCACAUAACGAUCAUUUAUAUGACAUAAACGAGCAUGCCAAAAAUUAGUAGAAUAAAGAAUGUAAACAGAAGUAUAUGUUUUAUUCAUCUCAACAUUCAACUGAACAUACCAUCACAGGCAUACCCCUUUCCCAAAAAAGCAUUAUUUUUCACAAUUACAUAUUGAUCUGAUUCAAUAAUUUUUUUGAAGCCUAUUAAGAUUCUCAUAGAAGGAGUAUAAAGUACAUCUUUUAGGAUUAAUAUCCUUCCAGAAGUAAACCUCAACUCGACAUCUCCCGACUUGAGUUGUGUGAGAAUUUUCAAGCAUGAUGGUUUUGAGUUCCUCAAAAUUAGUAUAUUUUAAAUCAGUCUUUGUCAUGCCCACUAUCCAUCAACAUUCUCUACUAUGUUUAUGUUUGUUAUCACCACCACAAAUGGUUCUUUGAUAAUAUUUGCCUGAGGUGUAGGCCCAUGUUUUCAAAAUUUGCAAAAUAGAGCAAUAUGCUCGUUCUUGCCACAAACAAAGCACAAUCCUUUUAAUUGUACAUGUAUUUUUUGCUUGGUUAUUUAUACCAUUAUUGUCUUUGGGAUGUCUACCAUCAAUUUUUUUGAAUUUUUUCUUCUUAAGCUUCAAAGUAGUAUUUUUGUUAGUUUGAGGGGUAGCAUUAUUUGAAGUUAUUAAAUUUACCUUCGGUGUGAUGUUGUUUUGUUCUGUUUACAAAAGUGAAUCUUUGCCCCGUGCUACUUCUUCCAUGCAGAUUCUCAUUAUCAAAGUCACAAGAGAAGUUUUCUUUUUCUUGUGGCACGUAGUUUUUUAAAAUUCUUUCCAUGAAGGUGGAAGUUUAUCAAUUAUGCCACAAACAGUAAGGUUAUCUCCAAUUUUAACUUUUUUCAGACCUGAGCUCUCCAACAACAUUAUGAAGUCCUAAACUUGGUCUACCACUGAUUUGUUGACCACCAUUUGGAAUCGAAAAAAUCUUCUAGCAAAUAUUUUUCUACUCCUGCCUCCUCUAUGUCAUACUUACUCUGUAAGGUUUUCCAAAUUUUCUUUGCACUGGAGUAAGUUCUAUCAUAAUAAUCAUAAAAAUUAUUAUAUAGACAAUUAAAAAGAAAAUAUUGACACUUGUAGGAGUCACCGUCGUACUUUUCAACUUUCUCUUGAAGAGAGAUAAGUUUACCAUCGACCAUUGAAGAGUUAUCUAUUUUUUUUGGGUUCUUCUAAGUUAACACAAGAAACGUUGAGAUGAUUUAAGUAGAAAAACACUUUGCCCUUCCAUCUCUUGAAGUGAGCAUCGUUGAACUGGAAUGGUUUUUUAAGAUCUCCCAUCUUGACUUUUUAUGGAUUUUUCAGUUGUUGCCAUUGAAUCUCCUUAAAAUUAUUGGUAAUAUUAUAAUAAAAUUACAACUGAAAAUUAUAAGUAAAAAAAAAAAAAUGAAUAGUAAUUGACAUAUAAUGCCAUUAGAGGUAAAAUGUGUUCAUUGUUUUCAUUUUGGAGCUGUAUAAUGAGAUCAACAAAUUCAUGCACUUAACUCUAAAUUAAUAAUCAUGAUUAAAGAUAUACUUUAAUAUAAAUAAAUAUUAAAAUGCUCUUAAUUCAUCAAAAUACUUACUAAGUUGUUAGAUGUCCCACUGAUAAAAAAUUAAAAUACUUUUGAGUGAAGUAUGUAAAACACACUAAAAAUAUCACCUUUUUUUGAGUCUCAAACCUAAACUAUUGGUACCGUAAGAAUAUCAUCUAAACUAUGACCUAUUAGUUUAAGAAAUACAUGUAAAAGCUGACUAGACCAAAUAUUUCCUUUCCAACUUAUUUUGGUGUGUCUAGCUAUUAAAAAUUAGUCCACGUGGUAUAUUUUUAUUCUUUUUUGCUAACACAUUAUUUUUUAUUUUUAAUUGAUUUUUAUUAAAUUUGAAAUGUGUUUCUCAAAUUACUAAGUGAUAGUUUAGGUGUGUUUCUCACAUCCCCAAUAAUUUUAAUAUGAAACUCCAAAGGAAAAAAGGAGGGAUAAUUUAGGUGAUAUUCUUUUUUUUUUUUGAAAUAAAAGAAUUAAAUAAACAUUUAGGAAAGUGGAACAUGUACGGCCACUGUAGAAGCUUCAACUUCAUAAUCUGGGUCAAAAUUCUACUGAAAAAGGAAUGGGUUCUGAUUGUUUGCUAUAAGAUUACUCCCACGUUACUCAUAAUCUGGAUGAAUGAGUUCCAUCUUCCAGCGCCUCUAAUAAUCGAUGAAAAGGUAAAUCAUCUUCGAUUUCUCAAGUAGUUGGAACCCCCCAUAUUAGCUCGUUUCUUGACCUUAACUCGAUUUCUCUACUGGUGCAUGAAGUCAAGAUUAGGAUCUCUAACUUAUAUCUGGAAGCUGAAAUGAAUCACAUCAACUUAUGAGCUCAGGUACAUCUAACACCUUUCAAAGUAAUUUUCGAUUUCAUUACCUUUCCUUCUAUGGAUUGAAUUCCAAAGGAAUUAAUACCAACUUAUGAAUUCAAGAUACUAAAAUUGAUUAUUACUCCAAUAGUGUUAUACUUGAAACACUGUAACUGAGUGAACCAAUCUUGGGCUACGAUGAAGAAUAUGAAUGGUGUUGUUAAGUCCUGGUUUAGUACCCAAUGAACACCUCAAUGCUCUCACCAGCUGCAGGUACUGUCAACCACUAGAAAUUGCUUCAGACUUCCCAAUCAACUAGUCAAAAAUUCACCAGUAGCCUUACUUGUAUCUCUGUAAUGAAACAUGGACAGUAAAACUUAAGAUUUGAACUUAUCAGUUGGAAUUGCUUGAUAUAUUUAUUUUCCUGAUUCUCAUGCUUAGAGUGUUGAUCUUGUCAAGAUUAAUAAUCUUUUUCCCUGCACUUGGGACUUCCUGAAUUGAGCUGAAUUCAUAUGUACCUGCAAAACUAAAAACUAAGUUAGCAAAAAAAUUAGCAAGAGUAUUUCCCUCCCUUAAUGAGUGUUGUACUCUCACUGAUAGGCCAUUUCUGAUCCUGUUAAUAGUCUUGACCUCUUUAGAAACAGUCCAAGGAAUCUCCCAAUCUCCAUUGAUAAUGUUAACCAUAGCCAAAGAGCCAGUUUCCAGGAUAAUGUUGGAGCCCUUCCCUUAUAGCUCUAGCCUCAUCCACUAGGUUAGUUGUAUCAGAAAACCUUUAGCUCCUACAAAUUCUCCUUCAUGAUUUCUCAAACAAAAAGCAGCAACAUUGGACCUGGGUUAUCUUUAGAGGCCCAUCAGUAGUACAUGUUAACCAACCAAAAGGAGGAGCCAUCCACCUAACAACUUUACAAUGAAAAUUAGGUCUAUAAUUUUCCAAAAGAGAAACCAUUUGGGUCCAAUUAUUAGGAAAAGAAAAAUUCAACUUUAACCUAAUAAAUUUACAUAUAGAAUCAUUAAUGUCCCAUAAAACCUUAUUUCUAGAGUAUGAACCACCAUAAAGAAUUGUAUCCCUCCUCUUUCAUAGAAACCAUAGGAUGAUGUUAGGAAGUGCCUGAAAGAUUAUUUUCUAUCUAAUAUUACCUUGAAAAACCCACCAUCUCUUCAUAGUCUGUUUAACCUGUACCUAAGGGCCUAAGAGACCAGCAUAUCUAGCAUAGUAAUCCCAUAUAAAAAUAGCUUCUUCCCCUGUCAAGAAUAGGUGCUCUAUGGUUUCCCUCAUGGGAAUUCUACAACACUGACAUAUCUGGGAAAUGGUAGGAUUGUAGGCAGCCAUGACAGCAGCCACAAGAACCCUAUGUGUCCAUACCCUCCAUUCGAAAAAAGAGAUUUUGAAAGGAAGCCCCUUCACCCACAACAUCAUAAAAUCAUUAUUAGGAGCAAAUUUCUUUCUUAAAAUUUCCCAAACAGAUUUGACAGUGAACUUACCUGUAUUAUUCUUUAUCCACCAAGGUUUAUCCAUUUCUCUAGUCUGUGUAACAUUUCCCAUAUUCAUCCUAACAUGCUCAACAGUAUUACUAGGCAAAUGUUCUUGCAUGAGUUCAUAAUCCCAACCAUUUUCUGUCAAGAACAUAUCAGUAUCUGUUAGAGAAUGACAUCCGAGAACAUUAGUAGGUUGAACAUAUAAUGGUCCAAGAUUAGUCCAAUUAUCAAACCAAAUGCUAGAUGAAUCUUCCCUUGGUUACCACCACAAAUUCUGUUCAACAAUCUCUCUAUUUUGCAGCAUGUGUUUCCAUACUUCAGAACCACCUUUCCAUUGAACAAGAGCGGGAAUUUGUUUUUUUGCAGUACUUGUUUCACAUGAAAUUAGCCCAUAAUGAAUUUUGGGUCCUGAAUUUCCACCAAAGCUUGGCAAACAUAGCUUGAGAUAUAUCACCCAUAGAUUUAAAACCCAAACCACCUUCAAUUUUAGGUAAGCAAACCUUAUCCCAAGAAGCCCGAUACUUGCUCCUACCUAAAAUUUAUUACUCCAGAAGAAUUUUGCAAAAAUUCUAUGAAGCUCUUUCAACACACAAUUAGGAGGAACAACCGCCGAUAACACAUGAAUUGGAGUACUUUGUAAAACACUAGUGAUUAACACUUCCUUGCCCCCGAAGGACAACAUGUUGCCUUUCCAAGCUUGAAGUUUGUCUCUCACCCUUCUAAUAAGCUCAACAUAAUGCUCUUUUCUUUUCCUAGCAUGAGUGAUCGGACAACCAAGGUAUUUGAAUGGAAACUAACCCCUGAAAAACCUGUGCAUUCUUCCACUAAUAUUUUUAAAUCUGUAGCAACACUCUGAUGUAUAAAGAAAUAUCUCUUUUCUUUAUUAAUUUUCUGACCAGACUGAACUUCAUAUUCAUGUAAAGUUGACACAAUCUUUUUCAAAGAAUAUUUGUCAGCAGAAGAAAAAAUAAUAGUAUCAUCUGCAUAUGCAAGAUGAUUCAAUUGUGAACUCCACUUAGGAAGACCAUAACCAAUA
Molecule: long non-coding RNA, 91443 nt
Filed under: Capsicum annuum
Lineage: Eukaryota; Viridiplantae; Streptophyta; Magnoliopsida; Solanales; Solanaceae
Description: long non-coding RNA (CANN_LNC013453)
Source: RNAcentral